UUUUUUUUUUUUUUGUUUGCUACUAUGGCUCUAGGAGUAGGAUAAGGUAGAUGACUAGUUUUUGAUCUUGUGUGGUUUAAUUCUUUUGUAGUUAUUGGAUACGGAAUUCCUUUUCUUAGUAAGAGGAUGGUAUUGCGAAAUUUGUCUGGAAUUAUGGUUCCUGUAUGAAUUUGAGCUUUUCAUUUUUAUCGUUUAGAUCAAUACCUACCGAUCCCGUUUGUUAUUUCUACUAUUCUAUUGCUUGUGUUUCUUACUUGUUUUCUUUUAAAUGUUCGAUUAUUUUGAGUAAAUUGUCCAAUACGAUUGCUGGUGGUGUUGUUAUUGCAGCUCGUAUGAUGUUAAUAUAUUCUAUCUUCUGUUUGAGUAAUAUGAGGACAUUUCUCUCUCUUGCGUUUCAGCAAUUGAUUCAGGAAGCUUCAACAACAGUGUAGCAGAGCAGCAGGUUGGUAGUGAUAUGUUUUGUCAAUGUAGUAAUCAUUAUUUUCAAAAAACUUUUGAGCACAACUUGUGAGAAUUAUGGAUUUUACUCUGAUUUUGAACGAGCAAAAUAAUCUGUUCCAAACAUACGGGCACAAAAAUGUGCUGAUUUGGCCCUCAUUGAUUGGCGUUGUUGAUUAGGCAACUCUGGAGACUGUGGCAAGGGUGAAGUCAAAGAAAAAUGAUACGAAAGAGGAAAAGUAUAUGCUUCUUACUUUAGUAUUACAUUUCACUUUCAGGCCAUGCUAUACUGGAUUAAGCGUGCACUUCCUUAAACACUUGUGUUUCUACUUUAGGUUUCAGCUUCAAAACGUUUUCAAUUUGGACAGUGAUAAUAGAGCUGAAGAUACCCCUACAUUGAUUGAUCGAAAGGUAUGGGUAUUUCAUUUUCCGUAUUUUUUCUGUGUCAGAUCGUCAUUUUGUGCUCAAGGUUGGUAAAACAUUUUUCUUUUCUCAGGACAAUGUCUUUAUCAUAUCCAACUUUAAGUCUAAAUAUCCAGUGCUACAAUUAGACUUGAGGUAUGUUUUUAUUUUAUGCAAUUGUUCCUCAAGUAAUGACUGAUAUUAACUUCUAAUUUUAUGAGUUGGCAGAUUGAUAUCUGAUUUGGUUAUCGUAAUUGUCUCUGCAACUUGUGGCGGCAUUGCCUUUGCCUGUGCUGGACAACCAGUACGAUUAUUUUUUACCUAAGCUAUUGAAUAACAAUUGUAGGAUGUGAUCUGAUUUUCAUGACAUGGACAAUCCUAUAUAUAUGUAACCUGUGUUAUAUUUUAUCAGGUUAUAACUGGAUACCUUCUAGCAGGAUCUAUUAUUGGACCUGGAGGAUUUAACUUUGUCAGUGAAAUGGUUCAAGUACGUUGCUCCUAAUCUAUCAUUUAUAGUUUUUCCAGGGCUCUUUUUUCCUCUGCCUAAAAAUUGGAAGAUAACAAUUACAUUUGUCAUAUUUUUCUGGUUGCAUGAGAUCUUCUCAGAUGUAUACUAUAGUAUAAUAAAUACCCCAUCAGGCUAUCCCUCUAAUCUUAUUUGUAUUUUUUUCUUCUCUAAUGAAUUUAUUUUAUAUCCAAAGUUAAAAUGGUGAGUAAUGAACCGGUAGAGACAAUAUAUAUAAGGUAAAAGAAUGGGCACUGUACAUUUUGGAUUAAUUUCUAGAAAAUGCACGAGAAAGUGGAAGCUGACUAGUUCUGUAUGCAUGGGGCUUUUAAUGAAAGUUGGUCCUAAUCUAUCAGGUUUACUGAUAGGGGUUAAUUAGUCAUUCUAUAAUUUGUUGUUAUAAAAGUUUAUUGUACAAAGUAUGUGUUAGAGAAGUUGGUGUGUUUGUUUUAAUAUUUAAAAAAAGAACGAAUGAUGGUUGCCCUCUCAAAAGAUCUCUCUCGCACUAUAAACGUAUACAAUGUAUAUUUGUCUCUUGUGAUGGUUAUUCAGAGAUAAAAAGACAUUUGUGUUGAUUUGUUUUCAUGUUGCCUUACCAAUGGCCAAAUUCUUUCUUUCGUCCUCAAGUUCCUUAUUGAUUUCUGUGAUUAGGUUGAAACGGUAGCUCAAUUUGGUGUAAUUUUUCUUCUUUUUGCACUGGGUUUGGAGUUCUCAACAACUAAGGUUAGUUUUAUUUCCAUUCAAGGUUAUUUGUAGAUGUUUAUAAAAUCACAAUACAUGUGCUAAGCCCAAUGAUAUGUUUUAGCUACGAGUUGUUCGUGCAGUUGCUGUUCUUGGCGGGCUUCUUCAAAUUUUCCUAUUUAUGUGCCUCAGUGGAAUCACAGCCUCGGUAAUAACUAGUGCUUCUCUGUAUUAUUUUUAUUUUUUUCCGGUUAACGAAAAGUCCAAACAAUCUUGUGUCAUUGACCACCCUAUUUUUUGGCCGUUGAAUAAAUUAAUUUGGAUCCUGCUUUAGCCAGGUUCUAAUACUCAACUUCCCUAUUGUUGCAUGCCUCCUAUUAAAUAAACUUUGCUUAUUUAUUUAAUGAUAAAAAAUUUGUAGCAAGUUUUACAAGACUCUUUUUCUUCGCUGUGAAUUUUAUUAUCAUUAUUGUUGUGUUGUUUUUAUUUAUUCAUUUAUUAUUAAUAUUAUUAUUAUUUUGCAGUCAUGUGGUGGGAGUGCUUCUGAAGGAGUUUUUGUCGGAGCAUUCCUAUCUAUGUCCUCAACAGCAGUGGUAGGAUACUGUAUAACUUUUUGAAUGGAUGACACUGGCAUGCUUUAUAGCCUAUGUUCUUGCCUGUAUGAUAAAAGAACAACUGUCUCGGAUUGCAGGUGCUGAAAUUUUUGAUGGAAAAGAACUCUACUAAUGCUCUUCAUGGACAAGUCACAAUUGGCACCCUUAUUCUGCAGGUAAUGUUUUAUUUUGUUUUUCUUUUCUUCAUGCAACCCUCUUAGGGGAAAAAAUUAUCGCCUAACCCAUCAGUUUCCUUGGGUUUGCAGGACUGUGCUGUUGGGUUACUGUUUGCUUUGCUUCCAGUACUAGGUGGGAAUUCUGGUAUUCUUCAAGGAGUGAUGUCUAUGAGUAAAGUGUACGUAUAAAUAGGAAUUUGUUUUACACAUGGGCAUACCCUCAAAUCUAGUUGUUACGUUUUUUCAGACAUAGUAAGUACUAUAAAUGGUUAUCUCAUGAGAAUUUUGAAGGUGCUUGCAAGUUUGCUUGGACGCUUAUGCAUUUAAAAAAAGAAAACCAAACAGUAAAUUUACUUCUUGGGCUUAAUGCUACUGGUGGUGUUCUUUCUAGAACACUUAAAGAAAGGACCAAAGAGUUCUCUAAAAUGUCUGGGAUACUUUUCUUCUGGUUACAAACUUGUGAAGUUCAAAGAUUAAGUUUGAGCUCCUUUGAGUUUGUGCAUGUUAUUCCUUCUUGUGAGGUAUUUAUUAUUAUCAAAAGAAGAGCAGAACUAGGUGCAUAAAACCAUAUUGUGUAUUUAUUAUCAGUACCUCGUGGAACUAGCUUUUUACGCCUUUUGCAGAUGGUUAGUUAUUCUUGAUAAGUCCAGGCCAGGAACUGGUUUUGUAUGACAUGUAGAUUAUACGAGAAAUUGUAGGGUAUGAAUCUUAUAUUUACAAGGUUUUGUAUUUCUCAAUCAGGUUGGUGAUCUUGGUUGGUUUUUUGGUUGCUUUGUCAAUUUUAUCCCGUACAUGUAUUCCUUGGCUCUUAAAACUGAUGAUAAGUCUAUCAUCACAGGUAUGCUUUAUUGCAUCUAUAUAUUUAUUAUUAUUGAAAUUUAUAUACCUGAUUUAACAACUAUCCGAAUUUCAAAUGCAUUGUCUAAUUUAUUUUUCUCUGCAGACCAACGAACUUUAUCAAUUAGCCUCAGUGGCGUUCUGCUUGCUUGUAGCCUGGGUCAGUAUCUACUUUUUUUUUCUGAGUUUGAUUUUAUGCAUGUGGAGAUGUCAUACUUUGAAUUGUUAUCAUUUCUAUCAUUCAGGUUUUUUAUGUAUAGGGGUACUAAGAAAGAACAUCAUUAAUUUUUUUAAAUAAAAAAUCAAACUUCCAUUUUGAAUCAUGAAAUUUUUUAAGGGCAUAUGUAAAGACAGCCCAGACAAUAGGAGACCUAACCUACUUAUAGGGCCACUAAUCCAAUAGAAUAAGGCCUGAUGGAUUAUUACAGAAGGCCUUAGAGCCCACUAUCCACCACAAGGGGGUCUUAAACUCAGUAUUAUUCCAAAGAACGCACCAAGACCGUUGAAACCCCUAAAGAAAUAUCUAAAGAUCCCAAUAUUUCGUUCACAACAAAUACACCUCCAAACCUAAAACAAAUAACAAUAAAUAGAAAUAAAUAAAUAAAUAAAAAGUCUUCCAAAGCACUUGCCUUUUAUAUCUUUGAAGGGAGGGAAUGGGACAACUUCCUUUUACUGUACACCUUUCUUCUUUUUUAAAUUAUAACUCUCUGGUGUAUGCCUACUUUGAUGGGAUACUAUUCCCAUGACUAAUGAAGUUGUAUAAUUUUAUUGGUCGCUAUAUGAUCAAUUGAAAUUACUUUGUUGGUGCUUUUCUGUUAAUUAUUGUUUUUACAAUUUCAGUGUAGUGAUAAGUUGGGCCUCAGUCUAGAAUUGGGUUCCUUUGCCGCUGGAGUGAUGAUAUCCACAACUGAUCUUGCUCAACACACACUUGAACAAGUAAGGCAUUUCAUUCCAUACUUUGUUUCAAGAGAUGUGUGGCUUAAUUGUAAUGUUACCAAGGCAUGUUGGUCUGGGUGUAUAAACUAUACAUGCAUAUAUGAAGAGUGUGUGCAUGUACUGUUUGUAUAUAUGUGUAUGUAGGUGAAUAAGGUGUUUAUUGCUCUUGCUUCUGUGUGGGGGUUUCAUAUGCUGUUAGUUUGUUUAUUUUUGUAUGGUCUUCAGAAAAUUGUAUCACAAUAUCCGAAUACUGUUAAUAUUCAAGAUGAUAGGAAUGGGUGUGAAAAGAAAUAAGGAAAAUAAGGUGGGUAGGAAUUUUGAAGGGCGAGGUGAAGUUGGAUAGAGGGAGGAUGGAUUCUUGCACUUUAAUACAGAUAAUAGGCUAGAAUUUUGUUUGAAAUGUUUGCUUUUCUGUCUCCCAAGAGUUAUGUGUUGAUUCCUAUUGAGUGAUUUUAUAAUUGCUUGUCUACAGAUAGAGCCUAUAAGGAACUUUUUUGCGGCCCUUUUUCUUGCCAGCAUUGGAAUGCUGAUACACGUUCAGUUUUUGUGGAACCACGUUGAUAUAUUAUUAGCAGCUGUUAUACUGGUGAUAAUUGUAAAAACAAUCGUAAUUAGCACAGUGGUGAAGGGAUUUGGGUAUAACAACAGGACAGCACUUUUGGUGAGGUUAUAUUACUAUAUCCUCGGCAUUCAUCCUUGUUCAUGAUAUGUUAUAAAUAACUGGUUUUCUCUUCUGGAUAUUGAUUUGUGAUGUGUAGGUUGGAAUGUCUUUGGCUCAGAUAGGAGAAUUUGCUUUUGUUCUUCUCAGCCGUGCUUCUAAUCUUCAUCUAGUUGAGGUCAGUGCCAUUAUCUUGCUUCUCAGGAAAAACAUUAAAUGAGAUGCAUGUAAAAAAAAUCUACUGUUAAUCAUAAAUGAUGAUGCACGAUCUCUGAAAUUCUUGGGGGAUGUUUUGGCGUGGAUUCAGUUUGUUCAGUUCAGCCUGGACUUGGGUAGUCUGGCGGUGGGGGUUUAAUCUGAGUCGUGAGAGUUUAGGAGGUCUGACGACCUUACUUGAACAUGAUUUGUUCUUCUAUAGGCUGUACAACUAUGUCCUUGAGAUGAAGAAAAUUGUGCUUGGUGUACAAGCUUAGGAAAACUAUAUAUUAAACGAAUCAUUAGGACUCAUAUUUACUCAAGUUUCUAAAAAAAAAAAAUGAAAAUCUUGUUAUUCCAAUAUGAUAAUUUCAAAGUUCAAAUUGUUUCUUCAAAUUUCUUUAUAGGAAAAAAGUGUUUCAUAGAACUGUGUUGUUUCAGUUGACUAGCUUCAAAAUAAAGUACUUUCUCCGGGCUGUUUUAAAAUGAUUAGUUAAAUGCUAUUUUAUUGUGACUAAGUUUAAUCUAAAAAAAGGUGAUUAAGUUUAAAUUCAAUACCAUACACACACUUCUGUUACUUAAUAUUUUGAAUCAAAUACUUAUUUUAAUAUGGCAAUUUUUUCCUAACUAUAAUCUUUUUUAUUAACUUCAAAAUAAAAUAAUGUUUACUUUUACUUAUUUUUUUCUACUUAAGAAGAGUUACUUUCAUUACCUUGAAUAUGGGUAAUCUUGUAUACAUAUAUUUAAUAAGCUAACUUCAAAUUAAAUACUCCGGAGUUAACUGCUCUACUUAAAUUAUUACUAUAUUAAAUUCUUUUAAUAUAAAAGUUCAAGAUUACAAAAGUGGGGAGGGGAGGGGAGCACAAUCAAAUGGGGCAAAAGCGUUGAAUAACUGAAAAAAUGGAAAUAUUGUUAAGAUCGCCCAGUUAUGUAGCCAUAUUUUUUAAACUAUUGUUACGUAAAAAUGGAUGAAUGAAAAUAAUACAUCUUUUCUUAUUGGAUACUGAUAUUAUGAUAAUUUUCAGGGGAAACUGUAUCUAUUGCUUAUUGGGACCACAGCCCUCAGUCUGGUGAGAUGUAAUCCAUUUCUGCAUGUUUAUAUAUCUAUGUAUCUACAUGAUGGUUUCAUAUGUGUCAUCAUAUGCUGUUGUAAUGAUUAUAUUUCUUUUCUCUGCAUGGUUUUAUUAAUUUUUUUUAUUGGCUUAUUUUGAGUUAUCUGCUAUUCCGUUUGAGACUUCUUUUAGAUAACAAAUAUACUUAAGAAUUAUGAAUAAUUUAGAAAUAGUUGAAAUUGUUAGCUCAAUUUUUCAUCACAAAAACAGGAAUUAGUUGAAAGCCAUUUCUUCAAUAUGAUUUGACAGAAAGAAGGAAGGCAUUGUAUUGGAACUUGGAAGUUAGGACAUUGAUUUGUCUGAAGGAUCAAUAACAAAACAAUAAAAAUUAAAAGCCAUCCAAUAUCCGUUGAUAGAAAAAAAACGAAUGAUUAUUAAGAAAAAAAGUAAACUUGCACUCCUAUAACCUAUUACUUUUUUUUGCAUGAGAGUGUGUUUCAGCAUUAUAUUAGUGAUUAAUUUUCUCAAGAAAUAAAUUUCUGGAUGGGGCAUUUGUUAAAAUUUCGUGCAGGUGACAACUCCUUUUCUUUUCAAGCUAAUACCUGCUGUAGUACAUUUAGGCGUGCUAUUGCGGUGGUUUUCUCCAGAUAGUCUCGUUGAGGUAGAAACAUUUUACUUGAAUCUAACUUUAUACACCGCAAUUUUCCUUGACUCUAAUCCGCUUGAUCAAAAUUUAUCUUCAUGUGAUAAUUCAGAUUGGAUUGAAAGGAGACAUCAUUCGCUCGGACAGUGUAAAGCAACGGGUUAUGUUGAUAGUCCAGGGACCUCACGAUUCAUGACACUGAUUGUAUGUCAAUUGAAAAUGAAAUAUCAUUUUCUUCUCAAGGAGUCAAAUUCUGGCCAGCUUAUUCCCAUGUACAAGUGAAGUCGAUUGAACCACUCUGUAUAUUUGUUCAUGUUUUUCUAGCCAUAUAAAAGCGUGUCCAGAAUCAUUUUUUUGUUUCACUUAACUGACCACUAGAUUUGGAAAAAAGAAAAAAAAAACAGAUUAGAGAGUACUAGAGAUGGAUGACCAGAUAAGAGCCAGUACAAUAGAAGAACACUAUUGUAUUUGUCUUCUUCAGUAUGACCUGAUUCUUUGUAAAAUGUAUUAUAGUUUGGAUAUUUAUAAUGAAAUUGGUACUGCACAAAAUAAUCACUAUGCCUUUUUUUGCAGUGUAAAAUAUUGAUUUUUACCAAGUUCCCAUUUAAUCUCUCAUCUGAUUUCAGCCUUCCGUUGCUACUUCAAGACUCUUCAUCAGAUAGCUAUCAGCAAAAGGAAAAAAUAAAGUUCCAAGGCUGUAAGUUCAUCGAUUCCCUAAAAAGAAAAAAACAAUUUACUGACAGCAGUAUUAUUGAUUGAAAGAACUGCUUAGAACCUUUGGAGGAUUUAGUAACUUCAACUUGAAUAUAUUUGUCUUUUGACCACCUAACCAAAAUGAGAGGAUAGAACUAGAAGUUCCUGUGACUUUGUCAAUUAGGCAUCAGAAAUAAGUAAAAAGUAAAAUGAGAAUCUUUCAUUCAUCUAUGGUUGCUGGGGAAUAAUAUAUUUCAACAAGAGGAGAGAGAAUUUAUGAUUUCAUUUUGGGGAUUUCAACCAUUUUAACUCUUGUUUGAUCUUUUUGGGUGUCCAGAUGUUGAUAGAUAGUUACAGGGAGUAAAUGAGAGAAUCCUUUAUGGUUGAAAUGUCACUAUUUCUUAAGAUUUGCCUGCAGGAACUGACAUGUGCUUAUUUAAUUUAACAGGUUAAAAAAAAAAAAAAAACUAUUUGAGUGUUUCUUCCAUACCUAGUCUCUCCUUCAAAGUUAAUUUUUAUUCUCUUUUUUGCAAGAAAAUAUAUUAUGUCAAUUGAAAGUCUUAAACAAAAUUUUGAAUGAUUCCCAAUUAUAAUAUGUGCUUACAACCACAAGAACAUAAAAUAAAAGUAUAAAAAAAAUAAACCUGAAAAGAUUCUUUCCACAUGAAGAAGAAGAAGAAGUAGAGAAAUAGUGAUAGAUCUAACCUAAAAACAAAAAUAGCGAUGGUAGCGAUGGUCCACUUCUUGCCUGUUUUUGUUUGGGCUUCCUCCUGCAUUUUGUCCUCUACUUUUCAAAUGGGGAAGACGCCAAUUAUUUAACCUGUUUUUGUUGUCAAUUUCCUUCUUUUUAUUUCUCUUUUUCCAAAUCUACAUGUAUGUAUAUUUUGUCUGCUUUGGAAUUUUUUAUCUACUGAUAAUUUAAUUUUAAUUUUUACCUUAUGCUUUCAUUUUAUUUUACAUUUUAAAAGGGGUUCUUUUAAUUUCAGGCCAUUUACCCUUUCUUGCUGACAGCAACAAUUUAGUUACCAUCGGUUUGUUUGCACAAAUGUUCAUUCCUUUCUAAAUAUCAUUCCACUAGAGUUUCACGUGAAUGGUAGUAAUAAAUAACAAAUAAUAAGAACUUAAUGUGAUAAAAAUAGUUUUGGUAAAGGUUGAAACAAACACAUUAUUUUACGAUUUAUUUUUUAGUUUCUACAACCACAUUGUAGUGACACUCGAUUUUAGGGUCAAUUUAUUAAAGAAAGUAAAAUUAUUUUUUCUCUACGUUGUGGGGUCUAGUUUUUAUUCGUUUUUUAGGUUUUGAAAUUUACAUUUUUAUUUCUUAAAUUUUAAAUUUAGUUUUGUUCUAUAUCUUAAAAUGCUAUUUUACCUUAUAAUUAUAUGAUUGUUCUGUAUUAGUAUUAAAGGGAGAACGAGUGUUAUGCGAAAGACGUACUGAAAUUUAUGGAUAGAAUUCACACAAUAGUGUGAGAUUAUUGCAUUAAUUUGAAUUAUUUUGAGGAUGGAUAUUUUUAUCCUAAAAGAAAAGAAAGGAAAAGAGGCCAAUCAUGAGGGAGGCUUUUACUCUUGGCUUUAUGCACUUUGAAUUUUGCAUAAUUUUCUGUCCACAUUAAUUUUUCCCAUAACAAAGAGAAAUCUUGUCCACUCGAUUCUCUUCUUAUAAAGUAUCCAAUUAGUGUUCUUCCAAAUUUUGUUAAUACCAACAAAUUUGAGCCCUAAAAGCUAUAUCAUUUUAAAUUCCCAAGUUGAGAUUUAUUUAUUUAGAAAUUCUCUCUAUUUAGAGGCCACCUACAGCUUUCAUUUGUAAGGAUCAAGAUUGCUGAGCUGAAAAAUAAGUGCUUUAUCAUAUUAUAGGAUUCUUUUUUUAAAUUAAAAAAAAUACUAACAAAAUCCAAUUAGAAUUCUUUUAACUAUAAUUCAACUUGAUAUGUUCAGAUCUUUUACAUUAACCCAUCUUCAUAAUUUACCCACCAACGUUUAAAUAAUAUAGUUGUAAAUAUAUUUUUAUUUAGCUUUGGCUCACUUUGUUGACGUAUUUUAAAAAUAUUCAUUUUAUUUUUUGUAUUUUAAAAAUUAUUCUCGGUUCUUAGGUAUGGAAAAGAAAAUGAAAAUAAAUGAAACAAUAUAAAGUAUAUGAACAAAAAUGGAUCUACAUAUAUUGUUUUUUAUGAGUUGAAGAAAUGUUAAAAGUAUUUUUCUCUAACUUAUUUGAUUUGAAAGAUUUUGUUUAUAAUAUGAAUAUUUGGGUCAAAAUUAGAACCUUUUAAGAGACUAUGAACAAAAUUGGAAAAUAAUAUAAAUUCUUUUAGAAUCAAAAUGCAGUGGUACUCUUUCAAUUGUUCAGCUAGAGACUAUGACUAUAAAUGUUAUAAUUAGCCAUUAAAAGAGAGUAACCCAGCUAGCCUACAAAGCAAGACAAAACUUAUAUGUUUGUUUUUAUAGGGUAGCCCACACCUUUGACCAAAUAACUCAUUUUUAAUUAAUUGAGUUCACCAUUAAUGCAUCAGUUUUUAUGACAAAUUAAUGGGUUUCAUGGAAUAAUAAUAAUAAUCUUUCCAUUUCAAACAAAUUUGUUUAGAAAUUAUUUUAUUUUUGAUAAUCAAUAAACCCCAACUUGUUUGUGGACACAAAGGAGUUUUGAUGAUACAAUAGUAACCAACAUAAACAUUAUAUUAAAAAAGAACAUCGUUAUUCCACUUCAAAAGUACAAACUAUACUAAUAUUUAUAACAAUAAUAAUCCAUGGUGAUUCACUGAGCUACUUGUUCAAGUACUGGCUUUGGAGUGGACAAACUUAGCUGCAAAUCAGGUUGAUGAUGAUGACGAUGAUGAUGAUGAUUGGUUGUUGUUUGAAAAUUGUUGAUCGUAAUUGAGCUUGAAGAUUUGUUGAUGGGGGAUUGAAGAAACUUGAAAUAUGGCUCAUGAUGACGUUGAUUAUAAUGAUACUCAAUCCAAUUGAGAUUUGUUAAUUCUGAAAUAUUUGGAAUUGGAGUUGGAUUCCCAAAGGAAAUAUUAUUGGAUGAAGCUGGUUGGAUAUUAUAAUUAUUAUUGGUUGGUUUCAAAUUGUUGUUGAUGCUGCUGCUGCUGCUGCUGCCUUUUUCAACCACUUGCACUGUCAAUUUGUCCCUUGCUGCAGCACCCUGUUGUCAUUCAUAAUAAACCAUAAACACACAUUUUUCUUUUGUAGUAUAUAGAGUAGUGAAAGUCAUUUACAAUCCCAAUAUUCAAAACCUAAUCAUCAUUGAAUUUGACACCAACCCUACAAAAAAGAAUCAUUCUAAAACACACAACAAUGAAAGGAUUAAAUUGAAAAAAACAACUCAAUUAGCUUUUCUGUUUAUUAUUUGGUUAUUGGAGAACCUUAGAAUUUCAUUUCUGUAGUUUAUAAUUAUAAUUCAGUUUUUAGGAUUUUAUCAAACCAUAUUUACUUAAAUUCUAAUUAAUAUUGAAUUGUAUUUUACUUUAGUGAGUUUUAGUUUAGUAUUAUAUAUUAUAUAGAUACGAACUGGUAUUUAUAUUAAACAAUUAGUUGUUAAACUUCACCUUCCUUCUCGUAUAUAUUUAUUAUCAUUGAGUAUUAUAUGUGUUUAAUUAAUGACUAGUCAAUAAAAAAGGAAAGUCUUAUACGUAUGCAAAUGGGUUAUUUAAAAGUAAUAGAAUAGUGUGUAUUAUUAUUUAUAUUGGAAGAGGAAUAUAAAACAUUAGUGACGAACUAAUUAAAUUUAAGUAUAUAUUGACAAUAUUGGCUUUUGUCUUUUAUUUAUAUGAAUAUUCACUUACUUAGAAAAUUGGGUUAUCAUUCAAAAUUCAAUCUUUGGCAAUUGGCACAGAGAAAAAACAGAAAUAAAAUAUGUGAAAAAUUAGAGAGUUUUGAGAGGGGGAAGUUUACGUCGAAAAGGCUGGGACGACGCUGUUUUCUUUUGUUGAGAGUUGUGAGUCGUAGAAAGUAUUUUUGUGCAUGACUAGCUACUUGAGUCGGAGUUCUUGUCGUCACAAAUUUCCUCGAAAUUCCUCUCCAAUCUCCUUUUCCAAGCUUUUCUAACCCAAUUAGAAACACCUUAUGCUCCUCUUCACUCCAUGGUACACCUAUUCAAAUACCAAAAACAUCCCGAGCUAGUAAGUUGGUGAAACGAUAAAACUAAUUAUAUAAUCAGCUAGAACGGAGAAAAGAUGAAAUGAUAUUCCUAGCUAGAAUUCAAGCAUGCAAUUUAAUGCUUUAAUACCAUAAUUAACCUAAAAAAAUAAGAAAUAAGAAUAGCCAUAUGACCAAAACGAAAAGGAAAAAGAAUAAUUAAAAGAAGAAAAACCAUGUUUUUGUUUUGAAUCUUUUGAAUUCAUGAUGAAUGAUUCAGUACAGUGCAAGAAAAAUUACCUUUUUUUCUUUCAUGGGUUUUGGCGACGAGGCCGUCUGAGAGAUAUCCAUUUGACAAUUUCUCAGAAGAAGAAGAGGACGAUAAAGAUGAAGAAGCCGAAGAAGAAGAAGAAGGCAAAGAAUCCAAACUAAUACUCUUCUUCAACAAGGUGGUAUGAUGAUGAUGAUGAUGAGUUGUUGUUCCAUUAUCAAUGAGUUGAACUCCAAAUAACUUAAACUUGGUUUCUUUAUGCUUUUGAAUGGUGCAAGUUCUUGAAUUGUGACCCACAUUCCCACAGUGUGAGCAUUUCCUCACCAUCUCUCUCUCUAUCUCUCUCUCUCUCUCUCAAAUGGAAUCUCAAACUAACACCAAAUUCUUUCAAAAGUAUAAUAUAAAGGGUUUAAAAAGGAAGGGGUAGCUGUGUUGUUGUUUUGAUUAAAUUAAAUUAAAUCAAAUCAAAUCAAUAGGGUUUGUGUUAAUUAUUAAUUAGUGAAGAAAGAGAUAUGAUCCUCUCCUCCUCCUAGGUUCUUUCUUUAAUGAUUAUUGACGUAAAUAGCAAGUCAAGAGGUGUGUGUGUUUGUGUCUCAUUGGAUCAUAUUCUUUUUCUUAUAUGAUAAUAAUAAUGAUAUGAUAAAACUUAUCCUAAAAAUGGCAUCUUUUUUAAAACUCCCACAUGACCAACGUGACCUUAUAUUUGUCCCAUUCUUUCUCAUAUCUCUCUAUUUUAUUUUAUUCUUUCUAUCCAUUUUCACCUUUUCUUUCUUUCUUUCUUUCUUUUUACUCUCAUUUCUACUUAUUCUAAGUAAGUUAGAUUACAUAUUUGCACACGAAUAGUUUGAAAAUUUUAAGGGUUUUUCUUUAAUCCUAAUAAUACUUCAUUUGAAUUUUUAAAGAAUUUUUUAUACCUAACAAUAGUUUUUGAAAUAUUUAUAAAAAAUUAACAGUAAUAAUACUAAAACUUUUAGAAAUUUAUCAAAAAAUAUAUAUAGUAAAUUUGACAUUCUAUCCAUGUAAAUAUAAGUAAAUAUUUUAAUUUAUUUUACUACUUUAAAAAAUGCUCGAAAAAUUGUAGUAGAAAAUAUUUACAAAAUUUAAAAUUUUAUCAAUUAUGGAUGUAUAUUAUUUGAAGGUGUCUUUUUUUAUUUUUUAAGUAUGAAACAUAAUUUUUUAAAAAAGCUUAAGAAGAUAUGUUUAAUUUUUUUUCUUUAAAUUACUAUUAUUUGUUAUUGAAAUUGGGGUGACCACAAAAUUCCCACCAUACAUUAUUGUGAUGGGAAAAAGGGAGUGAUGUUGAUACCAACCAACAAAACCCUAUUUUUAGUUGGAGAUUUGCCCAAAAAAAAAAAAAGAAGAAAUUUGAAAUAAUUUCUUGAAGAUUGCUCCAUAUAAAAAAAGAUGGGAUAAAAAAGAGAAUGAUUACAAGCAAGUUGGCAGAACAACUACUGAAAUAUCAACAUUCAACACAUUGUGACCAUACAUUUUUGUGGAAGCUAUUUCCAUUGAUUAUAAACUUCCAAAUCAAACAUUUCCAUACAUUCCCUACACACACACACAAAAAUACCAACUGUUUCUUUUAGAUUUUCAACUUUGUUAACUAUCACGUUAAUGUGAUAUAUAUGUAUUCAAUUUUCUUAACAUAUUAGUUAACUUGUCAAGUUGGCAAAAACCUUAAUUUCAAUAGUAUUUUUGGAAAGCAUUUUAACCUAUAGUUUUUAAGACGAAGGACAAAAAUGAAUUCCAUAUGAGUCUAAAGUUCAUUAAUUCUUUUGUAUAUGAUAAGAAAGGUAAGGCAUUGGCCAUCAAAUCUCACCAUUUAGAAAUCCCAUGUUGUCUCCAACAUGGUGGACCAAAUUUCCAUACCCACAAUAUCAUUAUCCCCUCUCUCUCUAUAUAUAUAUAUAAACUAUAUUAUUACUAUUUCUAUAUACUUUGCAUAAAUAAUAAUAAUAAUGCUUUGUGUUUGUCUAACAUGAGACAACUAAUUAACAACUUAUUAUAAUCUCAUUCUCUUUAAACAUAAAACCCUAAUUCACAUUAACCCAACUUGUCCCUGUACUAUUGUUCUAAUAAUAGCAUUUUUCACAUUGCUAUAUAUUUAAUCAUCCAAAAAGUAUUAUUUAAUUGAUUAUAAUUAAUUAGGUGACAAUUUUGUUAGAAUAUAUAUAAGUGAAUUAGCGAAUUAAAUUUAUGAAGAGAUUAUAUAUAUAUUUUUUUUAACCUUUUCAAAUGGUAAAAAGAAUUACUAACACAAUUUAUUAUUUACUUGAGUAUUAAGCAUCAUAUUUUAGGGAGGUGAAAAUGUUUUCUCUACCCAACAUUUACUAAUUAACUCUUUUGUUUUUACUGACCCUUUUCAAACUUUACACCAAAAAUAUCGUAAAGUAGUUUUAAUUUAAGCAUAUAUAUAUAUAGGGUGUGAAAAUGAUAAUGAUGCAUCUUUUUCUUUUAUAAAGUAGUUUGACUUAAUCACCUCUCCCCAUUUCAAUAUUCUUUUCGAUAAUUAAUCAAUGGACUUUCCCUUACCUGCACUCAUCUCGUUUUAAUAUUAAAAACUAAAAUAUCACAUAUACAAACUGCACCAAUCGAUGAUAAGUACUAAUAUCUGUCCAAGAAAUAUGUUUUUUUCUAAGUAAUUAAGAAACCAUCAUGUAUAACCACACUAAUUAAUUAAUUUACUUAAUCUCCUGUUUCUUUGGCCUAAUUAUUAAAAUCCUAGUUGCAAUCUGAAAAGGUGUAGUAUAAAUUAAUUAUACACAUCACACUUUGAAUGUAACCUUUUCUUGUUCCCUUCAUUUCUCUUUAAUAUUUAAGGCCAAGUUGAGUGGAUAUCUUAUUAAUUUAUCAAAAUUAAACUCUAAUAUAUAUUGGUGAAUUUGACUGCUACUUUGGUUUCUACUUUGAUAUAAAAUUAGCAUAUGACAUAAAAAUAAUUAACUAAGUUGUUUUUUAUUCACUGUCGUCUAGUGAGUGAAGGAAGAUAGUUAAAGUAACACAUAAUGUAAGUUAUUAUAUGUUACAAAAUUAAAGCAUUAUCAUUUAAAAUAAUGGGAAUUAAAUUAUAAAUUUAAUAAAUCUUUCCAAACCAUAUAUUAUACUUUUAAUUGAAUUUUACAUUUAAUUGGAUUUUAAACUUUCAAUUUGACUAACCCAUUUAAAUUUUUAGGACUAAAUUUGUAAAUCUAAUAUGAAAUUAAUAUGAUUCAAGCCUAUUAAUUUAAAACAUUGUUGAGUUUCUAUGUAUGAAAUUAUGGUGAAUCUUCUCGAAGAUAGUGACUAAAUAAAAUUAAUUAUCACAUUUGCUAUAGUGACGACUAAAUAAAUAAAGUAACAAUAUCUUAAUUAAGGAAUAACGACAAAAUUAAACUUAUUACAAAUAAUUAAUAUUUAAAACGAAGCAAUAUAGAGAGAGAAGAAUCAAUUAUGGAAAUAAUAAUUAAUGGAAGUUUAAGAUAAUGUUUUAAAUUAACAAAAAAGUAUAUGGACCAAUUUGGUUCUCCAAAGUUCAAAACCCUCUAUUAAUUAAAUUAUAGACAAUUAAUUAAGAAAAUUCAACUUGAAUCUAUAUAAAAGCUUAAUUAAUUUAGAGAUAAUGACCAAAAGCUUAGGGGUUGUGUGGAGAUCAUUUGCUUUAAAAAACCCUACUUAAUUUUUUUUAAUACAAAAUAAUUAUGAGUGAUGGGACCAACUCAACAUCCAAACCAAAAUUUCUAAGGUAAUUAAUUUACAUUGUGGAUAUUAAUUAAUCAUGCCAUUUUUUAUUUCCAAAAUUAGACUUUAUUAUAAGAAAAGUUAAGUCUAACUUAAUUAAUUGAUUACAAAUUAUGAAAUUGACUAUUACACGAUAGGUUGAAGUGAUCAUAACAUAAUACUAAUGCAUAUCAAAUUAAUCUAAUUAGUGCAUCUAUGAUUCUUAAUUAUAAGAAAACAAUAGUGUUUAUAAUUAAUAAUGGAAAUAAAAUUAGACUAAUUCAUUGAAUAUGGUCUAAAUAAUCAGGUAAUUAAUUAAGGCAAUGAAUAUAAUCAAGGGAUGUUCUCUCUAUCUCCAAUAAUCAUGCAUGAUAUAGGAAAUUAAAGUUGAUUAAUUAAGAUGGUUGAAUAUUCCCUAAUGUUGACAUUCUUCUUUCUUUUUUAUUAAUUUUGCUGUAUUGAUUAAUAGUUAUUUUUUAGUCCUGACAUUAAGCUUAAUUAAUUUUACGUAUAGUUUAAGGAUGAUUAAAUUACAUGUGUGAUGUCACUUGAAAAUGUGUUGAUUAUUUAAAUUAUAAGCAACCAUAUUAUUGCAUAUGAAAUGAAAUUAAACACUAAUUAAUUUGCUCUUGCUCUCAUGAUUAAUAUAAUUAAAUUAGCCUCUUUAGGUUACGUGAUGCAUCUGCCCUCUAACUUAUCUUCAAUUGGUUUAUUAGAGUGAUAUAUAUGUAAGAAAAGGAAAUUAAAUUAAAUUAAGAAGAUAAUUUUUCUUAAUUACAAGCUAUCAAAUUGUUAGCUUAAUUAAUUAUGAAGAUUAAUAAGGCAUACUUUAUUUAAAAGAAAACUAUGAUAUACUAUAAAUAAAAGUGUAUAUGUCAUCAUGUAAAAUGAUAUUCUGAAGUUUGAAGAACACACAGACUAUUAAAUUAGUAUUAUAUUGUGAAGACAUGUAGAGAAUUUGGUUACAAAGUUUUGUAUUAGUCAUACAAAUUUUAAUUAAUAUAGGUCUAAUUCAAUCCUUAUUAUUAAUUAAGAUUUAAGUCAAUAAUCCAACAAAAAAGAUUACAUGAUAUUUUCUUUCUCUUGUUAAUUAAUAUUAUUCACACCUAAGCAAUAAUAACAUAUAUUCACAUUAUUUAUAUUUGAAAAAUAUUAAUUAAUUAUACCAAUUUAAAUCUUAUGUUAUAGAGUGAAUCAAUUUAACCUAUUUAAUUUCUAAUUGAAAGGUCUAAAUUGGAUUAAUAUUUUUAAAUUUCAGUGUUCAAAUCAAUAUUCUUACUAACUGUGAGGGGUAAAUAAAUAAUGUACUUAUUCAAAAUUAAGAGAUAUUUAAUUAUGUUCGUUUUACAAUUUAUCAAACGUUGAUCAGAACAAACUUCAUAUAUAAUCUAAAUUAGAGUGAUAUAUUUCAACCGACACGAAUCUCUCACCUAACUCCAAUAAUAAAAAAUAUAACUUGUGAAGUCAUUAAAUUACAUAAUUAAGAAAAACCAAUAGUUAAGAGGAGAAUAUUCAAGAAUCUAAAGACAACUAUACUAUACCAUAAGACUAAGCAAUUUUGGAAUCAUGUCUACAUCUUUUAUCUAACCAAAUAAAACAAACAAAUAAAGUAAAAGCCAUUGACAAACAAAAUUCCUCUAAUAAGCAAACUUUGGUUAUGAUUGAAAAUUAAACUAAGCCAAACUUUGCACCCUAAGUCAAAAAGGGACCCUCCUAAUUAUCUUAAUCACGACUAUUUAUUUACAUCAAUGAGUUUAAUUAUGAUUUAAUGUGUUUUUUAUUAAAAUUUUAUCUCAAUUAAUUUAAAAUUAUUUUUAAAUAUAGUAAAAUAAAUUAAAAUAUUUAUAAAAAUAUCAUAUUUGAUAGGACAUAAUAUAACUAUUUAUUAUUUCUAUUGUCGUAUAAAUUCAAAUGGAAAUAAACUAUGAUUUUAAUUAUUUUUUCCAUCAAUACCUGUUUUUUUUAAGAUGAACAAUAGAACAUUAAUCAUUUAAAUAAUUCUUAUGAAAGAUUAAAAUAUUGGUUUGAAAAAUAAGUCAAUAAUUAUUUUAGCAUUAUUCCCAAUAAGAAAUGCUAUUAAUCUAAUAACCAUUUGAAAUUCUAAGGUUGUGGUUGUGAAGUUUCCUUCUGUACUAAUAUAUAUGAAAUGAAUGCAUAUGUAUAUAUUUAACUUUUAUAUUUUGAAGGAAUCAUAGGUUAUAUGUAUAUAUUUAUAUUUGAAUAAACAUGUCAUUAAAAUACACAAAUUAACAUUUAGAGGUCCAAUUAUGAUUUAAUUUGAUCAUUCCUUUUGUAAUUUUUUAACUUAAUAGAAAAAUGGACAAAUGCCAAACUGAGUAUAUAGAUUACUAUUUAAGCACAUGGUCUCUUUAUUGUCUAUUUGUAUUUUGUCCAAUUAAUUGUUAGUUCUUACACAUCUCCUAGCAAUAAUUUUGAUGUCACAUAUAUCAUAUUAAAGUAUAUUAUAAUAAAGUGUAUCAAAUUAAAUUUAGUUUAUAGUUUUUUUUUUUCUUUGUUAUAGUUCAAAUUUGAUCCCUAUAAUUUUCAAAGUUUCAAUUUAGCCCUUGUUAAUGAUUGAAACUCUCUCCUUUACUUGAUGUCAUCUUCUAAUAUACAUAUAACCAACAUAUUAACAUAUCUUAGAUGUAUUUAAGAUGCAGUAAUGUCUUGUAAUAUAACAAUAGAGAUAAUUAGUAAAAUGCAACCCAACUGUGGUGAUGAAAAUGACCAUUAGAAAACCAGUACACUAAAUUGAAACUAUAACUAAAUUAAUUAGAUGUAUGGAGUGAUAAACAUUCAUAAUUUCAUACCUCCCCACAAUCAUAUCAAUGUAGUUAUUAUAACGUAUAUCAAAGUUGUUAAGUUCGUCGAAACUGCUACUCUCUUUAAUAGCAGCAGGUCAAGACUUCUUUCUGAUAUUUGAGAUUUUGAUCAUCACAACACAUUCUAUUAGAUUAUAUUUCUCUUUUUUGUCCACAAAAUUGUAAUUUAAUUGCUCACAUUUUGGAAUGUAAUGCACCAUAAACUGACGUCCUUUUCGUAUAGCUUAAAGAUCAUUCUCCACAUGUUAAUGUUGCUCUGUCAAAAUGAUAUUCAUCUCUUUGCUUUUCUUAUAUAUUGAACGAAAAUGGACAUUCAAACUCUCACGUUUUGGGCCGGGAUGUUAGGCCCCGGGCCGGUUUCGGGAGUUAUAAAUGGGCCGCCUUUAACUAGUUGGGCUUGGGCCGUAACAUGAAAAAGCAGUAUUGGGCAAAUCCUGUAAUUCAUACAGAAAGCAGGGGUGAAUUUGCAAACUUGGUCAAAAUUUAUUGAUAUCAAUAAUUAAUAUUUACAUAUCAUAGCUUAAAUGAUUUUACUUUAUGGCAUGUAAAGUCUAUCCACUACCAAAAAGAAAUUGCCUUUUUUAACUAUAUUUUCUAUUGUUCUUUAUGUUUAAAUUUUAUAUUUUACUUUUUUUGUCAACUUGAUCUUUUAAAAUAUUACAUUAUGUCAAAUGUAUUAGAAAUUUGUUGAUAAUUUAAAAACAAAUUGAAAGACCAAUGACCAAUUUUUAGGACACAAACAAACUAAAUAUAGUUAUUAAUAGCACCAAAUAAAGGUAUUGAGAUUUUAUGAUAUGAAGUUUAUUAAUAAAAAUUUACUCUCUAAUACAAUUUAUUUAUUUUGUGUCUAAUAGAUUCUAGAAAUUUAAAAAACACUCUCUUAAACUAAAAAUCAUAGCAAAACGAAAAAAGAAAUUGAGAAUAAUGUUUUUAUUUGUUGAGUUCUUUCAAAGAAAAGAAAAAAGAAAUUGAGAAUAAGAUUUAAUAUUUAGAAUAUUAUAAAAGUUGGGACAAAACGAAGACAAGAGUCAUUUAAAACAUACCAUAGUACUAUGCACUAAAAAAUGCUAAUUAUUAGUGACAAAGAAGACCUUUCACAUCUAUGCUUUCACUUUAUUGCUAAAGGGACCUUAUAAAAGCUUCUUUAAAAAAAAAUAUUAAAGGGUAUAUUUUUACAUUCGUACAACUUAUCCUUUGAAGAUAUAAUAAGACUAAAAAUAAUUUUAUUUAGUAGGUUAAAAUUUGUUAUCGAAAGUUUAAGAGUAUAGUUGUAACUUUUACUAUACUUUGAAAAUAGUUUUAAUUUUUGUAGUUAUUGAGUUUUUACAAUAUCAUUCAUGAUGUCAUAGCAAUAUUUAAAAUAUAGAAUUCAAAGUGUGACAUACUAUUUUUUAAAUUCUAACUUGCUAGUGAACUUAGAAUAGAACGGAUAAAACAAAUUAAUGUACUAAUGGUUAGUUUUCAAACGUGUUUGGUUUGGUCGGUAACGUGUAUGUUAGGAAGAUUUGAAACAUAUACUAUUUAGUAGAUACUAGUAUCACAUGUCAAUUGAGUUAUAAGCUGAAGGUAGAUACUAGGAUGUUAUUUUUUACCCUAAGAAAUUUAUUAUAUAGUUCAAAAGCAGGAUCAUAUUUUGACUGAGGAAUAAUUUUGGAGAUAAUGAAAAGCCCAAGAAGAAACCCCAUGUUGGUUGGUUUGAACUUUUGAUUGGUCUCUGUGUCUUUUCAAAACUGAGCACACUGCUCUGAGUCAUGGAGAGGUCCGGACAUUGGCGACCCACCAUGGAACCUCUCUCUGAAUCCCAAUGUGAACCUCUCUUUUAUCUUUCUCACCUUCUCCAUUUUCUUUCAAUUUUCUCCCUUUAAUAAUGGGGGUCGAAAGAGAUUGUGAAAAAAGGCACACAACCCCAAAACCCCUUGAAACCCCUCUUUUUGUUUGUCAAAAUUGUUUGCUUCUUCAAAUUGAAAUUCCAGUUUCUGGGUUCUGAAAUACACAAAAAGCAAAACCCAAGUUGAGAAGAAAAAGGUAGUAAUCAGUAUUCUCUUUUAGUAGUAGUACAGUAUGUGAAACCAAAAAAUGGGUCAGGAAAAAGAGCUAAGCUAAGAGACAUUGAAUUUGAAAUAUUUUGUCUUGCAGUGUGGAUUGCCAGCAUUUCUCUGUUUGGGUUUGCAGGCAAACCAAGCAAGGAACAGACCCCACAACCUCAGUUUUUCACACUCAACCAUGUGGUAAUGGUAAGAAAAAACAUAUAUUUACUAUCAAUUUUAGUUUCCUGAGUUUUUUUCUUUUCUUAUUUUUGUCAUUGUGCUGUCAAAGAAUUUGUUCUUGGAAAAUCAAUCUCGAGGUUUGAGUUUCUUUAUUAUCCAACGUGGAAGCUGAAUGAUAAUUACACUUGAUUUUAAUAAAUGUACUGUCUUUUCUGUGAAAAAUAUUUUUUCUCUUUAAACUUUCAAGAACCGUACACUCUUUGAAGCAUAUUUUGUCUAUUAAACUCUUCAUUAAGAAAGAACCUUCUCUUUCCGUUCUUACUUGAGUAAUUAUUAAAGCCCACUUUAUGAGAGAAAGAGGUCUUGGUUGGAACUUCUUGAACCUGAAACGUUAGUUGACCUUGACAGGACAGAAAUUGGAUUAGUACUUUCAGAGAGACAAUUGAGAUGGUUAGAAAUUAAACCCCUUUAAUGGUUUCACUUACCAAGCCUGCAGUGCAGAGAAAAAGGCAAAAGCCAGAAGCAUUCUCUCUAGUAACAGCUACAUGGAAGUGUUGCACCAACAUUGAGGUUGUAGGUCCACAUUAUUUCCUCUAGUUAUUUCUGGUCAUUAUCCAGAUCCCAUUAUCGCUACUUGGUCAGAGCUCUAAAGAAAAAUCAGAGAAAAGAUUUAGAAAAUGGAGGGAAAAGUUUGGGUUGUAUCACAUCAGAUCCAACGGCAGAGCUCUAGAUUUAAGAUAGAAUGGUAAUGGAAAAUGGAAUCCUGAUCCGAGAAAUGAAGGCUAUCUAUUUGCAUUGUUUCAUCAUUCUGGUGUUACUCAAUGAAUAACCAUAAUGGUCCGAAUACGAAUAUUAAGGAAGGUUAGUCUAAUAAUUGAAGAAAUGCAUACACCCAAAACUAGCUGAUGGGUGCUGUUUUCAUUGCGAGACAUUAAAUUUGUCAAAGAUAUCCCACAAGAUCUUCUCGUCAGUUUUGGUUUGCUUGCAUCAUCAUUUUCAGGCUCUUUUCUCUCGCCUUUCUCUGAGACUAUAUCUGUUCAAAAGUACACUGCUGAAACAGUAGUCUCUCUUUUUUCACAUUUGAUUGCCUUAAGUUCUUAGUUGUUUGAUUCUGAAGAGAAAGUGUGAUACUUUGUUACUGUAUUACUCUUGCUUCUCAUCACUUUGGCUUUCUUGUUCAGAAUAGCUUAAAAAGAAAGGGACUGUCUGAAAAAUGGUGCUGAGAAGACCUGGCAGGAACAGGAAUUUCAACAGAGAGAAUCCAGAUAUUUUGAUUAUGAUGAUUGCAGUGGAUCAGAUAAUAAGAGGUUGUGAGCAGGACAAAGGAGAUGGCACAGAGAGGAAGGGGAUGGGCCCUUUAAAGCCUGCAACAAAGAGUGAGUGGUUUCUGCAUCCCAAGAGCUAUGGUCUCUCCUCUUUCUUGCUCUCCACCCCCUGGUUUUCUCUUGUGCGGCUGAUACUUCCUUCUAUCUUUAUUUAGUGGGUCCAUUUCCUCCAUCUCCACCUUCAUGCAGAGUCCUCUUUUUUGCCUCUUCACUCUCUCUCUCUUCCUUUUAAUGGUUCUCUGAGAUGGGUGUCAUUCAUUUUCCAGAGCUGUACGUAUUUUAGCUUUAAAGUUUGAGAACAGAGAUUGAGAUUAUACAUCUCCCUGCCGUUCAAUCCUCCAAACUUAAGCUUCUCGGGGUUUGAGCGCUUGAAGCUAUUCCAUUCUCCUUUUUUCAUGCAAAAUUUUGUAUCACUUUUCUUUUACCAUCGGCUUUAUGUUGUUGUGAUUUGGCAGAAGCCGGAAAAGUGGGAAUACAGCACCAGUCAUUAUUACUUCUUUUCCCCUUGUUUUUUUCUAUAAAAGCAAAGCUUCUCUUCCACUUUAUCUGAACUUUCACAAUGGCACCCUUUUCUGGAGAAACAAAAGAAACCAAGUUCUUUGAAUCUUCUCCUUUUUCUUUUUUAAGUUGUCUUUGAUCACCUGUGAGUGAAGAACCAUAAAGCAGUGAACAUUAUAGCAAUUUUUUUUCGUUUUAUAACUUGCAGGUUUAAAGCUCUUCACUAAGCCAUCACAUCCAUUUAAUUUGCUUAGAAAUUCAGGACACGGUCAUUUUUUUUUCAGGGGAUUUGGUGUGGGGCUUUCGCUCUAAGUUUCUCAUCCUAUAUAGGAUGACAGAGAUUCAUCAAAUGGAAGGUUGGUUUCUUUGUCAUUUUAUGCUAAUGGCUCAAUGUUUAUGUUCUGGCUGGUGGUUUACAGAGUGAGUUUUGAUGUGGACCUUUAUUUCUUCUGUCUUGUAUGAUGUUAUGUUUGUUCCCUCCUUUGUAUCGUGUGUCAAAAUAAAUUGAACAUCUUCAACGAAUGGCUUGUCAAUAUUAAUUUUUUGCUGGUCCCUAAACGUAACAUGCUUUUCACUCUUGUGGCAAUAGGUUCUGGAUAUGUUACAACUACUAAUUUCCCUUUCCAACUCUGAAUAAUAAUAAUAUAGCAUAGCCUGUCUCUAGAGGAAUGUGAAUUUGGAUGUCUGGAUUGAGCUGCAAGUUCAUUUCUUUUUCCAUUCAACUGAGAAGUUCAUUUUUUGUUUGAUAAUGCUAUAUUGACUUAUAAAUGCUAUUGAAAUCGCAGCUAAAAAGUGAAUGUGGUUUGAAUCGAGUAUGUUAAUCUCAGCUGUUGCUUUGGAUAAAGAAUGGUAGUUUUCCGUCUAGACUGCGUAUGGGUGGGCGAAUGAUUUGAUGAAUGCUCUGGUGGAUAUGGUAAACCCAAAUUCUGUUGUUGUAUGUGAAAUUCUGCCUCUUGGCUUUUAGAACUCAGUUGAUACGUCCAAUUAAUGAACUAAGCAAUAUUACAGCUGGAUUUCCUAUCUUUUUAAGUCUGCGGGAGUCUGGAUGCUCUGCUCUUACUAGUGCUGAUAAUCAUAUAGUUGAACAAUUGACAUUUUGAGGUUUUCCAAUGUCUACUGCCCUGCAACGAAUCGAUAUGGGAGAUGCUUGUCUGGGUCCCUCUGGUAAUGCUGAGUUUCAAAAUCAAUUGGCAGUAGCCAUUCCUAUUUCUCUGUUUCAAUCUACCUCUCUUGCUCCAGUGAAUGAUAUUCGUGGAAAUACAAAAGAUUCAGCAUUUCCAGACCCACAGUUCCAGCAAUUAGAAACCUUUAGAACGUGCUUCUUACACAGUUACUCUAAUGCUUCAAAUUCUUCAUUUGCAAGUUCUCUGAUCUGUGAAGGUGAUGAGUCUCUAUGUAAUGCAAAUAAUAAGUGGGAAAGCGAUAGGUUUCAUUGUAUUCAGCAACUUUCUGGGGAGAAUCCGGAAACAUCUGAUUCCCAGACCGUCUUGUCCAUGGAACACCUGCACCAGAAUGGCUGGAUGUCAUCUAACACUAUGAACUCUAAGUUAUGGAAUGAGCUUUCUCUAAGCCUUGCUACAACCGAACCCGUCCUCAGUGGAGGAACUGAUUUCCUGGACCAGUAUUCUCAGUUGACUUUUUCUGGUGCUACUCAACCUUGCUUGAACAGCACAGAAUUAGCCUCGAACUUAAAUUCAGGCAGCUCUAGGGACCUCUCUCUAAGUUAUGGAUGUGGUAAUUCUGUUCGCCUUUCUCGAGCAAUAGCAGGAUCUAGAUAUCUUUCGGUCAUUCAAGAUGUACUUUCUCAAAUUGCAAGCUAUCCACUGGAAAACUCAGAUCAAGUUGAUCAUUCAACUACUGCAACUGGGUUUGUGCCGUUGUCAUCAUCAAGUUCCCUGGAUGAUGCAACGAUUGAAUAUGGUUCUGAUGUUACUGGUAGAUACAGUUCUCAAAUGGAGCCGGAAUGGCAAAAUCUAUCUGUUGAUGCCAAGAAGUCCCAUCUGUUGACUCUACUACAAUUGGUUGGUUAAUUUAAUAUAGCGUUUCUCUGAUUUUUAUCUUUUUACCCUUCUUAUACUGAAAAACUUGAUAGUGUUUCAGAUUGAUGAGAGGUACACUCAAUGCUUGGAUGAGAUUCAUACCGUUACUUCUGCGUUUCAUGCUGCUACUGAUUUGGACCCUCGCUUGCAUACUCGAUAUACACUCCAGACGAUCACUUCGGUGUAUAAAAACUUGAGGGAGAAGAUUACCAGUUGUAUUUUUGCUAUUGGGAAGCAUUCUAACGCAACGUGCACCAAGGAGAAGGAAAAAUUCUUUGAGGCAACAUUCUUACAGAAGCAGUGGGCUCUCCAGCAGUUGAAAAGGAAAGAUAAUCAAUUAUGGAGGCCACAGAGAGGCUUGCCUGAAAAAUCUGUCUCCGUUCUUAGGGCAUGGAUGUUUCAAAAUUUUCUCCAUCCGUAAGAUUUUGUGACAAAUCUGGUUUACUUUUUGAAGAUACGUAUAGUAAGUUGAAGGAAUGUUUGUUCUUUGGUGAUUUUUCAGGUACCCCAAGGACACAGAGAAGCAUUUACUUGCAGUAAAAAGUGGAUUAACUAGAAAUCAGGUUCUUGCUGCUUCAAGAUUUCCUUCAACUUUCAUGAGUUCUCCUCACUUUUACUGAGUUCUGCUAUUCUGGACUUUGGACAGGUGUCUAAUUGGUUCAUCAAUGCUCGUGUCCGAUUGUGGAAACCGAUGAUCGAGGAAAUGUAUGCUGAAAUGAGCAGAAGAAAAUCCAAUCAAAAUGAGGAGGGAAUCGAAAGAAUUCAUUGUCCCAGAUAAGCAUUAGCAGUGAGAAGAUGUGGCUCGAACUGUGAAAAUGAUAGACAGUAUUGAGCACUGUAUGGAACUUGAAUUGAUUAGAAAAGUGUACUAGACUGAAUUAAAUUCAACUAUAUAUUCUUUUUGACAAUUUAACCUGAGAAAUUUCUUUAGCUUCGCAUUCCUGGCUACAUCAUAAUAGACAAUAAAAUGCAAUUAGUCAGCAGAGAAACAUCACCACAAACUUCAUUCUGAAAAGAAGGAAAAAGAAAACACGAUCAAUAAGCGAAGUUCAAUCUAAAAACAUUAUUUAUUAAUUGAAAAUAAAUAAUUCUGAGAUUUACAGAGAAUGGUGCCCUCCUCCUCAACUAACUCUUUUGAUUACAAAUGAAAGAAUGACAAUUUCUGAUUUCUGCCUAGAAGUUUUCACUAUCAAAUAUUCUGUUUCCUUCUUUAUCUACACCCCACACCCACACCUCUCAUUCACGAACUGAUGGAUUGCCAAAGAAAAAACAAAAAAAACUGUCCCAACUCCUCACAGUACAUAUAAAUACAAAAAGUGAUUAAUAUUUUUUGUUGCGCCUCCUUUCAUCGUCUUGUUGUUCUAGACUUGCAAGGAGAUUCUUGUUUUUAUCGGUUUCAACUUCAAUCCCAUACUUUCUGGUGACAGAAGCUCGGGAGCUAUGCAAGAAGGGCUCAAGGGGCUUCUUGGGCUGACGCUAAAAUGAGAUGGCCUAUACAUGCCAUAUCCCAUGAGAAAAUACUCCAUAGGUAUCAACAUUGCAUCAGGCUGCUCCUCUGUCACCAUUGACCCACAUGACUGAACCUAAGAUGUGAGAAUAGCCCCUUUUAAUUCAUAGUAGUAUAAAGCUCGGUUUAUGAUUUUCAUGUAUAUUUAAUCUCCAAAAAGGAAAAAAGAAAGUUCAACAUACUUCCACUAGGGCACUGUAUCUUCUGUCUAGUUUGACAGUCAUGUGGUGAGCCUCUGAAUGGAACGGGGACCUGUCCCCAACAAAUAUCAAUGAACGGCACUUUAGUUUCCGUAACCCUUCUGAAAUGUCGGGUCUCCUGCAUGAAAGAAAAAAAAAGUUUAGGAGGGCCUUCGACCCCAUAUGUGUAUCAUCUAACUAAUGUAAUUUCACAUCAGAGGUAUAGAGGAAAAGGACCCCAACAAUUGUCAAGCACAAAUUCAAAGAUUGGAGUUAGAUGCUUACCCAUUCAUUGCUUCAAGAAACCUCCAGACGUUUGAACUUUGCCUCUCGUCAAGUGACUGUAGAAAGAACAUGAUCAUAAUGUUUGAUCAAACAAAUGCUCAACUCUUAAAAUCUGUCAAGUUUUCCAACUCUGGAAUAACUGACAGUUUAAAGUUGCUAAAAGAAAACGAUGAAAAUGCUGCAGUACUCACUCUUCUGCAUGCUUGAACUAAAUCUGACUCUGGUACUUGAGAACAACCACGAGCAUCCUACAACCAGCACAGUACAAAUGUCUAAUCAAACUCAGUUGGGAUGAAUAACUCUAGUAAGAGAGUUUGAGUUUGUGCAAGUAAACCUGCAGUUGGUCUGUGUUUAAGUUGAGAAGAAAAAAGAGUUUAAAAGUUCACACGUUCAAGUGCAAUUUUCAUAUCAUCAAAUUGGUUUUGAAGGAAUAAAAACCGAUUUCAUGGUGAUUUUGAAAACAAAGCAAUUUUCAUUUUUAGACCUACCUUACUGAAAUACCGCUUCAGCAACAACUCCUUCACUACCCCACACAUGCCAUAGAAAUAAAGCAAAUUUGACAUCACCUGCAUAUGGAAAAUCUGUUAAUAAGAUGAUUCCAAUAAACCAGAAGACGAUCAUAAUAGUUCUUUCGUUCAGAAAGACGACCUUAUUAUACAACCAUUCUGUCCAACAGGGCGCUGUGCAUAUGGGAGAAAUCAAUAUCAAACCAUGAACACGAUGUCUGUGCUUCAUCUGCAACCAACAAGUGCAAUCAAUAUAUGACAAAAGUUUACAAGAGGAACUGAAAGAAAAAACCAUGGGGGGGAAGGAUAAAGUAAUCAAGUGGAUGGUGAACAAAGAGAAAAAUUACAGCAAAGAGAGUGAGGAUGUAUGCUCCAGCAGUAACACCCAUACACAUCACAGCACUAAGUCUGGGAGAAAGAUAAAGAAGAAGAGUAAGUCAUCAGAUCCGUGCAUAUUCAUUUCGGAUAGAGCUCAAGUGUAAAACAAAUAAAACAGCAAAGCAUCAGACCAGUGGAAUUCAAAACUUUAAACAAGUCGAAGUUAUUAAAAAAAAAUUGAAGAUAGCCAAAAGGAAUAUCGAAUUACCCAAAAUAGUUAAGAACUUCAGCAAUUUGAUCUGCUAAGUCAUCUGCAGAAAGUACAGGAUCAUCAGGGCAAAUUGCAGCAGCUCCUAACUGCAACUCUUGAACAAGGUCCCAUUAUGAGAAGAAUUCAUGUGGAAGUAAAAAAGACAACGUACUUGUUGGAAAGUUCAGUUUCAUUGAAGCAACACCAAAAAAAAAUUACACAGUAGAUUAUUUUGUACAUAGCAUAGAUUAAAAGAAAUUCACUCGUACAAAGUAAUUUAUUUUAUGUAUGUGUGUGGAAAAAAAAAUAAUGACAUCAGUAGAGAUAUUAGAACAUCCCAAUUAUACAAACCUCGUGUCCGGGAGGGCUGAUAUGAUAUAUGCAAAAGUUGUGAAGCAAUAACGAACAAGCUUCUGGACAAAACAUUAAUCCUUGGAAGCAGAACAUAUCUGAUAAAUAAUAAAACAUAGCACGUUUAAACAUUGGUAACAGGAAAAAUUAAAGAAAGAUUCUAAAAAUCAAAGUCACAAGUCAUAGAAUCAUUUCAUUUUAACCCCAUAUCACAAUUUAUUAACCUUACUAUCCUCUUUAAAUAACUUAUUUUUGUCUAUUUUCAAAGAAUAAGCUUGUCUAAUAAAAAUAAUGGAUUUCAAAAGCUACUAUUAAAAGAUUUAACAAUUAUGUGGGUGAAAACAAACCAAAAAGGCAGAUGUUCCAGCAAAAGGACUGUAGAUAAUAGAGGUAAGAAUAACCAAUAUUCUGGAUUCCAAAAAAUUCAACACGUUAAAUUUAAAACAAAAACUCCAUCUAAUCAACCUUAAACUCCAAAGUGUGUCUAAUUUAUUCAAAGACUCCACUUCUACACUCAAAAUCAUGUUUUGAAUAACAAUUUACAUGACACAUUCUACAUACUCACGAUUUAGAGCUAAAUCGGGAUAAGUGAUUAAAGCUGGCUUGUCCAGGUCUCCAACCACGGUGACAGAAACAACACCAUAACAGGUUUUCACAAGAUACUCCUGCCAAAAAAAAAUCGAUUGAAGAAAUAUUAGUUUUCAAACGUAGUCAUCUGAACUAGAGAAUGGACGCACCAAAAAAAGGCGGCAAGUAAUACAGAACCAUAAAAUGAACUACUAUAAAAAGGGAAUUGCAAAAGCUUAAAUAUAAGGAAAUUCGCAGUUGAAGACGCAAACAAUAAAACAGAUUAAAGAAAGUUAGUCUACUAAAAUUCAAAAUGUAUUUCUAAACUAGUAAAAAUCCCAACAUCCAUCCACUUUUGGUAGACCGUUGAAUUCCGAACGAAAAUCAACACCAAUUACCCUUAGAAAAUCUAACUAAAAUCAACAAUGCACAUCCAAAAACCUUAAUUACCUCCGUGUAAAACGAUCACUAAUUACACGAAUUCAUCCAAUAAAAAACAUAACGAACCCCAUGUUUCAAUUCAAUCCAAACUUCCCAGCAUGUUCUCAAAAAGCAAACAAAGCACAGUGUUCAAACACAUGAAACCAGACGGAUUUACACAAGCAACAGGAAAUGCAGGUACCUUUCCUCCACAAGAGAUCGACUCCAUAUCCACCGAAACCGAGUCGCUCGAAUCCCCCAUUUCCUUCUUCCCUUAUUCUCUCACCUUUCUCUCUUCCCCUAAAUCCUCCUUCCCUUAUUCGCUACUCAAUACACAGAAUGCUCCUUCUUCCUUUUAUAUACCACCAAAUCUCUUCAACAAUUCCACCACUACAUUAUUUGGGGGAAAAAUUUCAACUCGUCCCUUCGAAUCGUCCGAGUCAAUACGAGUCACCGACGCCGCGUUCCCCUUCCAUCGCACAUUGACAGAAACCUCACGAGCGCCCUGUAACGAACAAACUAUAACCCGAUACCCUGGUUGGUUUAACCAUGGUUAGGAAGCCGACAGUUUAUUUGAAAUUACUUAAAUACCCACAAUUUCCCUUGACAGCGACCUCCUCUCUUACCACAUGAAAAAGGGCGAUUUUCGUCUAUUCACGUUGAUUUUUUAAUUAGUAAUAAAGAGGGAAAUAGUAAGUAGUUAAGCUUUGACUAAGGAAGAGAUAAAAUGAAAAUAAAAUUAAUAUAAGGGAAGUGUUAUUUUUAUUUGUGGGACCUGCGUUUAUUUAAAGUAACGUAAUCAUUUAUAUUAUAAAGUAUAUAAUCUGUCACAAAUUUUGGGGAGAGGUUUUUCCUUAUUUUUCUUUUUUCAAUUAUUCCAUUUAUAAUAUGGUAUUGUAUUUUUGUUAUUUAUUGCAUUGCCUAAAAGUGGGGAGUGGAUUUAAUGAAAAUAAUUUUAGAGGAUCUACUUGUUUUUAAAUUAGUUUCUGUUUUUGUUAAUUUUGUUUAAUUACUUUUUUUUGUGCAUAAAUACAGUUGAGUUUUUAAUAGUAUUGUUGCACCAUUAAAGUUAAAACCUUUUCUUCUUCUUUUUCUUUUUAAUAAGGUUAGUUGUCAUAUACCAUAUUUUCUUGCCCUAAUAGAUUUCAUCCGUUUAUUGAAUAAUAAAUUAUUGCCUUUUUAAUUAAACUUUCUAUAAUACUCUAAAAAAAUAUCAUUUCGGGAUGAUUUUGUUUGGUAUAGGUGUGAAAAUGAUAGAUUGAAUCUCCAACUUAGUGAAGUAUAUGUGAAACAAAGUUCAACUGACAUUAGAUGUGUAUUGUCACAUUCUAUGUUAAAGGAUACCGAAUUCAUGAAUCUUCAAAACAAAAAACAUUAAACAAUAACAUGCAUCCAAACUAUUGUAAUAUUUUCGUGUGAAUGGUGUUGCUUGAGCGAACAUUUUUUAUAAAUAACAAUGAUGAAAUGUUACAAUUCUAAAAAAAAAUAACUAAAUUUUUUUUCAAUUUUUAUUACCCUUUAUUUUAUUAAAGAAAUACCAUUGAAACCCUUCUUAGAGAUUUUACUUACAGUGUCAAUUAUUUACGUAUAUACUUAUAGAACAAAAUCAUUAAAAUAUAUAAUUUGUUAGGUGUAAAUACAUCCUUAAAUGUUAUAUUUUUUUACGAAUUUUUCCUUAAAUUUGUAUAGAUUUAAAAAUAUUUGAUGUUAUAAGUUAAUAAAAGAAAAUGGUUGAAAAAUGGAAGAAUGUCCACGUGUAAAACAUAAGUAAAGAUCUCGACCGUGUAAUGUUUUAAGGAAUGCAAUCGAAAUAUUUUAUCUUUCAAAUAAAAUAAUACAAAAAGUAAAAAAGAUAUAUAUAUAAUAUAUAUAUAUAUAUAUAUAUUAAUAAUAACAUUAACAUAAUAUGUUUAAGAGAAGUGGAAGCAUAUAAUAUGUUAUCAUUCUUAUCCUCUUUUCUCUUUAUGCUUUACUCUGUUUUGGAAUUUUGGUCCACUAAAGAUAAGUGAAUGCUUCUUUCUUUCUUUUUCUUUUGAAAUAUUGAGAGAAAGAAAUGGUUGAUCAAAAUAUUAUAAUAAAUAAGUAAAAUACAACAUUUUGUUUUAUAUAUGCACGUUAUAUAUUUCACUAGGUUUGGAAAAUGAUGCGAUAUAUGUAACUCUAGAAUAUCAAACGUGGAGGAAUUUUAUUUGCUUAUUUGAUAAAGUUCUUUUAAGUUGAAAAGUUCACGUUAGUUUGUAAUUAAAACUUAAAACAUCGUAGUAAAGAUGAGAAUUAUCUUAACACAUGCAAUGUAGUGCAUCGUUUCUCAUCCAAACUUCAUUGUAUUGUUUGUUCUUCGUACUUCAUAUUGCAAGUGUAUUUUUAAGGUUUUUUUUUUCGUAAAUUGAUAAUACAAUUGCAUCAUACAAUUAAGCUAAGUUUGUUUGUUCUUUUAAGCAAAUUAAAAAUUAACAUGGUGUGUCUCGUACUGUUUUAAUUUUAGUUAUACUUGUUAAUUGAACAUUAUUAGACAAUUUAAUUCAAUAGUUGAUUUGUUAUAGGAUACCUUAUUUAAAUUAUAUAUUUAUUAUUUUGUUGAACGAUGAAUCGAAGACUAAUAUAAUACAUAUGUGAUUAUGUAUUUUUUUUCAAAAUGUGAAUAUAUUGCUAUAUUUAUUUGUUAUAAUAAAUCUAUUUACAUUCGAAUAAAAAUAACUAGUGAAUUUUGUAUCUUUUCAUUUAAUUUGUCUUCUAUAUCUCACAACAAUUGUCAUGCAUGGCAUGAGUUGGUCCCACGAAAUUAAAACAGUGAAUUGAUUGAGCAAAAUAACUAAGUUGGAUUUUGAUGGUUAUUAAGCAACGAUAAAUCACACAAUAAAUUAGAUAUUCGACGUGCUCUUAAGAGCAAUAUAGAAAGUAGAUAGUUAUUACAAGAAUAAACGAUGAAAUCACGUCAACAAAGUAAAAAGAAAAAGAAAAAACAACACAAUAAUGUUGAAAUUUUUGUUUAAUCAUAUUUUAUACUUUAUCAUGUCAAAAAUUAAUUAUGUACUCUCCAUCAACAAUCUUAAAACAAAGUCUUUAGUUUUGUAUAAAAAAAAAUUGAUUAAUAAAAACAAUUAAAUAUGGUAUAAAGUAAUUUAUAUAAUAAACCUUUACACAAUUUAAAAUUAAUAAUAAUGCAGUAAAUCGUGAUGUUAUUAGUAAAGGAAUGGACAAAAAAUCGCACGCAUGUGUCACGUGAUUAAUUAUUAAAUAGUAAAAUUAAACAUACCAAAUCACAUAAUGAUUUUAAGGUUGGAAAAUGAAUAUAUUUAACCAUAAAGUGUAGUUAGGUGAUGUUAUUAUUUUGGAAUUUAAAUGGGACAUGUAGUGCCUUUCCUUAAACUAGAAACCAUGACCAAAAAAAUUACUGAGGACGCAAAAAACUAUGCUAUAAAAUAAAAAGCAACGUCUGAAUUGAAGUUCUAAUGUCCUUCCCCCAUCAACAACAACCAUUAAUAGCUCCACCCCAACUCAACACCAAAAUCCUUUUCCAAGUUUAAUCCUUAGAUCUACUCAUCCAUUCUUUGUUAUACUAAACCUUUUUCACUGUUACAUCAAUUUUUUCAAAAGGUUCUAGAGUCAUCAUAUGACGUUGAAUUUUAUUUUUUUUCCGCUAUCUUCUUUAUCAAGUUUGAAAGGUGGUUCGAUUUUUCAUUUGGUUUAUAUAUCUAGAUAUCAAAUUGAACCAAGGAGAUUUGUUGUAUAUAAAAGAAACCACGUCGAUGUACAUAACAAAAUAAAAAAUCAACUUUUAUUCGAUUCAAUCGACUUUUUUCUUUUGAAAAAUUAAAAAAAUAGCAAAUUUUACAAAAUAUUUACAACUUAUAGUAAAUUUUGUAAAUUCUAGUGAUAGUCACCAACCAAUAGAAUCCAAAUUUUUGUUAUAACUUAUAAAAUAUUUUAGUUUAUUUUGUUAUUUUUAAAAAUUGUAUUCUUUUUAUUUAUCAAAAAGGAAAUAUAUGACUUUUUAGACUAUAUAUAUAAUAAUAACAAAAAAAGAGGGAGAAAUAAGAGAAAUAUGUAAUAAACUAUUUUUGUCUUCUUCCCAUUUAGCUUGCUAGUGCAUGUAACCUAUAUUCUAAGAAAUAAAGGGAAAAUAAUUAUAUUGGGGACUUUUGAAUGGAGAUAGCUAUCUGUUUACAUUAAUUUCAACAUUUACAAGUAAAGCCAUAAACAAUUAAUAUUGAUGAAUUUAUAUGUGAAAAAGCUACCAUAUAUAUUAAAUAUAUAGUUUAAAUUAUGCUAUAUAUUUAUGUUUCUUGAAAUGGAAAACAUGUUAGGAUGGUUACGUUAUUCAUUUUUAACUUUCCUCCUUGAUUUAUGGUUGCAAAAUUCAUAAUAUAACUUUUAAUAAGUUGACUAUAAAAAUCAUUAGAUGUUAUUCGAAUAAUAUCGGUUAAAUUAGAAUAAUAUAACACAUUAAAAAUAUUUGGACACACCAUAAGAUGCCCAAAUUAAAUGUUUAACUAAUACAAAUUAUCUUUUUAUUGUUUGACAACUUAAUUUAAUUUAAAGAGGAAAUUUCUAAUAUAAUAGUUUCAAAAUUGUUGACCACCUAGGCCGCUACUAAGAAUCGUGUGGAAUCUAUAAUUUAUUAAUUAUAAUAAUUAAUGGAAAUGGUAGGUAAUAUAAACUUCUACUAGUAUCUCUUAAAGUUUAAAUUUACUAUAAAGAAAAUUAGAAUUUGAGUGGAAAUUAAAUGGUCUUGAAUUUGGAAAGGUAAUUAAUUCACCUAAAUGGAUAAACAUCUAUAAUUUUUCUUUUUCUUUUCCUUCCAACUCGUAGGCACCUUACUAUGAUGCUAUAUCGAAACUAUACUAAAAUUAGAUGUACUUAUAAAUAUUUUCUAAUAUGCUCUCACUGAUUCCAUGUGAACCCCAAAAGGAAAAAAAAACGUUAAACUUAACCAAAAAAUCAAAAGUAAUUAAGUAAAAUCUCAUCGUCAAUUAAUUUCAAGUUUGGUAUCAUGGUCGAUAUCAGACCAUGUUGAAAAUUUCACACAUUGAACAAACUAAGAAAACUCACACUAAUACACAAUAUAAACCUUGAAUGAAACAAUAAGUAGAUAAAUAUCUCGUUACUCGAACAAAUCAUAAAUAGAAGAUGUGAAAGGGAAUUGAAUGGGAGGGAGGGAGUGAGUGAGAGAUGUUUUUAAAAAGGAAGAAAUAUUUUUGGGAAAAUGAGAGAGGGGGAGAAAGCAAUUAAAAGCAUGGGGGGGACAAUUAAUGACAUUAAUUGAGAGUAGAGGCAUAAAGGUAUAGAAGGAAAGGGGGAUUGGAAAGAAGAAGAAGAAGAAAUGCAAUAAUAGCCAAUGGCAAGCAUGUGAGUGUCCUUAACAAAAGCAUUGAAAAUUGAUUGCCCAAAUGAAAUAGUUUUACUUCUGAUUUGGCGCUCUUUUUGCUGCGGCUAUCGCGUUCACAUGUGCUUCUUCCCCCCUCCCCUCGCCCCCAUAUGUUGCUUACCACUGCCCUAACUUCAAUCCUCCACCGACACAUUUCAAGCCCUUUUUCUUUCCUCUUUUCAAAUAUCAUCCCUACCUCAUCUUUCUUUAUUAUAACAAAUUAUUCUAAACUCUAAUUCAAUAUUUAUAAAAUGUAAUAAAAUUUUAGAUUUUGUAGUGAUAAACGUUUAUGAAAGACUGUUACCGGCUUGAUGAUUUUUGUUAUAUUUGAAAAUACUCAACUUAAUAUCGCUUUUCUUUUAAUAUUUGAGGUUGAAUGUAUGUUAAUUAAUUCGUUUUUCGUUAAUUCUUAGACACUAACGUUAAACAACAAUUAGAGCUAGUAUAUAUUUAGUACCAACUACAAUUGAAAAAAAGUAUAAUAUAUUGAAAUUUUUUAUAAUAAUAAUAAUAAUUUAUAAUUUGUUUUCAAAUCCGAAUAAUUAAUAGACUAAAGUGACCAUUAAUUAUCAAAUAUUGGUUUGGGAAUCAAAACAGAGAGACGUAGAUUAGAUCACAAGUGUGGAUAGUGGAUAAAUAAAUUAGAAGGAUAGAAUAUUCAAUUCAUUCAAACCAGAAACAUUUGAAUAUGGUUCAUUAAUUACUCAUUAUAUUUUAUCUUCGUGAAAUUUAAAUUAACUAGUAUUUAACCAUUUUUCAGUAAAGAUUUGAUCGAAUCUUGAAUAUUUUGGUUCUCAACACAUACAAGUACCAAUUGAAUUUAAUUUUUAUGAAUGAUUCACCAAUAUUACGUUGAAAAAAGCGUUUAAAUUUGUUUCUUUUAAAUAUUGCAAAAAUAAAUUCAAACCAUAUACACUCCCUGUCCUCAAGUAUUUUUUAUAAACCAUAUUAUAUAUAUUAUUAUGUAUUUGUGUAAUGUGUCGAAUAAAUAGUUGGAUGAAUUUUUGCUAUAUUUAUAAUAUAUGGUUUGAAUGUUUGAUAUUAAUGGGUAUUUGAUGCAUAACCAAUCAUUAAAUAAGAAAGAAGAAAAAGGGAAAAAAAGGGGUUCUGCCCAUAAUAAAAUACGUGCCGACAAUUCAAUUCACACUCACCUCUCUAAGCUUCAGAAUAAUUAUUAAAUGGUGGGCUAAUGAUAAAUAGAAAAUAGUAAAACUAUCAAAUUUUUUUUUUUAAUUUCUAUCUCAUGCAUUAAACUAUGUAACAUUAUUAGUCCUAUAGUAACACCUCAACCAAAGCUUAUGAUAUUUAUUUUGACAUUACAUUGAUAUAUUUGAUAAGGUCUCUUAAUCAAGGAUUCUUGAAUGUUAGCUUUUAAUAUGUAUUUGCUUGCAGUGGAUUUUUUAAAUACUUUGUUGUUGUUGUUUUUUUUUUAUAUAAUUAAUAUUUGACUAAAUUGAAAAAGAACACUCAAGUAUUAGUAUAAGUUGAACAAAUUCCUAUUUGUUUUGAUUUAUUAGAAAAAACUAUGGGCCUGGCUGUAGCUCAAUCGUACUUAGAUUACGGGCCGUUCUAUAAGGCACGGUUGGCAGAGCGUAGGCCCAAUACUUGGUGCUUAUUGCUCUGCCUCUGCUUUGCGAAUUGUUUUUGUGAUCCAAAAUACAUCUUAAUUUCUAAACUUGAGGUGCCGAUAGAUAAGUAAUAUGUGACUACUGAUAUUCGACGUAGAGAAAAGUAGUUAUUGACUUACGAAUAAACGUUAGGAAAACAAAGAGUAAAAUCAAAACAAACAUUAUCAAGAAAUGAAAAGAAAAAGUUUGUAUCAAGUGUGUAUCGUGAGUCACUUUUGUAAUGUAAGUUGGCAACAUAGAUUAACAUUAACAUAGAUGAUUCGUACUAAAUUUUGUAGUACUCGAUAGUCAAACUACAAAAUCUAAAAGUGUUUUUUCUUUGAUUAAAUUUUCUAGAUGAUUGGAAGUAAGUUUUAUUCAAACGAGGCAAGAGCAAUAAUAUUACGAAACAUCGAUUUAGUGUUUGUCAAGUCAGUUUUGCAAAGUUUAUCACUACAAAUUGAGUAAAUAUAAUAGAGUCACGUUUUGAAGGCCAUAUGUUAUAUGAGUUAUUUCAAUUGAAUAUACGAAACAACCAAACUCGUAAAAUUGUAAUUUAUUUACACUUUGUAACGUGGAGGAAAGAAAACCUGGAAAAAAGAAUCUAAUGCCAAGUCAACGAUGAGAUGAAAAAUAAGUCAUAAGUUGUUAGAUACAUCAGGUAAAAGUAUCAUAAUAACUUUACUAUUUUCUCAUGGAGGAAGGAUAAGAUAAAUUCUUCCUAUUUCUAAUAAGUUAGGGUAAGAUUUUAUUUUAUAUUUUAUUGACUCGUGACUUAUUCGAUAACGUUAAAUUUUAUCUCGAACGCAUGCAAAAGUUAUAUAUGGUAUGGGAAUAUUAUUUUUAAAAAAAUGUAUAAAUUAGAACCGUAAAAUUGUAUACAUAAAUAUGAAAAGGGAAAAUAAAUGAUUAAAGAAAUAAGUGAAGUAAAUAUUUGAAGCUAAAAAAAUAUUAAGAUUAAGUUAGAAGGAAAAAAUAUCGGAAGAGGAGAGAGACAUAGAGGGCGCCAGCGGGAUGAUGCUAUAAAUAUAAAUUCCCUACGCCAAAGGCGUGGUCAUUUAUUGAAAGGAAACCCAUCCUCUUUCUUGCCGUCCUCCGCUUUUCUCUUCUUUUAGGGUUUCUCUCUCAAACUCUUAACAAUGGCUGACGAAGCUCAGUAUUCAUCUGCUACUGAUACUCCUUCCAACAAGCGCAAGUACGAUGACCAACCUCCACCCCGCCGUCCAACUGGCUUUUCCGGUCCCAUCACUUCCCCUUCAUCCGAUUCCGCUCCCUCCUACAACAACGUCCCUCCCCCUAUGGAUGAGAUCCAGCUCGCUAAGCAGCGUGCUCAGGAGAUUGCCUCUCGCUUGAUUAUCUCCAGCGGUGGCGUUGGGGCUGGUGCUGGACCUGGCGUUGGAGCAGAUGUCAAACGUCCGAGGGUUGAAAACGGCGGCGGGUAUGACUCCUACGACAAGGGUUUUAGUUCUGGUCCAGGUGAUUAUUGUUUUGAUUUUUUUUAUCUUUGUUUGAAUAUUUCAUGGUCUUGCGUGUUUGUCGAAGGUGUAUUGAUUUUCUCACGACUCAGUGAGCUUAAAGUGAGUCAGGUCUUGUAUAUGGGAAGAAAAUAAGUGGGAACACUCGGAGAAAAUCUUGUGGAGUGCUAGUUAUAUAUUUCUUGUUCACAGGGAGUGGGUUGUGUACAAAAAGGUCCAGUGUUCGUGAUUUUCUAGAAGUGGCGUGCACUUUCUUUUAUUGCAUUUGGAGUAGAGCAUACGUAGGGGGAUGAAAUGAAGGUUUCUGGAUUUCAGUUUAGUGGUUUAGAUAGAGCUCUCUCAGUUAUCAGAAUGCCUAUGUUCCAUGUUCUUUUACCCUCGUUUCCUGUAAUAAUAACUUUAAAAUGUGCUGGUGAUGUAUUACGGUUUAAAAGCAAGAAUUGUGUACAUGUUUGGAUGCUCAUUGGUGAUCUUGAUUUGUGUGGAUGCAGACCUGAAGCCUCACAUGUCAAAUUCAGCCCCUUCAGCGAUACCUAUUUCCUAUGGUUUCCAAGGGUCAAGCAAGAAAAUUGAAAUUCCAAAUGGGAGAGUAGGCGUAAUUAUUGGUAAAGGUGGUGAGACGAUCAAGUACCUUCAGCUCCAGUCUGGGGCAAAAAUACAAGUUACUCGUGACAUGGACGCAGAUCCCAACUCUACUACUCGGAUGGUUGAGCUAAUGGGCACCCCUGAUCAAAUUGCCAAGGCUGAGCAGCUGAUAAAUGAUGUUCUUUCUGAGGUUGGUCUUUUCUUAAUUUUGGAAUUUCAUGGUGUGCCUUUGGGAGCGGCAUCAAUAUAAGUUUGUGGUUUCCUGUUAUAACGUUGACAUGCCAUGUAGCAAUACAUUGGUUUGGAUGGAUAAUGGAUUGACUACAGCCUUACCAAGUUUACAACUUUGAACUUUAUUUAUGGGCAAUAUGUUAUUCAUACGUCCGAUGCAAAAUAUGAUUGUAGUUGAAGAUAAGACUUUUUACUUGGCUUGAAAAUGUGUUUGUCUCAUAAAAUUUAUCAUUUGAAACAGGCUGAAUCUGGCGGUUCUGGCAUAGUAUCACGAAGACUAACAGGCCCUUCAGGAUCUGAGCAGUUUGUUAUGAAAAUUCCUAAUAAUAAGGUUCUCAGAAACAUUUGUUUUGGAAUUACCAAGUAUUGCUUGUCUAUCUUGGGAAUGUAAUUCUGUUCACUUUUUGUACUUCUGAUCGUGAAAAUAUUAAUUUUUCUAGGUUGGCUUGGUUAUUGGUAAAGGUGGUGAAACAAUCAAAAGUAUGCAAGCUAGGACUGGAGCACGUAUCCAGGUCUGUUCUAUCUUUAUGUGUAUAUAUGUAUAUAUUACAUACGUCUUUUAGAAGGCUUCCCAAAGCUAACUUCCGUUCCUUUUUAUUUCAAUAGUGCAACUAAUUUUCACUUUCUUUGGUCAUGUAACAUAGAACAUUGUUUUGAAUUUUGAUUGUAUGGCAAUAUCUACUCUUCUUUUCUGUAGGUGAUACCAUUGCACUUACCCCCUGGGGACACAUCUACAGAAAGAACCUUACAGAUUGAUGGUUCAAGUGAACAGAUUGAGUCAGCAAAACAGUUGGUUAAUGAAGUUAUCAGCGAGGUGCGUUUGCAGAUCUGGGUUACAUAUUUAUUUUGCCUUGUUGUAGUUGGAAUUAAUACCUGGUUAACACCUACUUCCAUUUAUUUUUGUGUUUAUAAUGAUUUUUCCUGCUUGUCUUUGGUUAUUUUUUAUACAACUGUUGAUGCAACUGUUCCAUCUUAUUCUGAAACUCCUUUAGUUCUAUUCUCACAAAAAAAAACUCCAGUUUUAUUAAUUUUAGGGUUCUACCUCAACGCCAAGGUCAGCAUUAAACCAGUGGUGUUGAUUGGACGUUGGCAUAUUUGCUUUCCUUACCUUGUAGUUUACAUUAUGCUGUGAUAUGGGAGGCAUCUGGUAUUCAUUGGCUUAAAUUAUACCUCCAGUUUUAUUUAGAAAAUGAUAUCUGCUUCUUGUUCUUGUUCUUUUUUUUUUUUGGUAUUAUGUUUCUCUUUCAAAUUAUGUUUUCUUACACAGGCUUGUUACCUUGUUUUAUUUGUUAUAAUUUUGUAAAAUCAUUCUACAACAUUAUGCUGCUUUUUAUUUCUGGGAGGAAAUAGUUGAGAAAAAAUUCCCGUUUUUAUGUGGUUCUGUCGGACAACUGACUCAACAAGAAAUUGAUUUAUUUUUUUCCUUCACUAAUGGUACUUCUUGGCUCUUCUUAAUUUUACUCUACUAGUGUAAUGGAUCUUCUACAAUUUCUGGCUUAAACACUAUACAAUAUGCUCAGCAUAUGGUGUUCUUGUUCCUUUAACGAACUAUUAAUCUGCUGCUGUGUCUGCAAAUCUGCAAAAUCAUUUAUUGCUAAUGCUAAUGCACUCAUGCUCUGCUAAUAUGCAUUAGCAUUUUGACUACAGUAGGAAGGCUUGUUCUCUCACUGUGCUCAUACUUUCGUCUUUGAGGGGGGCUCCCUUCGUAGGUCUAUGGAAUCAAAUGCUGCUUUGUGGUUUCACUCAAGGAAUUAGAAACAUUGGAAUAUUUCAGCCUGUUAUACUUUUAGAUCUCUUAUAGAUUGAGACAGCUUUUAGGUCUUUUACCCCUAAUCGAUCUGGAUUUGUUAUUAUAUCUGCAAUUGUUUAUUCUAUAUAUCCACUAAUGCAGAGAUGGAGGACAUAAGGUUCUGGGAUUGGAAAGAGGUGAAAUUAUUUUACAGAUUACUGCUUGGUAAUUUUUUGAAGAGUGAUUAUUGUAUCAGAAAGGUUCCCAUUGGUGAUUUGCUGGCUCCUUUGGAUAUUUCAGUUUAUCAGUCAAAUAUUACUCUUAUUAGGUUGUUUAGGUUAUAUGAUAUCUCUCCUAUUUAAGAUGUUAUCAGCCCAUUUGGUAUUAUUCUUGGUUUUAUAUCUAAGUGUUAUAUUAUUGGGAUUAUGGCCUGUUCAACCGUCACAUGUGCUUAUUAAUUAUGUAUCCUGCAACUGAUAUUGUUAUUGGGAACUAUUGUAGGGUUAGGGUUAUUGGACCAUUAGUGACACCAACAUGGAAUCCUUUAUGUUGGUGUUCUCUCAACGUUGCUCUGGUAUGGUUCUGAAUCCCAUAUUAUAAUGAUAUAAAGUGAUGAUGUGGAGAGAAGUUGCAGGUUUAUCUGUUGGAUAUUCAAGGUCUUUAGUAAAAUUUGAAAAGUCACCUUACCAUUCUAUCAUUCUUUUUCUGGUGGUUUACUUUGAUUUGGGAGAGUUUCAUCUUUUAGUCUAUAAAUUAUUCAUUUCUUAAUUGUCUAUUUACUGUGCGUACCAUUUGUGAAAUUAUUUUAGUUUAAUAUAGGCAUGCGGGUUAAUUUGUUGGAUAACUGUACUAUGAUGUAUUUUUGGUACUAUCAUAUUUUAGUGGCAACAUCACCUGAUCGUUCAGUGAGUCCGCCUUUGAUGGAUAUUCCAGAAAGUCCUUUAGACUCCUGUUUUGGUUUAAUUAGUUAUUAUUAUAUGUUUUCCACCAAAAAGAUGAAUUCUCUAAUUAUUAAUUUUUUUACUUAAAUUGACCUUAACAUUGUUCUUGUAAUUGAAGAAUAUUUUCUUGUUUCAAUCUUUAUGGGCUAUCUUUAGUUACUUUGGAGAUUAUGGAUCGUUUCUUACAAAGGUCUGUAUAUGUCAGUGUCUUCUUUUUCAUCGUCCAAAUUGCUUUUCAGCUUUUUUGGAAGUAUUUUUCUUUACAAUAAUUUGCAAUCAAAAUUCUUUUGACUAUAAAAUAUUUUUCACUUCAUAUUCUAUUGGUGUCUGAAGAUAGUGUAUGGGGUUGUUUAGUUUUAGCUUGAUAUCCAACUAAUUGAUUAUUCUAUAGAAGAUUUAAUAAUUGGGGAAGACAUUGCUUUUGUUGUGCUUUGCUAUGAACUUCUUUGCCUUUUGGGGCAAUUAAGUUCAUAUAUUCUGUUCUGUAAAAGCUUUUGUAGUCGUCUGGUUCUCUUUGCACCCAUUCACUUCGAAUAGGGAGAGGUUGAGCUUCUGCUGGAGUAACUCAAUAACUCAUCAUCCAGUACGGUAUGUUGGUGUUUUAUACUCUUCCUAAUGCAGUAUAAGCUCCUUUAAUCCCUCUACAAAACAUACUGACUAUGGUUUUCUUUUUGCAUAUCCUUGAUUUCAGAUUUGGCAUUUUCUUUCCAUUUCGCAUAAUGCAUAUGAAUGUUGUGCUUUCCUCUUCUUACCAUCCCCUACGUUGGUUUCUUACGUUAAUUGAGAAGGAUUCACCUUUGUUUUCAUUUUUAUGUUUAAUCUCUCAGAAUCGCGCGAGAAAUUCAGGUAUGUCAGGCGGGUAUAAUCAGCAAGGUUAUCAAGCUCGACCCCCUUCAAGUUGGGGUCCUCCUGGGGCUCCACCAAUGCAGCAGCCUAAUUAUGGCUAUGGACAACAAGGCGGAUAUUCUGCUCCUUCGUCUCAGUAUAACAUAUCACAACCUCCUUAUCAGGGUUAUUCCCAACCAGCAUCUGGUGGAUAUGCUUCCAAUUGGGACCAGUCUACUGUUCCGCCAAAUCAACCUGCUACUCAAGGAAGUGGUUAUGAUUACUACGGUCAACAGGCUCCACAGCAACAACAGACAGCUGGAGGCCCUGGUGCUACCGGAGACAACAGUGGUUAUAGUUAUGGUCAACCACCAGCCACUACUUAUAAUCAACAGGGUUAUUCUCAAGAUGGCUAUGGUGGUAAUUACCAUGCACCUCAGUCUGGUUAUGGCCAACCGCCAACAUAUGAUCAACAGGGUUAUAGUUCUACCACAAACUAUGGUAAUGUGGCUAACGCCACUCAAGAUGGGCUCAAUUCGUAUGGCUCUCAAGGGGACUCAUCACAGACGGUCCCUCCUGCUGCACCACAGCCCUCUUCAGUGAGUCAGCAAGGUUAUAGUGCAAAUCAACAGCCUAGCCCUAACCCAGGGAGUUACCCUCCACCAAGUCAGUCGGGGUAUGGAAUGACUGCACCUUCCCAAACUGGCUAUGGAAAUCAACCUGCUGCUCAGGCUGCUUAUGGGGCUGCUUAUGGAGCUCCUCAGACUCAGAAACAACCUCCUACUAAUCCUCCAGCCUAUGGUCAAAGCACUCAGUCACCAAGCACCGCUAGUGGCUAUGGGCAACCUGCUGGAUUGCCAUCUGGAUACUCAAGUACGCAGCCACCCGCAUCCGGGUACACUCAACCAGAUUCUGCUUCUCAACGUGCUCCACCAUCCAGUUACGGCACUGCUGCAGCUCAGCCAGGGUUUGCGCCACCUCCAUAUGGUGGUGCUCCUCCAACAAAUCAGUCAGCUUACGGGCAAGCUCCACCACCUUAUGGUGGCUCUUAUGGUGCUGGUUACCCUCAGCCCCAUUAUUCAUCUGAAGGUAAUGCAGGUGGUGCUACUCGUGGGGGCUAUGAUUCUGCAUCAGCUGCUCAGGCAGCGACCCAAAGUGGGGUUGCAAAAGCAUCACCAAAAAGUUGAUAAUAUUGUAUGUGUUUGCUUAGGUGUGUAUGUUGCGGAGAACGUAGCUUUGUUUUUGUGGUUUUUAUUAGACAGGUAGUUUUAUGAGACCUCAUUAAUGCCCGAAUUCUUUACUGUACUUUGUUUUGCUAUGGUUAAAAACGGUUCUGGAGUUUUGUCUCUCUUGAACAAAACACUCUUUCUCUACAGGCGGUGGCGUCUCCUUGAUGAUUUUGAUUUUUGAUUGUGGCGUUGGGGAUUAAGACUGUUUAGGAUUAUUGUAACUUUAAGCUACGGAAAUGGUAAAAUAGCAUUUAUUAAAUAAAAUGUUAGAUAUGAAAAAUUCUUAUUUCAAAUGUUUAUAUGAACUUAUAGCAAAAUAAUACAAAUACAUCUUUUAACAGAUCUACUUAUUCAAAAAAUUAUUAUAAUACUUUUUUCUAUUAAAAUUUAUGCGUUGUAAAAUAUUGAUGUGUGAUAUAUUGUUAUAGUAAAGCUGAAUCCUUUACUUCCAUGUGUGAUACAUUGUUAUAGUGAAUAUAAAUACAGAAGUACACUUGGAAAAACGGAAAAAUGUGUAUGGCAGGUGAACUUCUAUUUCUUUUCUCAGGUAAAUAUAAGUCUAACCCAAAAAAAUUCGGAUCUCUCCCCGCUGUAUCCUAGAUUCUUGUAUAGUUUAAAAGAAAUUAUUCCUAAAAGCCAUGAAUGCUUUGGGUGAAAGUAACAAGAUGAACGCAAGGACCGAACCAAAUAACAAUUUGAUAGCAUAUAGGAAGGGAUCGUGGUCAUCUGCAUCUGUUGAACUUGUGUGGGGUGCCAAUGCCGUUGCGGAUGGAAGGGCUUCAAUUACUGCAUCAGCCAAAUCUGAAAUGAAUGAAGAAUUGCAAUUGAGGGCAGGCACACGGCCCCAGUUUUGGAUUCCAGAUUCAAGUGCCAAGUGCUUAUACUCCAUAUCUAUCUCCUCGAGAGUCUCAAUGUGCUCACUCACAAAGCUGGGAAGAGACAAGUAAAACUAUUAUAAACAAAACGCCACCAGUGCAUAAGAAUAUCCAACUUCACUUAACACGCUUCACCUUCUCCAAGUCUUUCAAAACAAGUAAAACAAAUUGUAAACACGAUCAAACAGCAUACUGCUUAUAACCAGUUGAUUGUUUUAAAGCAAAAAACAGUUGCCUUUUUUAAUUUUGAAGAAAAACCACGUAAACAGCCAAUCUUUUGUGAUGAAGUUCAAAGUUGAGGAACGACCAAGAAAGCCCAAAAUUAUUCAAAGCACUUUGGGCCUAAGGUUCUCCAUCAUUAACACUAGCACAAGGAGUUCGAAAUAUAUAAUUGUCACGUGAAUUAACUUCAUUAAUAUUCACUCUAAGAUCAUAUGAGAACCAAGAUGAGAAGGAUCCCCUGGAAUUAUGAAGCUACAAGGAACCAAAAACCAAACAAUCAAAUUAACAGUUCGUCCUUUUAUGGUUUAUGAACAAGCCAUACCUCACGGGAACGGCUAGGAGACUCUUAAUACCCUUCUGGCCAAGCUCAACAAGAACUUCAUCUGUGUAUGGCUUAAGCCAUUGUACAGGUCCAACACGGCUCUGAAAAAUGUAAUACAUAACAAGAAUAAAAAACCACACGGAUGUAGUUAGGAAAACAAUGAAAUAAAAUGAUAGAAAAUCUGAAUAGUUGUUGGGGCUCAAAAUGUUAAAGAAAAAGAUAGGAAACCAUGCCAAGCUUCAAAUUUAUUACUAACCUGGUAUGCAAGAGUAUGCUCAUUCCCAAUUCCUCUGGCUUUCAGCUCUUGCAUGAUUAGGCAGAUGCACUCUUCCAUUUGAUCUUUGUAUGGAUCUCCAGCAUUCUCAACAUAACUGACGGGAACCCCAUGUGCACUAAAGAAAAUCAUGACCUAAGGUGCAAAUAAGUGAUGCUAUAUUAAGAACUAAUUGACUUGGACAUCCAUUGCUGCAUAAAAAUAAAGCAUCUCUCUAAAAUAAGUUUCAGCAAAAAUUAAGUACCUCUUGAGGAUUGGCAAAAUUCUUCAGCUCUGCCUGCAUCAAGUCAGCCAUUGACUUAAUAUACCCUUCCCGCUGGUACCAGGACUUUAUAAUUGAAACAGGCAACGAUGAGAGAUAUGCAUCUUCCCUGAUAGACAACUCAUAGUCAAUAAGUUAAGUUGGUAGCAGUAAUUUUUUUAAUAAUAACAAUAAAAUCAAAAUAUUAUAAUACUAGACACGAUCAUCACCUGAACAUCUUCUGGAGAACACGAAUACUAGACCCAGUUGUAGAAAUAGAGUACUGUGGAUACAAUGGCAGCACCACAAGUCUUGUUAUCCCAUCCCUCUUAAUCUGCCACACACAGCAAAAGGAACUACCAAUUUUAAACUUCAUUUCAAACAAUGCUUCAAACAAAAACGUGAGGUUACAGGCAUAUUAGGAAAUCCCGUGGUUGGUAGUAAUAUAAAAUUCUUCCCUCCAUUCGAAUUACAAGGCAAGGGGAAUAGAUAAAACAUAGAGCGUACUUGCUGAAUUGCUUCCUCUGUGAAAGGGUACCAAUAGCGCAUUCCCACAUAGACAUUAGUAGACAUGUUUUUCUCCUCCAAAGCCAUUUUAAGCGCUUGUGCCUGCAACAAGUAUUCACAAAUUAUCAAUAUUGAACAUUUGUUUUAUACCCAACUGGGAUAUGCCAUGAUGAACAAUUUGAAGGAAAUAAGAGAGGUCAAUCAACCUGUUCAUCUGUGAUUUUACGCAAAGGUGAGCCACCUCCUAUUGAAGCAUACCCUUCUUUGCUUUUGGGAGCACGGUAUGUAGAUAUUAAUUUUGCCAAUGGCUCUUGGAGGAAACGGAACAACCUUGGGAGUCGGAUAAUAUCCUAUGCAUCAUGAAAAGAAGUAAGAAAAAAGAGCUAUUGGCAUGUUAAUUUGUUGUUAAGACUAGUUGCAUUAAUUAACUAAGAUACCGGAUCUGCAAAUAGAUUGUACAGAAAUGGUUGGACAUCAUCAAGCGUUUCCGGCCCUCCAAGAUUCAAGAGCAGAACUCCCACCUUGUCAUCCACUGCCUGAGAUUGAGAUUCUAAAGCAAAUUCACCAACGGUGAAAGUUCCUACUGAGCAACAUGCUUGCCCCAGACGGCUUUUCUUCUCAAUGGGGCCAGAAAGAUGUAACCCCUGAAUUACAUCUCUGUCACCAUUGGAGCUAGAACAAGAAACCACUAAUCCUGUAGACCUAUCACGAACUUGCAGAUUUCCAGACGUUUUGCAAGAGAAAGUCACGCGAGAUUUCGGCAAAGAGCAUAACCUGAAAACAGGAAAAUAUACAUUGAAUUCCUAACUUCGACAAUAUAACACCUAAACCCCCCCUUAAAAUAUCAGUCACUGCCAUGACAUCCUCCAUACAAUAAAAUAACUAAGAAACUUCCUUCACAUCAACUCCAGCUACUAGAAUCCACGAUCACAUAACUUCACAUUGAUCGAACUAAAAGGACUGAUUCCAAGUAUACGACACGGGGUAACUUCAUCCAAUAAUCAACAUAGAGUUCAAAUGGGGGCGAAAUUUUAAAAGGGUACAAACGAUAUAAACCAAAAUCCAGAUUCCAAAGCAAGAAGAAAAGGUCGGUUAAGAAUUAACCGAUAAGGAACAUGAAGAAGAAGUGAUAUAAAAGAGAACUUACGAUGAAAUUCUUUGAUCCGAAUUGAGGGUAUUGGUGGAACCGUGAAGCUUGAUAUUGGAGAGGGCGAGAGAGGAAGAGGCGGCGUCCAUGGAGUCGAAAAUUGGAAGAACAACGAUCUAAAUCCAAAACCCGAGAAGAAAUUGAGUACAGAUAUGAGUGAGGAAGAAUGGGAUUGGUCGAUUAUAAAAAUUGGAGAAAUGGGAAACGUGGAAUCGGAAGGAGGAAGAACGGUAGAGAAGUCAAAGUUGGGGGAGGGAAGGAUCCGGGAAAUGGAAGCGCCAACCACUCUCCCAAGUCUCACCAUUAUAUAUUCAAAGUUUGUUUCGUGUUGAAGACUCAACGCAUCUACGUGUGGGCCGUACUCCUAACUUUCUUUAAUUUCUAAUUUUCAUCCAUAUAAUUAUAUAUAAAAAAAGUUAAAAUUUAAUUUCCAUAUUUAAAAGUUAGGAUUAAAAUAGAACAUAUUUAGUCAAAUUAAUAACUCGAGUUCCUCUUAAAUAUGUUCUUCGAUAUUUUUACAAAUCUCAUCUAAGUUCGAUGGUACUUAACUUAUUAAGUAGGAGUAAAAAUUGCUUAUUAAUGCUACAUAUCGCUACUAAAAAUUUAUCGAUAUCUAAAGUAACUAAUAAUUUUUGUUGAUUUGCAAUUUUUAAAAAUAUUGCUCAGCCCUACUUACCUAAAUUUUAAUUUUCUAAAAAAGAAUUAUUCGAUUUUUUUGGUAUUUACACGUGUAUUAUGUAGGUAGUGCAAAAACUUCAACAAAAUUGGUCUAAAUUUGUAUCAAAGAAAUUUAGGCAUUUUUGGUACUCACUACAUAAUACAUUUGUUCUGAGUGGUUGUUUGAUCCUUAUCUAAAUUACGAAAAAAAUAAAAAGAAUAAAUUGAAAUAAUAAAUAAGUUUCCUAAAAUUAACUAAAUUCCUUCUUUUCACCUUUGUAAAAGGUCAAACGUGGAAUGAAAUAUUAUUCAUUAUGAUCCAAAGAAAGAAGUAAAGGUGUCUAGUGAUAUCUUAUAACAUAGAUCACCAUUGAUAGCAAUUGUUUAUAAGAAGAGUCCAACAUCAUUCUUUCCAAAGAAAAUUCUCAUCCUAUGUUGAAAAUAGAUUAUCGUUCUAGAUAUGAAAAAUGAUCUGUCAACAAAGGUAAUCCAUAUUCUAUAUGAAAUUUUAUUUUGUCUUUUACCAGAUGGGUUAAAAGAUUUUUUUUUCUUCAAUAAAUACACAAGCAACCAUUAGAAUUCACAUCAUUUUACCAAGUUGAUUAAAUCUACACUUCAAUCCUUCUAAAUUUUCAUGGGAUGGAAAUUAAACGAGGGGCGGAGGCGAGGGAAUCAUCCCAUCUUGGUCAAAUUCCAAAUAUACCAAACCUAAAAAUGACCAAACUUCAACUUCAUUUGGGAAAAAAGGGGGAAAACAUAUUAUUUCCAAAUAUAGAGAAAACAAAAAUGGCUGAUGAUACUAGAAAUCAUUGAUUAUAGUGUAAAUUUGAUUGGUUGGAGCAUUAAGCAGAUGUGAAACUUGUCUCAACAGUCCGAACACUACUUGGUCAAAUUCCAAAUUUCCAAUCAACAUCAAAGUCCCAUUCUUUCCAAGAAACUAAUGAGAUUCUCCACUUACUAGACAAAAAGAAGGGUAGGAAGGAAAUGCAUGUAAAUGUAACUCAAAAUAGUUAAAAGUGUUAGGAUCCAGUAGAGAUUAUACAGACGAAAUAUUUUAGAGAAAGAAGGAUACUGAGUAUAUCUUCAUUCGACAUUUGAAAAUCCGGCACCACCUUCCGCUCGAGUCCUGUCCAUGGGCACAAGCUUAGUCAUUUAGGGGACUGAUAGGGUACAAAAGAAAGAUGAGAACAAAGAUAAUAAAGAGCAAGAAAGUCAAAGUGAGCUAGCUCGAUGGUAAGUGAAGUGUGCUAGCUCGAUAGUAAUUGAAAUAUACUCAUUUCUCUUUAGGUUAGAGGUUCGAAUUUUCACAACCCCAUAUUUUAUACUAAUGAGCAUACGGAACUUUCAUCGACUUUUUGAAAAAGAUAAACACCGGAACAAGCAAUGGAUAAGAAACUGUUAAUAGCUCAAUCAAGGGGCAUCCUCAAAUAAGUUGAGUAGACGGAUGUGAUCAAAACACAAGGACAAUAAUUUGAAAGAAAAUAAUUAUAAACAAAAAAGAUGGAUAAGGAGAAUGUAUAGCUAUAACGUAUGCAGUGUCUUCUACCGUGGAGAUUGAACUGAGUGAAAGACACUUCAGAUUAAUGCCUUCUUGGAGCCAAAGAACAAGUAAAAUAUUAUCAAUACCAUCCAUCAAUGGAAAUAGCACUUACUUGUGGUCAGAAGGAUUUGGUGUGAUUUCGUAGACAAUUGUUGCAACAACAUCUCUCUUUAGCUGUUGAUUAAAAUGAAGAUAUUUAGUUAUUUAAAUCAACAAAAUCAUCAACUGAUUCUUGCCCACAACUUUACCUGCGUGGCUUCACCUUUCAACCCAAUGUAGUGUAUCUGAGUCGUGUCACCACCAUAAUUAUCAGGAAAAUGCAAAGUGAUGUUUCCCACACCUUGAAAUUUGGAAUAUCUGAUUAUGUAUAUAAAUUAGCUGUCAAAAAAUAGUUGUAAUCUAACAUUGAAAGAAUUCACAGGCUCGAUAAUUAUAAGGGGAAAGAAAAUGCUCAAUUUUUUUGCUAUCAAUUCAAACAUUUUCAGAUGAUCUGAAAGAUAUGUUCCUCUAUAAAACAUCCUUACCUUGUUUGGUACUCUAAUACUCCUUGCAAAUUCUCAGCCAAAUCCCACUCCUAGAAUAAUAAAAAAUGCGUUACAGUUACAACAUAUGGUUAGGCGUCAAAAUUUCUCCAUGAAUCUCCGCCAGACAUGCUAACAGGUAGUACCUGAACAGCUUGCAUACUUUGAGCAUCUGAGAAGUCAAUACCUUCUCGAUUGAUAAACCUGAUUAUGAAGGAUAACUUGCGUAUAAGAACUAACGCAGGGAGAGAACUAGAAGGGAUAAAACUUAAUAUUCACAUAGAAAACCAAGUGUGUGAAAGUUCCAGAACAUCGAACUUACACCCUCAUCUUUGAAGGACUAGUACCAUCUGGACCACCAAUGAUAGAUAUGCUUUUGAUCUUAACAUCUGAUGUAAAUCUAAUCAUAAAAAAAGUGGUAAUGAAUUUUUAAGAAACAGGGAGAGUGCCAGAACACAAAAAGCGCACACCACAUAUAAGCAAUGUAGCCAUCGCUGCAAAACAAAGAUACAGGCACAGAAAUCUUCAUGACAUAAUAUAAAUUUUAUUAUCAGAUAACUAAAAUUGUUCUUGUGAUAUCUGCUUUCGAAGUUUCAGACCAGCCGACAAACACAUAGAUUCUUAGACAAACAGUUUUCUCUUGGUAGGAACACGAAAUUGCGUUUAGGAAGGGUAUGAAUUUACUAGGUGAAAUGGCUGAGCACCUAUGGGAAUUAUUUAGGAAGGCUAGAAGAAUAAAAAAAAAGGGGGGAAGUCGUGAUAAUUUAUGUCUUCACAAAAUUAUUUAUUUCCAUAUUCGCCCUGAGAUAUAUAAAAGGGAUGGUUGAGAAACUAUAAAUUUUAUUACAUUAAAAUGUAAAUUACGAAUAACCAUUACAAUAACUGUACUUAUUAACGAGUACAUAUCAAUGUUAUUAAGGUAUCAGGUAUAGUUAGAAUCCAAAAGUACAGGAACACCUACGGGAUGAAAACUAGCAGUUCAGGAUCACCCUCGUUGCUUUCCAAGUGAUCCUGUUGUAUAAAAACGAAAUAUAUGAGGCUACUUUAUCCUAGCAAUCGGGUACAUGGCACUGAUACACGCAGAUAUAAAGGUAAGGUACCCCAGAUGAGUUUAACCGAUGCUCCCAAGCUUUAAAUACUGACUUCACACUUCCUGGAGUUGCCUCAUUCAAAGCUGAAACCUAAAAAAAUAGCAGAACCUGUGAUCAUAAAUAAAAUUUCCACCAGUUCCUUUGAGGGAAAAAAAAUUAUAAUACGUGUGGGUUCGACAUGCAAUCUACAAUAAGAGUUCAAGGCUCUUCCAUAAAAGUUACUCAUAAGAUUCAAUUGAUUCCGUCCACAAUUAUCAACUUGCAUGAAACAUGCUAUUGACGGAAGGGGCAAUUGUCAUCCUUGUGUGAUUUUAAGAGUAAUGCAUUCAAAGAAUUUCUCCAAUCUUAAAGAUGAAAAAACUCAACAUCAUUAAUACUUCCACAUAUUCACUCAUAAUCUAACCUCUCCGAUUUCUUCUAGCCUUAAAAUAAACAGGAAGAUUUAUCAGUUUCAUCAAUACUUCGCCCACAGUAUUCAUUCCAACGUCAGCAGACAAUUACUUGUGCCUUAAAAGUUAUGGGGAAAAAUCCGUCAGCAUUGCUAACAUCUACUCAUAAUUGUUCCAGUUAUUGAACAACUCCAAUAAGCUUGCAAGACAAGAUGGCAAUGGAAAAUAAUAUAUUUCUAACAAAGUUAUCAAAUCCCCUUAAUAGUAACCAUUGAUGUUCUUGCUAUGCGUGCUAUGUUUAUCUCUCGUAUAACUCAAAUAUGAAUAAAAUAGUGGAAAUAUUAGCACAAUCCUCUUCCAAUUUCUUCCCAAAUGGCUAGGCUGUAAACCCAACUUGGAAAAAGGUAAUGUAAUUAAGAUGUAACAAAAAACAACAAAAGAAGAGAACCAGAGAUGGAAACAAGAGAACAAUAUUGCACGGACGAUCAGCUACAGUUGAGUUUUGUGUUCAUUUGAAGUGAAAACUAAAAAAAUUAACCACUAAUGCACUAGCUUCUAUCACUAACCAUGAAAUUCUCCAACAUCAUUCCCACUAAGCCAUUAGGCCAGUUCCCUCCAAUUUAGGAGGCACUACCUAAAUUAAACCCAUCAACAUAAAUUAAAACUAAUUACAAAUUAAGUUGCACUAAUUCUUAACCUAAGAAAAACCCAAUUUGCAUGUGAGGAACCAUAACCAACGGCAGGAACAAAGAUUCAGCUCAUUCAUGAGAUCAUGGGCAAUUGCAAUUCACAUAAUAUUUUCCAAGCAGUGUAAUUGGGAAGGAAACUAAAAAAUUAUCAUUCAGCUAAUGGGUAUGGAGAUAAUUAAAAUCCAAAGCCUGGACAAUCAAAUUUCAUAUUGAACGAUGGAAAAUGAUUAUACGAAUAUGUUUGAAGUGAUACGAAGUCGUAAAACGGAUUGUCAAAGAAGAAAAUUCGUGUGCUAGAGGUAGAUACAGAUAUGCACUAACUCUGGGGAGGUCUAUGUGCUUGUAAAGAGACCAAUCAGAAGAACAAUCGUGAUCUUCGCAGCUGUGAUCGUGUAAGCAAGCCAUCUUUGAGGUUCCAGAACAAUAGGCAGAACGAAGAGAGAUUUCAGAGGUAAAAGAGAAAGUGCGAGAUGCUCAAAACGGCGCCGCUUCUGUACGUGAAGGAUUGUUUUCGCUUUGAUAUAAAGCCAUUACAAGAAAACAUCAAUUACAUUUUGUUUGUUUUUUAAUAGCCGUGACUAAAAUAAAUCAAGAGAUUAUAAUAAAUGAAAUUAUCAAGAUCAAGAUGAUAUUUUCUAAUGGAACAAAAAAAGAAAGAAAAAACGAAAAGUUGUAUCCUUAAUUAUACUAAAAAGGAAUAAUAAUAAUCCAUCAACACGUUAUUUGGUAGCCUUCAACAUAAUUAGUGUUUGCAUUCAAAAUGUGGAAUAGAAAUAGGAUCAUGAAACGUCGAAACAAUGAAAAAUUAGAGUUGAGGAUCAUGAAACGUCGAAACGAUGAAAAAUUAGAGUUGAGUUGAGAACCGUGGAAAUGAAAUCAGUUUUAGUAUUACAAAUUCAAUCCAAAACCAAAACAUCCAAUCCAAACUCAUUCCACGACGAGUCUCCAAACCACUGUAAUCGUAUAGGAUGUGUGUUAAAGGAACAAAUUUAGGGUUACUUUGUUUAUAUAUUUUUUUGAAAAAAAAUACUAUUUACAAAUAGAUUAUUACAAAGAUCAACUUGGAUGAGCACCUUCAAUGAACAACUUUGAGAAUUAUUUUAGUAACCAACUUCAAAAAACGACAUACGAUGCCGAAUUUUGACAAUGACCUUUUAUGAUAAUCAAUUUUGAUGGUUACUUCAUGCCACUAACCCUAGUGAAAAGUAUUUUUAUACUCUCCAAUACAAACAAUUACAAUUCAUACUAUUUUAAUUAAUCUACACUCUAAAUAUACAUUUCAUAACAUAGAUUCUAUUUCACAUAUUACAAUAACCAACUCGAAGUCACAAAGAAUCUCGUCUACAAAUCAAUCUCGAGUAGAUAUGAUUUUCCUUUUCUUCUCCGUCGUGUGAACACUAUGUGCCCCAAACAACCCUACUAUGUUGGAUUUCUUAAUUAACAAGGGAACUCAUUUUUGUCCCAUGUGUUCAAUGACGGACGUUAAAUGUACUUUUCAUUUAAACUAAGCAAAGGGAGAGAGAGGAAAAAAAGUUAAGGCUUCACCAAAAAAAUUUAAUUAUUGUUUAGAUGAUUUGAUCAUCAACUUAAUUGACUAAUAAUUUGUAACAAAUAUAUUGCUUAUUUAAAGCUUGAUUUCAAAAUUACUCAAUAAACAAACAGUACAAUCAAUCACAAAAAUUCAACCCUAAAAUGCAUCAAUCGUACAAAGUUUAGUAAUAAACAUUAAUUGAUAGAAAGUAUUCUAUUAUGAUAGUUUUGAGGCACAUAUUUUAGGUUGGAAGAAGCACAAUUCAUAGAUAUAUAAUAACUUUAAAUUGGUCCAUACAAUAUUUUAAUUAAGUGAUAUUGUUUUAGUUAAAUUAAAUUUCAAUCCGUGUAUGAAUUUACUUGAUCUCGAACUUAAAAAAUCUUUUUUGAAAUGUUUACUUGACAUUUCAAUUUGUAUUCAACAAUCUUUAGUUAAUUUAAUUGAUGUUUUUAAACGUUAGAGACUUAUAAUACACAAUAUUAAAAAUUUAUUAGACACAAGUUUUAAUUUUAUAUCUUAAUUGUUCAAUUAACGGUUAAAAGUUACUAUAUGUUAUAAAUUAAUGAACCUAUUAAACACAAAUUUUAAAAUCUUUAUAAAACGGAAUCUCUAUUUCUAAUACAAAAAUAGUUAUGGAUCAUGACAAUAUGUUUGCUACUAAGUAUGCUUAAAAAAUAAUAAGAACAUAUUAACUAACUAGUUAAAAACCAACACUAUUUUUAUAAGUUGUAGGUUGAAAAUUUAAUUCCUACCUUUACUAAAAAAAAUUAGAGUAUUGUUGAGAUGAAAAAAAAAAAAAAAAACCAUAUGCAUAUGGUAAAUUAAAAAGAUAUUUAUUGAUUGAAUUAUGGUAUAUAUCUGAUCUUAUAAGUAAAGUAUAUGAGAAUGGACAUAUUAUAUCAUAAUUUAUCCGUUCUAACUAGAAGACAAUUCAAGUACUUUGGUCAAAGACUCAAAGGUUAAUUAUGAAUGGAUUAUUUAUUAUAUAACUUAUCAUCCACAAAUUAUUUCACUUUUAAUGCAAUAUCCCUUUCUAUGAUAUUUUCUAAAGAAAAAAAGCAAUCACAUUCUCUGCCCUCUUUUAUCUUCUCUUUCUUUCUAAUAAUUAUCUGAUUCGUAUAACUAAAAGUUUAUUUUUCAUUCUAUUUAUAAGUUUUGCGAGUGCACGUUUGAGUUAAUAAAUUAAUCUUGAAAAGCAAUUGACAUGUACGAUUUAGUAUCGACGUCGAACUAAAUUUUACUUUCAAAACAGUGGUUCGAAACGAUACAACAUGAUCAACAAUUAUUUUGUCUACUACUACUAUAUUGUUUCAUUUUACUAGAAUUAUAAAAUAUAGCUAAAGUUAACAUUUAUUAAUUAGUUCUUAAUUUAAAUUUAUUUAUACUUUAUUAUUUAAAUAUACUUGCGUAAGAUUAUAUACCGUCACUGUAGGCAACGUAAUGAAAAACAUUUUGGUUAAUAUUUGAAUAUAGAUCUAUUCAAGAGCUUUCUCUUAAUGUAAGUGAUGAAUUUCUCUUGUUUAACCACGAACAUGAUUUUAACUAUUUUUUUUAAAAGGUCGGUCUUCCGUCUUUAAAUAAAACCAAUUUAAAAAUCACCUCCAUUCUUUAUUUGGAGAGUUUAUGAUUGAUCUCUUCCCAAACCACUGAUUAGGGUAAAUUUUAGAAAUAUAUUUUAAUAUCAUAACAAAUAUUAAUUAAGCCAAUAAUAAAGAUUUGAUUGAUAACAGUUUUACUAAAGUUGAAGAAACUAAAAAAGAAUGAAAAUGAUAUUUUAGUAUUAAAAAGGAUUGAAGAAAAAAGAUGAGAAAUGGACGGAUAAUAAGAUUCCACACCCAACCGCGAAGGAAUCUCGCCUAAUAUUGAUAUUUGCUAUUUAGUGGGUCAUAGCUUUCCCUAUCAACUUCAACUUGCAAUGUAUUAAAGUUGAAAAAAUGACCGCAACUAUUAUCAUUACACGUGUAAGGUCAGGAUUCAUCACCAGGGGCAACUAAGUCUUUUACAAAAACCCGCAAGAAAAUUUCCAAUUUUCUUUUUUAUAUAUAUUAAGUGAAUUUGUAAUCAUCGUUCUAUACCCACCGUGUAGCCCAAGUUUCCCGGCAACUUCAUGGCUCGAAUCCCCACCGGAGUUUUACUCUCUCUUCUAUUCCUUGCCGUAAUCGGUCUACCUGCCGGAGCCCGGGACCUUCCCGGUGAUUUUCUCCGGUUGCCGUCCGAGGCACUGAAAUUUUUUCGCGGAGGAGCUUCCGACGCUAGCGACGAAGACUCCGUGGGGACGAGAUGGGCUGUUUUGAUCGCUGGUUCUAAUGGAUACUGGAAUUACAGGCAUCAGGUUUUUUUUUCUACGAUUGAUAAGUUGCACUGACUUUAAUUCAUUUGAUAAGUUUGUGUUGUGUUAUGAUGUUGACCUUUGUGAUUGAUUGGCGUUUUCGUGUUCGUAUUUCAUACUUUUUACCCAAAAUGUCUGUUGUGCAUUAUAUCUGUUGCUGAUACUUGUCUGAUCCAUUUUCUCACUGCUUUUUAUUUUUAACCUAAACUUUAUCAUCGGUGAUUCUUCUUGGCGUGAGAUCGAUUUUUUUUUUUUUUUCCAGUUAAACUAAGUCUGCAUUCUUUUGAUCUUUACUCUUCGUCGUCUGCUUUUUUGAUCGAUUGACUUUUUUCUGUUUUUCGAUUAAGAAAUUGUAGUAGUUCUGUUCUUAUCCGUUUCAUUUUUUUCAAUACAUAUGUUCUUAGUUUAUUUUAAAAGAAAAAAAAUAAUUAAGCCUUCAAAUUAAUUAAAUAUUUGUUGCUGUUAAUAAUUCUUAAAAAUUGAGCUGAAAUUCUCGAAGAACAUGGUUUUUUCAACGCCCUUCCAUUUGUCGUUGCUACCAUGUGAUCGAUAUAACUUUUCGAUUUUGCUCCAAAAUAACCACGUUACCUGUAGCUACUCUCAAACAAAGUUUCCUUGUUUAUAAUUGUCAUGUUGAACGAGUAACUGAGCGUUUAAGGCCUAACUGCAAAAGUUUAUUUGAAGGCACUUUUGAAAAGUUUUAUUUCUUGUGUUUGUAGUGACUUUUUUUUUAUUUUAACAAGUAACAGUUAUUUUCAGUGCUCUAUUUGGGUUGCAAAAUCUCAACUCCAUACUAGCCAUAGUUUAAAUUUCUUGGUACUAAACUGGAGUAAUCUUUUAUACUUCCUAUGUAUAAUAUAUAUGUAUAUAUAUAUUCAUGAAUAUCUGGGCUAGCUGAGGCACACAUGAGCAUUUGGGUGUCAAGGAAACAGGCAGGAUAUUAAAUUCUACGUAGGUGGUCACCAUGAAUUGAAUCCAUAACCUCUCAACCAUUUUUCAAGGUCAAUAUAACCAUUUAUUAUCUUAAUAAAAAAGAGUUUGUGACUCCUCUAUGGAAAGUAAAAAAGAGCUAUAAACACAACCAGUAAUUAAAGUUACAAAUCAAAGGAGAGAAUGGAGAUAUAAUUAAGAAUUAAUAUAAAUUUGUUGAACAAGCGUAAGUCAACAGAGUCUAGGUGCUACUAUUCUGCUCUCAACCUUGUUUUAUUAUGUGAGUGUCGUAGAUGGUUUAAUUGAUUAAAAAGGCUUAGAGAAUGCUGAACUCAUUUUCCACCAGGCUGAUAUCUGCCAUGCUUAUCAAUUGUUGCGGAAAAAUGGGCUAAAAGAUGAGAACAUCAUAGUCUUCAUGUACGAUGACAUUGCCUUCAAUCCAGAGAACCCAAGACCUGGUGUCAUCAUCAACCAUCCAAAGGGUUCUGAUGUUUAUCAUGGAGUCCCGAAGGUUUUCUUUUUCUCGUUGCCCUAUCGAUUCUAAUUUUACGCCUGAUUCAUCUGAUGGUAGCUACUUAUGCACUCUACGUUUUGGCCAUGGCAGGAUUACACUGGUGAAGAUGUUACCGUGAACAACUUUUUUGCUGCCAUUCUUGGAAACAAAACUGCUCUUACAGGGGGUAGUGGGAAGGUUGUUGACAGUGGCCCUAAUGAUCAUAUUUUCAUAUACUACAGUGAUCAUGGUGGUCCUGGUGUGCUUGGUGAGUGGCUUGUUCUGUGUAGUUCGCAUACUAUUUGAGGUGACCUAUCAUGCUUAUCUGGCACCAUCUCUUUGGAUAUGUUUGUUGCUCGAUGUGCUUGAUUUAUAUCUGUAAACAAUAGCACGAUUAGUUUACAUUUCCAUAUUAUCUUUUAAAGGCAGCCAACCAACCAAAAUUCAAUCUUAAAAAGCGUGCUUUGAUUUGAAACUGAUAGUACAGCCUCAUUUACCUAGGAAACACUUAUUGGUAUCAUUAUUGUAAAAACAUUAAUCGAAGAUAAACUUGUGUUAGAUUUCUCUAACUAGUUUGUUACUUGAUGGAUAAGAAAUUUCUCAUCUCUGAUAUAUCUUGUUCAGGGAUGCCUACCUAUCCUUAUAUGUAUGCUGACGAUCUUAACAAAGUUCUAAAGAAGAAGCAUGCUGCUGGAUCCUACAAAAGUUUGGUAUAUUAUUGUACUGUUCAUUGCUUGAGACUGCAUCUGUCCUUAUAAUGUAACCAUAUAUAAUGAGAGUGGAACUGUUUGUAAUAUUUUAGGUAUUCUAUCUCGAAGCUUGUGAAUCAGGAAGUAUCUUUGAAGGUCUUCUUCCUGAAGGUUUGAACAUUUAUACAACGACUGCAUCAAAUGCUUAUGAAAGCAGUUGGGGUACUUAUUGUCCAGGGGAUUAUCCUAGUCCUCCACCAGAGUAUGAUACUUGCUUGGGUGACUUGUACAGUGUUGCUUGGUUGGAAGACAGGUAAAAAGAUAAUAGUAGGCUUGUUCUAUUGUUUUUAUACUUUGUUAUUUUGUUAUUUUGUUGUUUUUGUUUUUGUUUUUUGCUUGGUGUUUUAAUUUAUCAGUAAAAGAAAAUGAUAUCAAUGCCGAAAUCCAAAAGGUAAUGUUUUUUGAUGUUGUGCAACUUUGAUUUUGGGCAUUUGUUCUGAUUUCCAUGUUCUCAUCGUUAUAUGUACUGCCGCACCAUACUUCUGGUGUCUAGUGUUCUGUCAAGCCGAAGAAUGAGUCUCACAAAAUUAUUAGAUCCAAAAGCAGAUUAUUACCUUUUAAAUAAGGGAUCCAAACGCAAAUGACGUGAGUUAAAAUAAUGAGGAAGUGGUUUAUUUUAUUCAGAACCUCAAGAUUUUUACUUUCGUGCUGUAACAGUGAUAAUCACAAUUUGAAGACAGAAAGUUUACGCCAGCAAUACGAACUGGUAAGAAUACGUGGACCUCCGUUUUAGGAGAAAUCAACUUCCCAAGUUUAAAUUUGGUUCUUAAAAAUGAAAAAUUUUCUACCAGAUUUUUUCAUCCUUUUGUAAUUGUACUAAAUGUACCAAGUCUAAAGGACAUUUUAGUGUGUUUAUCAAAAUGAAAAAAAAUCCCAUUAUGCUCGUUUGAUCUGAUUUGAACUGUUGGUUUCUUCAGGUGAAAAAAAGGACGCUAAGUGGCCAAUAUGCCUAUGGUUCCCAUGUCAUGCAAUACGGUGAUCUAAUGCUCAACAAGAACGCUUUGUUCUCAUAUCUGGGUACUGAUCCUGCUAAUGAGAACAACACUUUUGUCGAGGAAAACUCCUUGAGGCCAGCUACAAAGUUCACCAAUCAGCGUGACGCUGAUCUGGUCCACUUUUGGGAGAAGGUUAGUUUCUUCUUUUUCUAUUUUCAAAUGGAUAAUAUAUGAACCCUGCUUGGUAUACUAGUAUAUAGUAAAUAAGUGAUAUUUUGAGGUUCGCCAAAUUGAUAAUAUUUCCUGUUUUAGAUAGUGAGAACAAAGCAUUCUUGUGCGUUAGAUCCAAUUUUUGAGACUUUUGUGGCAAUUUUUUAAAUACUACACUUGUCACCUCUCUAAUGUAGGGAUUGUAGUAUUUACUUGUUAAUCUUGGGUUUUUUCUUGCUUAAAAUUAAUUUUGGUUUCGACAUCAUUCAAGACCCUCUCACCCCAUCCGUGCUUGUUGAUCUUAGUUUCGCAAAGCUCCAGAAGGCUCCCUGACGAAAGUCGAAGCUCAGAAGAAGUUCGUGGAAGCAAUGUCCCAUAGAGCUCAUAUCGAUAACAGUGUGAAGCUAGUUGGAAAGCUGUUGUUUGGAAUUAAAGAAGGUCCUGAGGUGCUUGAAGCCAUCCGUCCCGCAGGAAGACCCCUUGUUGAUGACUGGAACUGUCUUAGGAAUAUGGUAUAAUUUCAAUAUAAUUGGAUACUGCACAGCCCAUUUCAGUCAACCAGUCAAAUGAUGUUUAGUUAUAUUUUUACUCAGUAUAAAAGUUAGUUAAUUCUGAAAUGAUUCAAUACAAACAGGUUAGGAGCUUUGAGGCACGUUGUGGAUCUCUGUCUCAGUACGGAAUGAAACACAUGAGAUCCUUUGCAAACCUAUGCAAUGCUGGAAUCAGCAAGGAGCAGAUGGCGGAGGCAUCGGCGCAAGCUUGCAUGAGUGUCCCUCCGGGCCCUUGGAGCUCUCUACUCAAGGGCUUCACUGCAUGAUGACGAAACCCAAGUCAGUCAUCGGAUUUGGAAGUACGUUUCUCCCACCAUUGUUUAUAUCACAUCUAUGUUCAAAUGGGUCUGUCGACGACAAGUCAUUUGUAAAUAGAACCACAGGCCAUUGUGUUAGGUGAGAAAAAAGGGGCAUAUAAUUGAAAUGUUGAACUGAAGAAAUACGCAUCUGUUUAUAAGAAGAAGGCUCUGGUUGUGUUGGCAAGAACGAUCAAAAUUCCAAAUGUAUUGAUUGUAUGUAGUAGAAUUAUGGUGUGCUUUUUACAUUGAAUGACAAUAUAUUUUCACAUGAAUACAAAAUUCCAACCUCCAAAAGAAGAAAAGUGAGAAAACAAAAAUGCAUGAUUGAAAUAUUGGUGAGAAAAGGCAUAAGAGGUGGGCUAUACUUAUAGAUGGGAUAUGGGUGAGAAGGGUAGGCUCCACUCCUUUCCUCCUUCACUUGUUUAAACUUUCGUCAAUUUUAAAAGUAGAAUGGGGAGUUUGUGGGUUGUGGUAGUUGAAAAUGGUUAGAUGUUUUGGUAUAGAAUUUAGUGGGGGAAGAGAUAAAUCCACAUAUUGGGAUUAUUGGGAUACUGUUUGUGUGUGUGUGUGUGUGUGUGUGCCCCCAUUCUCCACCUCCCUGGAUCCACAUUCUUCUAUUAUUCCCACUUUUGCACGCUUUGUUUCUUUCCUUUUAUUAUUUUAAUACCAUCUAAUUUCAUGUUCUUUAACUUUAUUGUUUUAAUACCAUCAAUUUAUAUUGUAAAAAAAAAAAAAAAAAGAGUUCCUUUUGCAUCUUAUCUGAAUGUGAAUGUUGGUUUCUAUACUAUAUUUGUAAUUUUUUUAAGAUAUAAUGAAAAUAUGAUUCACUCUUUCAUCAUCUUAAUAUUGAGUUUAGUUAGAUAGAAUAUGUAACAUUUGUCAUCUUAGUAAUUCUUUUAAUCGUGGCUUUAAAUUUACUUUAUUAUUUUCUCGUUGUUUAGUAAAGGGAUGGAAUAUCAAUUAUUGAAACUCGAUUUGGUUGUUUUGUUUAAACCCCAAAUUAUGAAUCAGAAUUGGUUCCAUACAUAAUUCUCAAAAUCUCAUAAUUCUCCAAGAAAAUAAAGAUUUCAAAUGUAGUUUCUGGUCUAUAGAACUUUAAGUUUUUUUACUUUUAGGCUUCAAUAAUUUUUUUGUUUGUUAAAAUAGUAUUCUUUCAAUUUUUUAUUAUAUAUAUAUAUAGUUCCUAGUUGAAAGGAAAAGUUGAUUAAGAGGUAUAUGUGAUGAUUUAAUAAUUUAUUCGAAUGAUUGUGUUUGAAGAAAUUAAACUAGUUGCCAACUAUAUGAAUCAAAUGAUUUUGAAUUCAAAGGUAAUAGUUAGGGAAUUGGAUAUUUUUUUUUUUCUAGUGGAGCAUCUAAUGAUACCUUUUUCAAUAUCAUUAUUACGGAGAUGAAAAUAAAAAAUUGACUCUUGAAUUAGAAUUAUGUCAAUUACUAACAAGCUAAAUUCACCUUUUCAUUAAGAGUCAACGAGACGAAAACUAAUAUGGAUACAUACUUUUGUUUAAAUUCAACGAGUAUGAUUUGAUUAUUUUGUUUCUUUUAAAAUGAGUAUGAUCUUAAUAUUACAAAAUACAAAUGGAUGGACAAAAGUUUCUUAUUAAAAAAUCAACCCCACUACUGAACAAAGGCACCAAAAGAAAAAGAAAAAAAAAAGAAGAAAAUCUUCUUCAUAUGCUCUCUCAUUUGGAAAAACGAAAAGGAACAAAAGUCUUUUUAUCUUUUUCUUUUUUUCCUUCUUAAAAAGUAGAUAAAACUUCAAAUAUGGAAAAGGUAAAUUCACAUAAUGACUAAAAGCAUUUUUAUUUCAUAACCUUUAUUUAUACAUAAAUACGCAUGUGCCUUUAUUGGUAAUCUUUCUUUGUUUUUGUUUUUUAAUUGGUUUUUAAAAACUAAAGUGUAUUUGGUAACUAAUUCACUUUUUAUUUUUAUUUUUUAAAAAAAAACUUUUUUUAAAAUUAUAAAGAAAAAUUGAAAAUGAAAGGACAUCUUUAAAAUAACAACAUUAUCAAAUAUAUAUGGUUUUUAUCUUUAUAAAAAAUUAGAAAAUAGAAAAAUGAAAACAAAAAUAAAAAUUGAAAUGGUUAACUAAACCUGUUCUAGAAGUUUAAAAAUAUAAUGAUAAUUAUAAAUAUGUUUGGAGAUUUUUAAAAGAAGAAGAAGAAAAUUGACGAAUUAUUUACGUAAUCCACUAAAAGUCAAAAUUUAUACACUUAUUUCUCUACUAAUGAUAAAUAUUCUAUUUGUAUGGUUUUUCCCUUUUUUCUUUUUUUGGUAGAGUGGGGGCUCGAAAAUGAAGUUUAAAUAAAGUUAUGUGAUGAACUAACAAUAGGCUAAAAAGAUAAAAUCUUAUUAAAUUUACAUAAUGUUUUUUAAAAAAACGAACUCAUUUAUUAAAUUUGAGGGUACAAUGGUGAGUUUGAUGUGAUUUUUUAGAAGUUAGGGAAGGAGUGGAAAGUGAAAAUAAAUAUAAGCUUAUAAUUAUUAAUAAACAUGAGAAAAGUGCUUUGCAUUAUUAGGAAGUUUACAACAAACUCUAAUUUUUAAUUUAACUUGUUUGUUUCUAAUUAAUAUAAUAUCAACUUGUCAAUAUUUGAACUUUUAUAUAACAUUUCAGUCCUUACAUAUUCUUUUAUAACUUUUAUAUUCUCCAUUUAAAUCCUUUGACUAAUUAAAACUUUUAUUAUGUAUAAGGAAAAUUUUAAAAAAUAAAAUUUAUAAUUAUUAAGUAAGCAAGUGAAUGGUACGAAACAUGUAAGCCUCAAAGUUAUUAUUUCAAUUUUAUUUUAUCAUCUUUUAAAACACGUUCGAUGUUGAUGAUCUAAGCUUUUUACAGUUCUUGGUAUAUGAUUGCAUGUGUAAAGAGUUUAAACCUCGAGUAGGGAAGUAGUUAUACUUUCCUUGAGGUCUUCAAUCAUGACAAGAUUUUUAAUUUUUAAAUUUUUAGAAUUAAAGUUUUCAUAUAUAUAAAAUAAAUUUAUUAAGUAAUUUUGUAUGAUUGACUCAAACGAAUGGUGUCUCGUUUAUAUAAUAUUAGGAUUUGUGGUAAAUAAUUUAUGGGAUGGUUUUGGAGAUGAAAAAAAAGUAAAAGAAUAUGAAGAAAUAUAGAGUUGCAUUUAAUGAUUGUAUUGUGGUGUUUUGAAACAUCACGACUCUCUUCCACAAAACGUUUUCUAAAAUCACAAUGGAUAAAGUCAAAUUGUUGGUGAAGAAUCCUUUGUUUUUUCCAUUAAUAAUUGUAUCUAUCAAAUUUAAACUUUAUCCAUUUUUAUAUUUUACAAAAAUCUACCUACCAAUCAUAAAUAAAAUUAAUUUACAUAUUAAUCAUAAUUAACUAAAAAAUGCAAUAAUACAUUAGAACACUACCACUACAGGUUUUAACUAUGCCAAAUUAGUUUUAAAACUUUGAAAUAUAUGUAUAUACAUUAUAUGGUAAAGUAUUGAGGUAGAUUUGUUAGAAUAUUAAUAAAAUAAAGUAUCUAAGUUGAAAAGAAGGUGAAGGGGAGGAAGACAUGCAAGGUGAUUGGAUUACAAACUAAUUACAAACUAGAUUUGAGAAGAAUAGUUUGAAUUUUGGGUAGUAGAAAAGGGAGAAGGUAAGAAUGAAUGGUAGAAAUAAAUAUUUGGUUAAAGGAAACCCUAAUAUAAAUGUUUAUAAAAGAAUGAAUUGAAGGGGUCAUUGAUUGCAGUGAAAUGAAAGUAUUGAAAGUUCAAUAAUUUGGAGAGCCCCAUGGGACGUAUAAUCGGUUUGGGUAUUGACCGGAUACGACAUUACGAAAGCACUUUUAUUCAAAUGCUUUAACCAUGGUUAAUACUCCAAACUAACCAUAGUUAAGUACCCUUCCCGGUUCUAUCUAACCUCUAACCUCUAACCUCUAACCUCUAAGCUCCAAAGCUCUAAAGCUCCAUCACAUCGGCGGUUCCACACGAAAACAAAACUUAAAUAAUAAUAUAAAAGAAUAUUUUAUUUUAUUUUUGUUAGGAGAAUGAACGGACGUUAAAGAUUCCGUCAAAUUGGUUAACGCGGGGGGAUAAACGUAACGGUCGAUUGGAGAAGAGAGGAAGGAGCGGGACUCUCAGUGGACGGAAAAGCAGAUGAUGAAGCAGAGCCGGACGAUGGUUUGAUGGACGGUCAUAGAUGGAUAUUGCUGAACGGUUUAAGCGAUGUGGGACUUGGAAGAGCGUAUAAAAAUAGAGAGUUGAAAGGGUGAGAGGCCAUUUCGUUGUAUCAUUGAGGAAGGACCUCUCUGUACUACUUCUCUUUAAACUUCCCUUCUAACUCUUUCUCUCUCUCUCUCUUUCUCUUUCUCUUUCUCUUCUACAUAUUUAUAUUUCUUUCUCUUGAUGUCUCUGUAAUUAUUUCCUUCAUUUGAAGCUUUCAAAACCACCCAACAGCUUAAAAUUUUGAUAGUAUUACUGGGUUAAUCGAUCUAAGAUGGCUCGGGUCAUUGACGACUUUUAAGGCAUUGAAAUUGUUGUAAGAGAUGAGAUAAUCGACGGGGGGGAAUUUGAAUCUGGGGUCUGUUUUCUUGGCUGAUUCUGUAAUUGAUUUUUUUUUUUUUAAUAAAUUCGGAGUUGAAUUUUUGGAGAAGAGACUUUGAGUUUUGAAGGUUUGAUAAUUGAAAUCAAUUCACUGUUUAAGGUCUUUGUUGUUCUGGGUUUAGAUCUUAUCUUCUGAAAUUAGUUUCUAACUCUUGAAAUUUUCGUUGUGCAGAUAAAUACAGAGCGAUUUUAGUUGUUCGUUUGAGGGGUUUCUAAGAGAUUUGUUACCUUUUUUGAAAGUGGAAGAAGAAUUGGACUGAGAAAAAUGCAAGCGAUUAUCGGACUCUGGGAUUCGGAUUUACAUUUCGCUUGUUUUCUGCGGUGAAAUAAGCAGAUUUCUGUUCUUUGGAAGAGCUGAUUCUUGGGGGGGAGGGGGGCAAACCCAGAUCAGAAAUUUCAGGUACUGAUUGGUUAUCUUCUUGGUGUAUUUUGUAGGCUCUGUUCUUUCUGUUCUAAUUAUUUUCGUCCGAAAUUUCAGGUCUGAUUUUCUUCCUGUUCAUUGCUACCUUCAGCAUCCAAUAGCUAUCGCUUCCUCCUCUGUUCGAAUUCUUAGGGUCUGAUAAUAUGCUUUCAGAAUUUAAAAAUUCGAGUUGCUUCUUCCAUGGAAGGAUCUUCUAUCUCUCUGUGAGCCAUUGGGAAAUCUGGAUCCCCUGUUUCCAUGUGAAAUUCUUCUUGUUUCUUUGAGUUCCUCACAUUUUCAAGAUUUUCCCUCAAAUUUCCUCUUAAUUUCAGACCCAGCGUCUUCCCAAUACUUUUCUUCAGAAACCCAGACCAGUUCGGCUUUUCAAAUUUCGUGAAUUCCGUCUUCGGAUCAUCGAGAAAACCCCAUGUUCUGGUCUCUGACUGUUUGAUGUUCUCCUCGAGUAAAGUUUUUACAGUGUUGAUGGCGAAAACGUCAUAUUUCAGUGCUUGAAAUUUCUAAUCACCUUUGCUCUGUCCAUUUUUCUUCGUAACUUCGGGAUUUUCAUCCGAAUCCAAUUGACUGCAGAACCUGCUUUUUAUCCAUUUCCCCUUUCGUUUCUCUUUGCUACUUUAAUUGUAGAAUCUUCUGAGUAAUCUUUCUUCAGACUAACCCCCUUUUGAAAUGGGACAGGUAGUGUAUAUAUAAUUAAGCAUAUGGAGAAAGAAAAUCUCAGAAUCAAUAGCCAUGGCAAUUUCGUUAGUAAUAAUCUCAACGGGAGGGAUAGAACCAGCGUGGACAGCUCGCUGUUGUUGCGAGCGAGAUCCGAAGCCGCCGUUGUCGCCGUCGCAACGAGACCGCAGCCAACGCCGUCGGAAUUUGUGUUACAAUGGGGAAACCGGAAGCGUCUCCGGUGUAUGAAAGUUCCGGUUAAGGCCAAGGAUGUUUCCGCCGCAGCACCGGCUCACAGAACCACCGUCCGAGUGGACCGGCGAGUCGUUAGAGCCGAUAAAGACUCGAUUAUACAUAACCACCAACCAACUUCUAAUCAUAACCUUAAUCCGAGUAAUGGGUAUUUGAAUCUCCGUCAACGGCCGAUUUCUCCUCAACCGCCAGUUCUACCGCCGCCGCCAGCUCCAUCUCAGCGUAUUCUAAGGUACUCUCUGUUUCUCUCUCUUUUCUUCAACGCCAAUCUUUCGUAAUUUCUUUUUUAAUCUCUUUGAUCGUUCAAAUCUCAUCCGAUAUUUGAGAUUCCUUUUUCCCGGCUAUGGGAUUCAAAAUCCCGAUGUAUUCUUUUAAAUGGGCCUUUCUAUUUGGGCUUUUAUUUUAUUGGGCUUUUUAUUUGCUUGCUGUAACGCACUGCAUAUCUAAAUAUCUAAGAAACAUAUUAUCGCUAUUUAUAUACUCAUAUCAUAAUCAAUAUUUGACAACAUAGUCUAUGAUUAACACUUAUUGGCUACAUUAUUGUAAAAAAAAAUUCAAUAAUCUUUCUUUUUCAAACAAUAAAAAAAUAAUUGUAUAAAUGCAACUUGGUAUUGGAAUCUGAUGAAAUGAUGAACCAAACAUUGAAGGACGCAAUUUAGCCUCGUUGAUUAGGACACGUCUUCCAUUUCUUCCACGUGUCGUUUUCACUGUGGAAUAAUAGCCGUCGGAUCAUCAAUCGCAGUGACCACUGGUGUCCCCAGAGUGUCUCCAGAUCGGCUGCCCUGGAGCGGACACGUAAUCUCGAACUUGUAGAUCCAAAGGCUGAGGUUGGGGCGAGGUAGUCAUGAUUUGAAAAGACAGGUUUGUCCUUAAGAAAAAUCUAAGCCAUUGAAUGAAAGAAUAGAGACGAAGUCCCCCAUUUUGUACGCAAAUUCUAAGCCAGAUUUCCCCCAACGAACUCCAACAUCCUCCAAGGUCAUUCCCGUAAUUUCAGCCCACGAACGUAAAUAAAUUAAAUUUGCUUUUCUUCUUUUUUCCCUUUUUUUUUUUCUUCUUCUUUAAUGAGUAAUCUUUCAAUCUUUCGUGAGAUUUGUUCUUUAGGCCUUUUGUUUUGGUAAUCUAUGUGUGUAUGUCUUGUGGGGUUGGGAGUCUUUUUUUUAAAAAAAAGAACUUUUUGGUGAAACUAAGUAGUAAACAAACAGAGACUGAGUUUUUGUUUUUAAAAAAAUUUGAUUAGGAACUCUGAGAUUUCCGGUACGAUGAGAGCCCAAUCCAACGGCGGUGUCAGAGCAAUUACUUCUCCGGACAGGGCAGCGCCGGAGAAAAAACCACCACCGUCUCAUCACGACCACCACCAUAAAUCCGCCGCUACCUCAGACACAAAAAAAGGUGGGUCAUCUUCCGGCAGCGGAGAACCAACUGCACCGCCGCAAGCGCUGCCGGUUUGGCCACCGAAGUUCGUAAUAGCUUUAACGAACAAAGAGAAGGAAGAAGAUUUCAUGGCGAUCAAAGGGUCAAAACUGCCUCAGAGACCUAAAAAACGAGCAAAAAUUAUUCAACGCACCAUCAAUGUAAGCAAAACACCAAUCCCCCCGUCUUUACUUUUCCAGAUUCGUUCUCUACCUUUUCUUUUAUUGGUUUUAAUUACUUUUUCUUCCUUAGUUACGAACUGAUUCUCAUGCGCUAUAAUUAUUAAUUAUUAAUUAUUAAUUAUUAAUAUCAUUAUUACUUCUGCUUUAAUUAUUUAUUUGAACCCUAAUUUUCUUUUAAUUUUCACCGAAUAUUUAUUUCCUAGUAAUUAUUCAAUGAGAGCAUUAAUUGAAAAUAAAACGAAAAAGGGGGGUGUGGGGGUGAGAGAGAGAUAUUAAGGGGAGAGUUGUGGCAAUGGAAGGUUGAUGGAAUGCCACGUGGAGAGAUAUGGUUUGAGUGUUAUUUACCGGAAAUGAAGGCAUUGUGUGUGGGUGAAUGAAUGGUUUAACCAAUUACUAGUCGACAGAUAGACAAUCGCUGAGUUGUCCCAUCCUCGCCUUCAACAGUUGGGAGUCCUUUGGGUUUCUUUUUCUUUUAUCUAAAUAAUCAUGUUCACAUUCAACCUUACUUUUUGUAAUAAAUUCUUAAUUUCCCUCUUCCCUUUUACUUUUCUAUAAAUAAUAUUUGUAAAAGUAUAUUACAUUUUGUUCAGGAUUUAUUUAAUUUGUGUGUUGGUUUGGUGUUUGGUGUUUGGUGUUUGCUAUUUGGUGGUGGCAGCUGGUGAGUCCGGGGACGUGGCUAUGUGAUUUAACGUUGGAGAGAUACGAAGUAAGGGAGAAGAAAAUUUCUAAAAAGGUAUGUAUUUUUUUUCUUCUAUUUUUUGUGUUUAUUAAUUUGUGAAUUGUAAGAAUUGAUUCUUGUUAUUUGAAUGUGUUUGGGAUGCAGAGACCAAGAGGGCUUAAGGCAAUAGUGAACAUGGAGUCGGAGUCCGAGUGAGGAAAAGAGGAGAGUUUCUGAUCACAUACCAAAUUAAUUUAGAACCACUGUUUUGUUGUGAUUUUGUGGAGAGGAGGGGAAGAAGCUUUUAAUUAUGUGAAUUACAUAAAUAUAAAAUAUAUAUAUAUAUAUAUAAGUUGUAGAUUUUCUCUUGGCUAAUUGAUUUUAUUAGCAUAAUGAAAUUGUAAUUAUUCUAAUUUUUUAGUUCUAAGUUGAUCCUUUUGAUAACGGUUUUCAAGUAGAAAUUACCAAUUCUUAGAUUGAAAAUAGAAAUGAGGGUGGAAGCUACAUUUGUUUAUGGAUUAAAGAGCUUUUUCUUUUUUUCUUUUGUGUAAAGAUAUAUUGGCUUAUCAACUAACUUUUAGAAAAACAAAUCCUCCAAGAAUGAAAAAAACUCGGAUUAUCACUUUACUACAACUGCGUCAGUUGAUUCUCUAUCUUUUUUUUUUUCUUUCUCCUCAUCCUUCUUCACAUACUAAAUCAAAAGCCUAAUUUCCCGAAGUUCCCAACUUUAAUUUCCCACACUUUACACCCACCCCUUCCUCUCCUUCAAACUAUUUCUUUCUUCAACAUAUUUUUUCUUAAAAUUAACACAAAAAAAAAAAAAAGUUUCAUACAAUAACUUAUGAUAACAACUUACGUAAACAGUAGAAGGUAUUUCCUUUGGUUUGACAAAAUCAUAGAGAAUAAUGAAACUAUUAUUUUAUAAUGAAAUUCUUCAAAUGGUAGAGACUAAACUACAACUCUCUUUGAAUCAUAUUUAUUGUUAAUUAGCUAGUUUUAUGAUUUAUAAAUAUAUUACAAACACGUUAAACAAAUUUUAAAAUUAUAAUCUAAUUGAAUUUGUUUCCAAACACAUAUUUAAGAUAAAACAUAAAACAUGAAAUUAAGGAGAGGAAGAACUCUAUGUUACCAAAAUACUUUUCUUCUAACUUUUACAGAAAAAACAUUCUUAGAUUUAAACAUAAUUUUAAAUCUAUAAUGGCUGGAUUGCCAUGGUAUUAAAAAAUUAAAUGUAAAUCAUAAAAAGCUAAUAUUGCAAUAUUUAGAAUUGUAAAUUUCUUGAAACAAUCAAAUAAACUUCAUGUGAGUUCAAAAGGGUAUGCAAAAUAAAUUCUAUCGAGUAUAUAAAAUAAAAAGAAUGAAUAAAGAAAAGGAAAAAAGAACUCAAAAUGAAAAUAUAUUUGAGUUGAGCAUCACAAAGAUCACAAGUAGACUUUAUUAGUGGACAACAGAAAUCAACCAAUAUACCAUUUCAUUAAUAUAAAUAAUUCUCUAUAUGCUUUGGAUUCGUCCUUCUUAGAGAAGAAAAAAGAAAAGCAAAAAAGGCAACCAUGUUCUUGUCAUCAAUUCUCUAGCUGUAAAAAUUGCCAACCAUAAAAUUAUUGGCACCUUUCCCUUUCGGGUUUUCAUUAUUCAUUGCACAUGCCUCGCUGCCCCACAAAUUCUACUUCAAUUGGACUUCUGUUGGUCCAGAUUUCAAAUUAUUAAAUAUGCCUUACAAAUCUUGGAAUUCCACAAUUUAAUAAUCCUCAACUUAAUUCGGUAGUACACAAAAUGAUUUCUGAUGGGGUUUUUUUUUUCUCUCUCUCUCUCUCUCUUCAAGAAGAAAUUAAUCAAUCAAUUACAGUGAGAAUUACCAAAUUGUUUUGGCUAAGCGAAGAAUCUCAAAGAAAUUGUUGCAGUUAGAUAUAAUAAGCGAGUGUGUUCGUAUGAAUGAAUGCAUGAAAGAGUAAAGAAGAAGAGAGUAUUUAAAAAGAACGAAACAAUUUAUUUACUAAUCAUAACCAACAAAAUAUAGCACAAUCGUGAACAAACCAACACAACCUGCAUUCUAUAUAUAAGAAUGUGUAAACAAAAGAGGUCGUCUGUACCAAACGUGUAGAAAUUAAAGUCCCUUAGAAAAACAUCUAAAACAAAUUCCUCCGCGGCGCAAGGUUUUAGUUGAAGAGAGAAAAGAAAAAGAAAAAGGAAAAGCAGACCAUCACAAAUACAUGGAAGAGUCCAUGGCAAAAUCAAUCACCACAUCCGAAGGCCGGUAGCUCAGAUCCUGAGAGUAGAUCCGAAGGCGAGAGCAAGGAAAGCAGCAAGGCAAGCGGAGACGGCCGAAGGAGCAAUGGAGGUGGCAGGGGAGGCCGGACUGGGAGCCGGAGCCUCCUGAGCGGCGACGGAGGAAAGGGCGAAGAUGAGGGCAAUGAGAGCGAGGAGAGAAACUUUGGAGAGGGCGGCCAUUGGGUAAAAGAGGUAAUGGGGGCGGGGGGUUAGGGUUGAGGCGGGAGAGAGGAGAGAGGAGAGAACCGUUUGAUUGGGAAAUGAGAAAGGGAAAUAGUAGAAGGAGAGAUAUAUAGAGAGAAACGGGGAGGUGCAAGCUGGCGAAUGGUUGAAAGACAGCUCAUAUAUGGGUGUGGUUCCCUUUUCCACAAAGAGCAUCGACGGGGAAUAUAUGCAUUCUCUUUCCACCGCACAACAUUUUAGCCAUCAACAACUACACAACAAAUAUAAAGUAAUUUUUUGUUUUUAAAUUCCAUUUUACACCUUUUUUUUUUCUUUCUUUUUCAACGGAUUUAUUCCAUUCAUGCUUUUUUUUUUUUCUUUUCAAUUUUAAACUUUAACGUUUGCUGUAUGGUUAUAUAUAUUAUCACUAUUAUUUUGUUUUUCUUUUUUAAGCUUUUGAAAAGUAGAAAAAAAAUUAAUACGUUAUAAAUUUGAAAAGCAGUAAGUUUAAAAGUAAUAAUCAUCUAAUAACCUUUAGAUAAUCGUUUCAUAUUAUUAAUUAUUUGUCAUAGUUGUCAUAUUCGAAAUAUGUAUAAAAAAAAAAGGUGUGAACUGUUUUAUUAAGUUAGUACGAUAUUUAUCAGCUUCAUUAAGAUAUUUAUACUUACUAAUAUUACGUUGCAAACUAUAGGUUUGGAAGGUCUUUGGAUGAUUUUCAUCCAUCCUAAGUUUAUUAGAUUUUUUAUCAGUAACAUCGAUCUCAUCUAUUCAACAACUUUUAUGGUACAUGUACUUGUUGGGAUGAGAUUAAAAUAUCAAUUUUAAAUUAUUUAUUGACGUUUUAUCUACAAAUUUACACUUGAGAGGAGUAGUUCAUCUAUCUUAUAUGGAGUAUGAGUCACAUUGUUUUUUCCAAUGUGAGACUCUCAUCUUCUCCAACAUGUCCCUCAAGACAGUGUCUGUUUGAGUUAACUUAUAUUGGAUCAAAUACUCAUUUGGAGAAAAUAGAGAAUCGGUUUCUUACAAAUACUCUUGUCUUCACUCUUUAUUUUGGUAUUAGAGCUUGAAAAAUGGCCAACGCCUUUUAUGCCUCAUCCUCGUCGAUGAUUUCAAACUUUAGCAAUCCUCCCCUAAAUCAACUACUAAACCAACAUGUUCCCUCAGGAUGAUGCUUAUUUGGGUUCACCUAUCUUUAACAUAAGGUGACUAUAUGUUUAGAAUCACAUUUUCCAUGAAUUGAAUAGUAAUUGAAUAGUAAUGACUCAUGAUCAUAUAUUUUUUUAAUAUAUAUGGGCACUAAUCAAACAUUUUAGUUCAACAAACGUUUUUUUCAAAACAAUAAUAAUAAACAAUGGACAUUAAUUUUAAAAUUAGAAUAAUGAUAUUAAAUAUCUCUUUACUUCUCAGCUUUUAUAUAAGGUCCAAAUUCAAAGGAUGCUAUUAAAGUUUCAAACAAAAUACUUUUCUUUUUGAGAGAGAUAUUCUUUCUCUUUAAAAUAAAGAUGAGACAAUGGAUGUGAUAGAUUAUGUAUAGAAAUAAAAAUACAUAAACAAAAUUAUUUACAACUAUAAAUAAAAUUAAGAAAGUUAUUAGCAUUAAUCUCAUCGAAUUAAUUUAGCUAACCAAAAAGAAGCAAAACAGCGUCGUUUGGUUCAUAACGUUAAUGAGUCCGUUGUAAAAGUGGAAGAUUCUAUUUGGUUUAGGGUUAGUGGAAACCAUGGGGGAAAUAAUAUUGAAUUCAUCCAGAUGCGACAAUGGCGCGUGUUAUGUACGAUAAGCAUCGAAGGGAUGUGAGAAGAUGGGGACGGUGGAAAAUUAGAGCGUGGAGUGAAGAAAACCCAAAAAGGGAAAGAAGGAAAAGUAAAAAUGAUGGGGGGUGGGGCCGACAAGCCAAUAAUGGGAAAAAUAGUUGUUGUGAACGUGGGGCCCAGGAUAGAGUGACCGCGCUGUGUUGUUAGGAAAUGACAGGUAAGAGUGAUUGGCCACUGGCUUCUUUUUAAUAUGGUUCCAGAAACUUCUUUUUAUGCACGCCAAUAUCGUCCUUUCCACACAAACUCUCUUUUAAUAAGUAAUAACCACUUUUUUUUUUUUUCUUUCUUCUUUUUUAUCAUGUAAAUGCUAUUAUUGUUCGACUAUAUCAGCUUGUUUGUAAACCUAUCAAUUUACAAUUGAUAAAAAAAAAAAAAAAAGAUAAUGAAGAGUCCAAGUUAUGUUAAUAAUCUUCAGUUAGUUCAAUAGUAUCUAGGGUGGUAAAGAUUUAAAAUCGAGUUCAACACCAACAAAGUGAACCAAUUAAGGGCAUUUUUGGCAUUGUAAUUAAAUCUCGAAUGAGAUUCUGUAUAAUCUAAUGAUGCAAAUUUAAGUAGUGUUCGGGUGAAGGAGCGAGAAGUAUUGAGUAAGGAAUGAAACAGUAAAAAAAGAGAGAAAUGGAGGAUUAUGGAAAACAUGUCCUUGGUCAAACGAGCGGUGAAGUUUGGACUAUUUAUCUUUUUGGAAUUUCGAGAACUAUAUAUAUAAAUAUAUUCAACUAGUUUUGAGCAAUACAUAGGUUGAAAAAAAAGAAAGAAAGAGAGAGAGAGAGAGAGAGAGAGAGAGAGGUACUGGGAAGAAAAGGAAACAAAUAAAGACCGUUCAUGCCAACUCCUCAAACUUCAUUCUUAUUUAAAAAGAAAAAGAGAACAGAUAGAUGAGGGGCAUUCAAAUAUGAUCAUUUUCUUUUACAGUGGGAGAUAUAAUAAUUUGCAUAUAAUUAUCUCCUACUUUAAUAACUCAAAUUUGGCUUCUAGACUGGAAAUCAUGACAGGGCAUUCUCCCUUCUCAUCAUACUCUGCAUACUCACCUCCAUUUAAGUCAAUAUCCUCAAAUUUAGUCCCCUCUAUCUGCAAACAAAACAAGGCAACUCAACUUUAGGAAUAAAUCUGUAACAAUAUAUAGCCAAACAAUAUUCUUCAGAAUUCGUAAGUUAAAGCUAAACUAUAUGCCAGCAUGAUUAAAAUAAAAGAGCAAGUAUCUAUGCCAUAUUCUUAAUUUUUUUAUCUAGUUGUUAACCUUGCGUGCCUAUAUUUCGAAAAAUAUUAAUCUUCAAGGACAGAGAGAGAGAAGGGAAAAAAAAUUCUAGUCUCAUGCCAAAACGUUGUGAAUCUGCAUGAUCAACAAGUUAUAUAUGUUUGAUUUUGAAAAAAAUGAAGUUAUACAUGAUCGUGGAAUUCAAAAACAGGUAGGCCGUGUUAAAUACUUCAUGUUCAUUAUUAAUUGGAAGACUUACAGAUUCUACUUUCCAUCCAGGUCCAAAUAUAAAGCCCAUAGGAUCAUAACCUCUGCAGUCAAAUAACAUCAACGGAGAGAAACCCCCUGAUUCACUUAUUUCCUGAGUCAAUGGUUUACCUCGCCCCGGAAUCAUUGUGAUAGUUCCUUCCCUCCCACAGAACUUGCACUAUAAGAUAAAGAGCAUUAACAUUGUAGUUGAGUUCGGAGGAAAUCUUUAAGUGCAAAUGGAAACUAUUGAACCUACUAUUUGAAAUAAAGCAUAAUCUGAUACAAGACAAUCAUCUUGGACAACUAAUCAAAUUUAAUUUUCUAGCCAUUUCCUUAAAAUUGCCACAAGUUCUUAAUUUCAGAACUAAAUUUCACACCAAACACGAAAUGCUGAAAAAUGUUAUAACUUCAUGGUCAAAUGAUAUUGGAAAACAUUAGUUUUCAGAAAACAUAUCACCAUUUUCGAUUUCCACAUCACUUAAGAACUGAUAUCUUAAUGUCAGUUUGACUAUUGACCCAAGUUUUCAAAUACAACAGCAGUGGCAUACUGCAUUAUUUUAUUUUUCUAAAAAUGUACACCAAUAAUCAAAUUAAAAUAAGGAAUGGAUGAAGCUUAAGUAAGAAACAAAUGCUAAAUUAAGUAUUAGUCUGUUUUCUUUUGUCCACCUGUAAUUGCCAGGCUAGGACUAACUUGUGCACAUCUCCGCCUAUUUUCAUGAGACCAACUAGAGCUCGUUCUCUCCAAGCCUUUUAUUAUUCACAUGGACCUCACUAAACACUAGGUCAACCGUGGUGGUGAACUAAGAAUUAGUGAUCUUGGGUGUCAAUUUUUUCUUUUUUUCUGUUCAAUAAGUGUGGGUGAAGGACUUGAACCUCUGAAAUCUUGGUCGAGAGCAUAUGUCUUAACUAGUUGAAGUACACUCAAGCCAACCGUGAGCGUUAAAAAGUUAAGAAUACCAGUGACUGGAUCCUACUAGUACCAUUGCUUUGAAAAUUGAUUGAAAUGAAGGGCCACCACAAUCUGACAAGAACUUUAUAUUAUUGUAUAACUUUAAAGUGGAAUUACAAAAAUCAAAAUCUACUUCUAAUGGUUACUAGAGGACAACCACUCAGUCUCAUACACACACUUCUUUAAAUGUAUAGAAGCCAGAACUUUCCUACUAUUUCCCUUCAUUUUCUCAUCAACCUGGAACGACCAUCUUUAUGUCAAUAACUGAUCUACAUACUUUCCAGAAUAUGAGCAUCUUUAAAAGAGAAUUACCUUUUGAACGAGAUUAGUAGUCCCUUUACCCGCUUGGAGAGGAAUAGUUUCACCCAAGGUCACACACGUUUCUUUCUGGCUCACCUCCCCGCAUCUCCCGCAUUUCACCUUCAAACGGAAGAUAGCACACAAAUAAUACAAACAAACAAGCUCAAUUAACACAAUCAAGGAGGAAAAUACGGUAAAAACCAACCAAUAGCAGCUAGAAAGAGAAGGAAUCCAAGAAUCAUCACCAAACAUGAUGUCCUCGGAUCAAUUCCAGGGAUAAAAAUCCGAAAACGACAAUAUAACAUUUCAAGUCAAGAGGAGGAUGAUAAAGUGGAACAUGCAGACAUAUCAAAUUCACUUCGAAUUCGACAAGUACUAGUGAAUAAGUUAGAAAUUGAAAAAAGGAUUGAAGAAAUGUAAUGGAAAAGAAGGCAGGACGUUGGAAGAGAUUAAUGAAACAAACUCAAGAAAAUUGAAUGAUAUUAAGAGCCAAGAGGAUUACUUUGAAAAGGUAAGGGAAGUUGGGGUCGUCGCAACCAUCUUGAGGCUGAAGAUUCGUGAGGUUCUCGAGCUCCGCUUUGAUCUUAAGCAAGAAGUUCACCAUUUUUUUUUUAGCGGUUUUGCAUAAUCACACUUCCCGUGCGUGGAAUUUUCGAUUUUAGUCUUUGGGAAGACGGACUAUGGGCUCGGGUCUUCUUUCUAAAACGGAUGACCCGAAAGGAGUUUUCCUAAAUGAUUUUCUUUUUCUUUUUUAAAUACAAAUCUAAAAUAUCUGAUUUGCUAUUCUAGUGUUGAUUUUUGUAACCUUUUUUAUUAUCAUUUUUGCUAUAGAUUUUGGAAACAUUCUUUUUUUUUAAAAAAAAACUUAUUGUUAUUAUUUGAUUAAUUUUUAUUGAAGUUCAAAAUUGAGAAAAGAAUUUCCAUGGUUCAAAAAAAAUUUGAACAGUAGGAGAAAUGUGUUUAUAUAUUCGAGAGGGUAGGAUAUAAAAUUAGACCUUUAAAAAUGCAAAACUAAAAUGGUAUAAACACCCAAAACUCCAGGAAUUUGAAUGUUUAAGUUAAGUUCAAGUUGAUUUUUUGACCUCAAAUUAAUUUUAAAUAAUUAUAUUUGUGUAGAUUAAAUUCUUUUACUAAAUUUCUUAAAACAAUUAUUUAAGAUAAAGUUUCUCUCUAAUCAAACAAGAUUAAAAAAUUUGAAAUAAAAAUUGGUUACUUACGUUUUGUAUUUUGUUUUAUUUUGAUUUCAAUUUCUUUAAAAAUGUAAAAUGUCCUGUUUAGUCUCUAAAAUUGAAGAUGACGUAAGUCUAUAUUUGAAUGGUUAGAUUAUUUAGAUAUUAAAUUACGUUGAUAAAUAACUAAAAAAAUAUUCUUAAUUUAUUAUAUAAUUCUUUUAUGUCGAUGAAAAACAUAAUCAACACAAUAAGCUCAAAUUAAAAUCUAAUUUUGAUCUUAUUUCCUCCCAUUUAAAAUCUCUCACGUCGCUCCAACUUGUUUGUUUCAAAAAUUGACAUUGAAUAAAAUAAAAAAAUAAAUCGAUAACAUCCAUGAUAAAAUAAAGUCAAUAGAAAAUUAAAACUCUACAAAAUUGUAAACAAAUAUUUACACGCUCAAUCACACAAUCCAGAAAGAAAAGGAAAUAACUGGGAAUUGCAAUUACCAUAUUCAGUAAUAUGAUUAACAAAAUAUUUAAUUGAAAAUUAAAACCCCAAAUUAUUUAGGAUUUAUAUUAUUUGACAACUUAAUCAUUAGUAUACAAAAUUUGAACAAAAUAGUAUUUAAACCUAUAAUAUGUUUUCAAAUAAUAUUAAGCAAUCCUCCCUAGCUCGUACAAUUGAUGGAAUGGGCAUCGUCAUCGCCAGUACAAGUGAGAGUGAUAGGAAUUAACAUGAGAAUUGCCCACUUCAAUCGGAGCUUCCUUAGUCUCCGCGGGCGCUGCCAAUUUCUUCACCGGAAUCUCCUUCCCGACAUCUGAGACUGGGGAUGAGGAGAGGCAAGAAGGGAACAAACGGAAAAUUAGAGAGAAGAGACUCAUUUCAAUAGAUGCCCUAACAACUUUUGUCCUACUCGAGAAUGAGAUAGUACACUAUGUUGAUGUUUCUGUGGAAAUUGAUUAUGAAUAACGUGAAAUUAUUUAUAGAGUGUAGAAGAUGAAAGAAUGAGAAGAUCCAAUUGCUUGCUGUACAAGGACCUGCCGUGGAUCCCAAGCACCUACACCACCCACCCAUGGCGGCUUUUGCAAAAUCAACGUGGGGAGUAACUAUCAUUUGUUUAUUUAGGGUUGAAUUAUAUAUAUAUACAUAUAAUACCCAUUUCAUUUGUAUAUCCAAAAGUUGUACUCAUUUUCUUCCCUAACUUUUAUAAAACUUUAAAAAACAUCCAUACACUAAAAACAAAACUUUUUUUUCAAAUAAGGUAAAUAGAGAAAGUAAUAACAAAAAUAAGGUUCGAAACAAAUUAUUGACAAAAAUAUGAAAACAUGAGUCCACAUAUAUAUGAAAAAGAAUGUGAGACCCACAAUUAAUAUAAAUAUUGAAUAAAAUAAGAAAGUGUAGAACUGACAUGUAAUAUAUAUAUAAAUAAUUAAAAGCCCAAAACUACUUUACUUUUGUAGAUGAUUUUUUCAUUUACCUAACUUUGAGAAAAAGUGAGUAAAAACUCUUUAGAAUUUAAUAGAAAAUUCAGAUAUCAAAAUGACAUAUAACACUUUUUUGUUUGUGGUUAUCACUACACCCUUUUAAAUUCCAAUUUCCAUUGAACUUUUAGCAUAGUUAAAAUGUGAGGUAAUAUUACCAUUUUUUAAAAUAUGAAAGGUAUUUUAUUCGUUAGUAUUUAUUUGGGAGCCUUCUUAAAAGUAGCAAAAUAAAUUAAAAUCUUUAUCAAUUAUAGUAAAUUUUUGAGUUCUAACUAUGAUAGAAAGUGAUGGUCUACCAAUGUCUAUUAUUGAUUGAAUAUGAAAUUUUGUUAUAUGUUGUAAAUAUUUUGUCAAAUUUGCUAUUUUUUAGAAGGGUAAUUGUAAUUGAUGAUCAUUUGAGGAAUAAUAAUUAAGGAUAUAGCAAUAUUUAAAAAAAAUUGCAAAUAUAACAAAAUCAUCGCGGAUAAACUUGUAUCACCGAUAGACUCGUAUGAUCUAUCGGUGAUAGACCAAUUUUUACAACAUGAUCUAUCAGUGAUAGACUCUAUCAUUAAUAGAAUUUGACAAACUUUGCUAUAUUUGCAAUUUUUUUAAAAUAUUGCUAUAUAUUUAAUUAUUUUAAAUUUAAUUGCUAAAUAUGCAACUAUCCCCUCUUAGAAUUAUCGGUUUAUCUAUUUAUUAGUAUUUAAUUUAAAAAGAAAUGAAAAGGUUGAUUUAAUUCUUAGUUUAGUAACCAUUAGAAUUGGUCCUCAGUAAUUUUCAAGUUUUAUUUUUGUGUUCAAAAGUUAACUAAAAAAAUGAUUGGUUUUUCUCUUUUAGCUUAGCUUGGGAUAAAGAAAGGUGAAAUAGUGAGAAAAAAAAAUCAAACAGACAUAAAUUUUCUCUAAUUUUGACUUUAAAAAAUAAAUUUUAGUCCCAAUCUUAAAAAAAAAUGUUAGUCAUUAGGUUUUGUUGGUAUCAUUUCAUUUUCAACCACAAAAUUGUAUAGGUAAAAUUAAAAAGAGAGAAAAAAAAAAGUAAAAUGUGCUACACGAAUGAGAAUUUUCUCACUAUAUUGUAAAAAUUAUUUAGUCAUUAAUUAAAAAUGAUCAUAGAAAGAUAAAUUAAUCAAUAGAAGUUGACAUAAAUGAAAAAAUAUACUUUAGUCUCUAAAUUUUAGAAUAAUAACUAUUUUAAUCAUUAUCAUUAAUUAAACAUUUAAAAUGAUGGAAACUUUAAAUAUUGACAGAAAAUAAUAAUAAAAAGUACUAUUAUAUUUAAGGAGUAAAUUAUAUGGAUUAUUGUUUUUGAAAAACAAAAUUGUAUUAGGUAACAAAUUAAGCAUAUGAUUGCUUAUAACUUAGGAAUAAACAUUCUAAAACGUUAGGUGUUGAUUGAAGUUCUAACUUGUAACUAUUUAAGUUGAUUUGAAAAGUAUAUGACAAGAAGUGGUUUGAGAGAUUCUAUUUAAGAAAGUAAUGAAAUUUAAUGGGAAAUGGAUGAUCAGAAGUUAAGUCAUGCAAAAUAUGUAAUUUAGGCAGAGAUGUCAUGCUAAUAACAUACAAAACAGAAGAUGCAUCUUCCAUUGCUAUUUAGAAUUUCCAAACUACUUUGGUAAUGAUGUUAUGUUUGAAUGAUUUCUAAGCGAAAGUCUACAAGAUUUCCAUUUUGCCCUCCAUUCCAUUUACCCUCUGUACUCAAUCUGCCUGUUUUUAGUGUGAUUUUUAGGAUAUAAAUCAGUUUUGGAUGUUUUAUUACAUGAAGAAUUAUGUUGUGUUGCACCAAAUUAUCUCUGAUCCAAUGACUCUUAAGCAAUUCAAAAAGCAUAGCUUUUAGCCAUUGGUGUUUGUGAUUUAAAGGCAUCAAGAGAAACUCAGAGUUUGAUUUGGUGAGAGGUUUUCGAUGGGGAAGAAUGUCAUUUGUAAUGGUUUGAUGUUCAAAAUGUUGGUUGGGAUAUUGACAGUCAUAGUUUGUGGAGUUGUGGAGGUUGGUUCACUUUCUAAACUUAAGACUAAGAAAAUGAGCUCUCUUAGGAAGCAAGCAACUAAAAGCAUUCAGGUACCAAUCUCAGUUUCUUAUUCUUCUUCUCAUUUUGCUCAUUCAGUAUUUUCAUGAUUCUCUAACUUGACUCCCUUUUCACCUAAAGAAAUGAAUAGAGUUACUACAACCACGAGUAGACGAAAGACUAGUUUAUUGUUAGAAAAGAAGAGUUUAUAUAGUACACUCCUACGAACCUUAGAGCCAAAAUUAUAGAUAGCAUAACCAAGUACUCAUGCCUCUUCGGCUGCAUUUUUCUUUAUGUUGCUUGUAGAGCGAAGAUGGCGACAUUAUUGAUUGUGUUAGCAUCUACGACCAGCCAGCUUUUGAUCAUCCUGCUCUCAGAAAUCACACCAUCCAGGUCUGUUUUUUUUCUCUCUAGUUAUCAAUUAGAGUACUGAAAUUUGGUUUACAAGUUGAAGAAGAGGGAGAUUUUUAUGCUAUUUUAAGCCAUUCACCAUUGGUUUGGCAUAGAUGGCACCUACUUAUGAUCCCACCAUGGAUAAGCAUUCAAAGAAAGCAACAGCAGAAGAGGAAGGGAUGGGGGAAAAGAGUUCAAUGGGUGUGAAACAACCAUGGAGGAAAAGUGGCAGUUGUCCUAAAGAAACAAUACCGAUUCGAAGGAUCCGAAAACAUGUCCAACUUAAAGCUAAUUCAGUAUAUAGCUAUGGAAAAAAGAGACCGACGCCUUUGCUCGAAAUUGCUCAGCUUUCCAACAGCCGAAGUUCGCAUUUUCUAUUAAAGAAUCAUUCGGUUUGACCAACAAACAUUUCUUUUUUCCUUUGAUGAAUUCCAUGUUUGUCUUUCUCAAUCUUACCAUCUACUUGACAAUGGUGCAAAACAGAAGGCAAUUCUGCUUGCUGUUGGAGACAACUUCAACGGAGCCAAGGGAGACAUUAAAGUAUGUAACCCCAACGUCGAAUUUGAUGAUGAAUACAGUACUUCCCAAGUGGCUCUAUUAACCGGCCCUUACUAUAACUACGAGGCCAUCGAAUCCGGAUGGGCAGUAAGCACCACUUUAUACUCAACAACAUAUUUGUCUCUCAUUUCAAUUUGCGCUGGUUUUAACAUGUUUGUAUGGUGAUAUCUUAAACCUUCCAGGUAAAUCCAGGUGUUUACGGGGAUCGACAGACUCGACUGUUCGUGUAUUGGACUGUAAGUUAAUGCAAACAACAGACUGUCUCCUUCCCUUGAAUGUCAUCAGAUAGACAGGAAUGUUAAUUAUCUCUAAACAGAACUAACUUAAAAUUGUUUUCUUUCGGUGUUAUUAGGUUGAUGCUUCCCAUAAAACAGGUUGCUUUGAUCUAACUUGCCCUGGUUUUGUUCAAACAAGUAAUGAAAUUGCUCUUGGUUCUGCUAUUUAUCCAAUCUCAACUUCAACUGAUCUUCCAUUUGAAAUAACUAUGUUCCUUUUUAGAGUAAGAAAUGAUUUGGUUUCCUUUUCAAAUCCAUUUAUAUGCUUCUUUUCAUAUAUUAUCAUCUUCUCCAUUCUAUCUUCCCUCUUCCUCUUUCCUUUCAGGAUUUCGAGACCAAUAAUUGGUGGGUACAAUAUGGUGAAAGCAUUAACAUAGGUUAUUGGCCUUCUGAGUUAUUCAAAGCUCUAAAAUAUACUGCAGAAACAGUACAAUGGGGAGGGGAAGUUUACAGCACAAAGUUGGGAGGACCUCCUCAUACUGGAACAGGUAUGGGCAAUGGAAAGUUUCCUGACUACAUUUCUGGUGAUUCGGGUUGGGUAAAACGAAUAAGAGUUCGAGACAACUCGAUGAUUUUGAAGUUUCCUAAUUUUGUUGAACACUACUCCGAUGAAUAUGAUUGUUACGAUGUCGAUUUUAUCCGAGAAUAUUUAGACGAUCCUGAGCUAUACUAUGGAGGACCUGGUAAGAAUUGGAGGUGUCCUUGAAGGGGACUUUUACAAAAAUAGGAUAUCCAUCAAGUACAUUAGGAUCCCUUCAUGUAAUGAAUAAUAUAGUACGGUAAAGAUGAAAGUUCUUUCUUUUGUUUCAAAUUCUUACUUGCAACUUGCAACAGUGUUGCCUUCCUUCCUAGCCAACUUUUCCAGCAUCUAGAAAUAAAGAACCUUAUAAAUUGAUACAUGCCCGAUUCUCUAAGACAUAAGACCAAAACAAAUAGGAUUAGGAUUUAUUCAUAUUUCAAAGUGUUCGAGUAUAAAUCAUGUUAAAUCAUUGAUUUAUAAAAAAAGAAAUCAAGUGUAUUAUAUCAUCUGACACGCUUCUCACGCGUGGACUUAAAAUAUGGAACACUCAACAAGUAAAAAGCGAGUUUAAAUACAAGAUUUCUUAGACCAUCUGCUCUGUAUAUUUAAUGUUAUAUCAUCCGCAAAUGUAAAAAUUAGAUAAAUUAAUAUUUGAAUCGUUAUCCUCAAUUAUUUAGUGAUAAUUAGUAUCAUGUUAAUCAACUCAUCCAAGUAUCAAACAAGCAUGAAAUGGACAUUUAGGAGGAAAACUCCCAAACAAUUCGCCUAAGCAUUACAUCAAAAAUUUCUUUCAAGGUCUAAGUUGAAGUCCAAAUUCCCAUGACAGCACUGAAAACUGGGUUUGAAGUCUCAAUUUAGAAUAGAACUCGUCGUGCAUGUGACAGACAGAUGUGGUUAUUUCCUUAAAAGAGCAAAAUCCAGAUGCCAAAAGUGUAUAUAGCACACUGUGAUAACUCACUCAUAUUCCCAUGGCAUUGACAUGUAAAUCUCCAGAAAUGUAUUUACAUAUGAAUAUAAACUGUUCUGAGGUAGGGGAACAAGGGGGAGAAGGUAAACAAAACAUUAUACUCCAAAAGCAGUGUGUAAAAUAAACUAAUAAACAACAUAGUGAGACAAUUCAAAGAUAAUUGAGGUAAUGGAGAAAGGAAAAGGGGAGAAGGAACUUGCUAAAUUGAGUCAUACUGUUUUCUCUCAUUUUGAAUAGAUUGGAAAAUUCGAGCAGCUGAUUCGUUUGCAGAUCUUCUAUUGUGUGGGACAACUCGAAUUACACGUGUUUGGUCGGAGUCUGAAGGUUGAGGACCUUCCUCUACAAGCGGCUGAGCUACAGGGAAAAGUGAAAGUACAUUGUGGCUUUCAGCAGUUCGAUUGACCUUAUUUCCUUGCACUUUGCUAGUAGGACUACAGACAGGACUGCUUGCAGUACUUACUUGUACUUCACUCCUUUUAGGUGCUUGAGACUUGGCAGUUCGUGAAACAGUUUGAUUUUCAUCUCUAUCUCUCUGUGUUGAAACAUCAUAUGAAGUUUGAUGCUGUAUAUUGGAAGCGGCCACACCUCCUGAUAAUUGAUUCGGAUCUCCUGUGUACCAGUUAACUUGAUCGACAGCAAAACCUGACAUACCCGGGUUCAUGACUGGCAUGCCAUAAGGGGGGAAGAAGGAACCACCAACCAUGGGAGUGGUAGGAAGGGCUCCAAUCCCUUGAUGAACAGAAGCUGGAAAUCCAUAGGAUGGGUUCAUCAUUGGAGCCAUUGGACCAUAAGGUCCACAUCCUCCAUAAAUAAAUCCAGGCCCAGGGUAAGGCUUAUAGAUGAGUCCUUCAGAAGGAGACAUUACAGGGACCAGCCAGUGAUGUGCUGAUGUCUGGUACCAACUGCUUAAUUUAUUAUCAGAAGAAACAGAAGUUGGUUGUGGAUUUACUGAAUAAGGCCCAUUAGUUGAAGGCUGGCAAUUAAUUGGCUCAAGAGGAAGAGAUGUCUUCCCAACAGCAUUUUCUGCUGAACAUUCCACAUUGUGUUUUGGCUUCUUAGGGUCAUCACUGGGCUGAAGUUGCACAUGUGAUUUGACAGUGUAGUCUGACCUAAGUUUCUUUGCAGGAAGAGGGCUUGGAGAAGAAUUGUCCAGAAAGACACCAUCUUCAAGUAAUAGAUGAGGUGAUCCAGCAAUUAACCGUUGGACCUGUUUGCGUCAUAGAGAGAGAGGUAAAUCAAUAAUGCGAACCUCAGGGCACAAACGCUCUGCUAUCUGAAGAAACUAGAUCAGUUUACCUUGAUAAGUCUAUGCAACUCGAAUACUUGGACCUCAAACACUCUCUGUUGACUGCAGAGUAAUAAAAGUUCAAAGAGUAAAUCACCCAACAUCAUAAGUGAAAUCAAACGCCACAUCUUGAAGUUGAUAACAACAAUUAAUUCAUAGCAUUGAAAUAGAAUCAGCUCAUAAACAUAUUGUUAAAGUAGUUGCCUGCACGUCACAAACGCUUAGCACCGAACUGACGCUUUGCAAAAUAGCUCAACUAGCCUAAUUGUGGAAAACAUAACAAUCUUGCUGCAUACAGUUAUUAUCUACAAGACCUGAACUGAUUUCAAAAUUCUAUGUAGCCUAUUCAACCACAAGAUUCUCUAACCUCCCAAAGUCAUCACAACCUUAAAAUUCCCUCUAAUUAAAUUUGCUGCCAUCACAGCCAUGAUGCUCUCUAUAAAUGAAGGCAACCAUACCUAGGAGGAGUAUAUGACAUCUACGUACAAUGCUUUUUAAUGUGCAAGUAUCGAAUCACUUUCUUCAGGGAUCUAGUUAAUGUUUAGUACAAAUGUGAAAUGCUUAAAGGAAUCAAACGCUCAUGAAUAAUAAAAGAUAAAGAUAAAUAUAAAAUAUCCUCAUUCCCAAUUCUUCCAAUGGUAGACAUGCUCCAAAACUGCCCUAAUGCAUCACCAAAAAAAAAAAAAAAAAAAAAAAAAAAAAAACUCAACACGUGAUCAAUGAACAGAAAAAUCAGAGUUCUCAAACAGUCAACUAGGACUUCAUGAAUUAACCCCAUCAGCAAGCAAAUCAAUAAAAUGGAGACGUGAUGCCCAGAAUAAAUGUGAUAUUCAUUGGUAAAACAGAGUCCUUUUCUUUUUUCCCCUUGAUUGAAAAGCAUGGUAAUAACAAGAAAAGUUAGCAAAUAUACUCUUCUUAAGUGGUGCACUCAGUUGUAGAAGGGAAAGAUCUAAAAAGAACACUAAUUUCAUCCAUAAAAUCGAUUCUACUAAAUCUAAAGAAGUUCUGUACUGUCAAAAUAUCCUCCAACGAAUGCUCCUGAAAUCCUUUGGAUGCUCCAUUUCUGCUCUCAUCCCCCAAGUGCCAUCAAAGGAAACUUUCCACGUGAUUACAGAAAAAAGGAGACUGAGCAGUACCCAACCGAGACAGUCAUACAUUUACACGAAGCAGAAUCCAAUGGACAAUGAAUGAUCAGAUAAUCAGUUGUCUCGGAGGUUGCCCAGCACAAAGUAACUGUAUGCACAUUGCAUAGUCCCUGCUAAAAGACGAUCCAGUAGCCAUGUCAAAAUAUUAUUGAAGGCCAAAGAUUCACUUAAAAGGGAACCUGAGAUUAUGAGUUCUUACCUUUACUAGGGCAUAAAGUGAUUCGUCAUUCAAAUAUAUCUACUUCUAUACUUCCAACUUUAGUACUUGAGCACUUAAUUAAAUGAAAGAACGAUGUGAGCACAAAAAAUCACAAGCAAUUAGACAGAAAUGAAAUAGUUCAUUGAAAGGAAGUGCUGGUACUUGAAAUCCAUAUCAACAUCUAAAUUCUCCACAGAUUCAAAUAAUUUUCAAUUUCUACAUCAGUUAUAUAAUAAUCAUGACAUUCAGAUGCAUCACCCCAGGGAAACAGAAAAGACACCUACAAUAGCAGGCAACUUACUUGAUAAUUGCUCUUCUGGCUUUCCAGAAAUGUUUUUGACCUAUUAUUCCUACAACGUCAUCCGGACAGAUUUCCGAGCCAGAAAGUGAGUCAACCAUUGAAUUCUCAGAGACAAUGUCACUUUUGUCCGCAUUUCCCACCUGCAUGGAACUAUAAGUCCUUUCUACAUGAUUCUCAACAUUGUCAACAGGAACAAUCAACCUCUCAUUCUUUAGUGAAGAAUGAGUGUCCACUCUUGAGCAGGGAACGCUAUCGGCCUCCCCAAAUCUUGUAGGCUCAACUACAUCAACGACACAUCCACUCUCAUCCAAUUGAAUAUUGGAUCUUGAAUGUCGAUGUAGCCGAACAUCGCUAUCUUGCAAUUUGUCAAAUCUGGUAUUGGAUUUAUCUUGAAAUAUUUGAUCUUUAGAUAUAUUGGUUUCUUUCUGGAGUCCAUCAGUAUUUCCUCUGUCCAAUAAAUUUGUUGUGGACUUUCUAGGAUGGACCCUACUUUUUUCAUUCACCUUAUUCCCAUUUGUUACUUGUCUCGAGUGGGCACUAGAGGAUGUAAGAUCAAGAUCAUUUUGACCUUUCUCAUAACCAGCUUGCAAAAUUGUAGAACAAUCAGAAUGUUUUGGUCCAGGAGAAGACAAUUUUUCCUUGUGGUCACUAUUUUGAACUCCACUUAUACCCAUCCUCGAUUGGUCAUAUACUGGUACCAUGAAAUCAUCUUCAUCUUCUGCUUCUGUUGUCUGCCGACUCUGCUCAGGCUGAACCAAUGGAGGAUUCUCAUUUACUUCACCAGAUGGAAGAGCUUGAGUAUUUCCGACCUGACUAGUAGAAGUUGGUGAAGACAGAUUUAAUGGCAGGCGCAGAUUUCCAUCAGCUCCUGUACCCUGAAAAGAUUUUCAUUUGGGGUGUUAAAAGCACCAUUUUCUGAACAACCAAAUUCUCAUGGUUCUAGUAGCUCCUUAUAUGCGAACACCAAUUUUCACUAAUGUAAGUAAUCCGAUGGGAAAAAAUAAAACCAUUGAACUCCAGUUUGCAAUGAUUAGUCUGAUACAAGAUUGUUAGCUAGGAACUAAAUAAACUAGGAGAAGGGAAUAACGAUUAGGCAACAAUAAACUUACAAAAUAACCGGUAUAUUUCAUGCUCCAGCAAUAAACAAACAUCAAUCCAAAUGAUCACAGUUAAAAAGUAACAUAUCAGACUAUUGAAAUUGGUAUCCUUCGGUGGUCUGUUCACUACAGAUAAAUUCAAGAAUAUGUUGUGAACGUCCCCAAAUCCCACAUGAUAUAAAACUAUUAAAAAGCUCAGAUACAAAGGUCAAUUUUCAAACAUAUCAAACACGAACUACUAUCUACCUGGCUUGAGGAUGGUAUGGCAACUGGUUUACUGGAGAUGUUUGUCUUGAGAGGCAGAACCCCGGGACUCGAACGUUUGGAUGGCACAGUGAACUGUUCAUAGAGGGCCAUCUUAUUCCUUGGAGGGGCUCUUGGCCAACCUUUCUCGGUAUCAUUAACAUGGAGCCUAGGAAACAUAGGUUCCAUCGUCUUCUCGUCAUCCUUUCCUCUCUUCAUUGUUUCGUUUCCCAAAUUCAACCCAAAGUAAGGUUACAAAGACAUGUAUUCCCACUCAUUUUGACCUCCAAAACCAAAGACAAACUUCAGGGAGCUAGAAAUUAACCUCGCAAGUCAAUUAAGUCUACAAAAUAGUCUAACUUGAUUCAAACCCAGAAGUUAUCGUCCUGAAAUCAGCUCGGAAAUAUGCAAGGCAAGCCCCCCAGAAACGAGCUCAAAGUCUAGAAGAUUUCCUAAAACCAAGCUAUCAUAGCCCAAAAUACAAAUAACCCAAGUGAUGAAAUUGAAGUCGGUUUCUUGUAUGUAUGAGAACCAACAACAACAACAACAACAACAAUAACUUACCCGGAAUUCAAAUCCAAUCCGAUCGAAUUGAGGUGGAGCUUCAAUCAGACGGAAAUGGAUGGAGAAAGAAAGCAAAAGGAUAUGAAUCGUUGAAGAGAGUGAGAAGAAACGAUGAAAGAGGAGAAAUCGAUAAGAGAACAAGGGAAUCGGGAAGAAAGAGAAGGAAGAAGAAGGGGUAAGGAUUAAUUCAUGGAUUUCUCUAAAAUCAUAGGAGUCAAGAAGAGAGAAAAGGGGCAAAAGUGCGAAGGAGUGGGUCCUCUUAGGAUUGAGCUAGAAGAUCCUUUUAGAUAUAAACCAUGAUCUCCGUUUUCUACCAAACCCAAAACUUAGGUAAAAUAUAAUUCCAUAAAUACUUCACCCAAAAUCCUACAUCAUUUUUUUUUCAUUGUUAUUCUUUUUUUAAAAAUCAACCUUCUUUUCUUCACAUUGGAAAUUCUCCUCACACUAUUUUUAAAUUUUAAUCUAUUUGUUUCAAAUUCAAUAUUAACGUCUUCAAAAUAUUAAAUUUAUCUAUUUAACCUCUAGACGGAUGAUAAAUUUAAUUUUAAUUUUUUGAAACCCCAAUAAAAAAAGAGACUAUAUAUUUCACUUUUUUUUUUUUGAAAAUGCUUAUUCUCUACCCAUCAACUUUUUAAAACAACUUUUAAAGACAUUAAAAUAUUUCUAAGCAUCUUACCCAAAAAAUUUUAAAAAAAUAAUAUUCAUUUUGAUAGUAUCUUAUAGUACAUGAGAAUCAUGAAAAAUACAUUCCUUAAUUAUUAAUUAUUAUUAAAUUUGUUUUGAUAAUUAUAUAUAAAAGAAAAAACUGUAAUUUUAGAAGCGAAAUGAAAAUUAAUUACCUGAGUUAUUUAUAGAUUUUUAACUAAAAAAGUUAGAUAUUUUUCACGACUGAGAGAUAUUUUCACGAGUUUCAAGUAACAAGGAAAAAAUAUCUUCUAAUAAUUUAAGUCUUUUUCUUUUUCUUUUUUUCUUUUCUUCUUUUUCUCUUUUUUACAUCUCAUUACUGAAUUCAAUGUUUAUGUAAAAUAUAAUAAUUUGGUAAUAUUGAAUUUCAUUCAUGAUUUCAUGUGAAACAUAUAUCAUAAAUAAAUAGAUCCAAACCCCUAAUUUAUUAAUGGUGAUGAAGAAAAGUGAAAACAAAUUUGUAAGUAACGUUAAAACAGUUUUAUAUGUGGGAGUUUUGAUUUUAGUUUCCAUAAUGUCUAUGGAACAAAUUAUUAAAAAAUCAAAACAAUAUUUUACUAUUUUUUAAGUAUAUAUAUAUGAGAUUUGAACUAUAGCAUUGCGUGUGAUUGGUAUCGUUAGUACAUUCUAACGUCCUUUAAGCUUAAACUCAUAUUAACAAAUUAGACGAUCAUUUUAUAAUAUAAUAAAAAUGUUGAUCAUAUAGCUCAUGUUGAUGUUUAAAAAUAAUAAUUAAGUAUGUAUAGCAACAUUUAAAAAAAUUACAAAUAUAGCAAAAAUCUAUCAGUUAUAUACUUCAAACACUCGUACGUAUGUUAGUAAUAGAUCGGUAUUUACAAAAUAAUCUAUUAGUAAUAUAUUUCUAUGGUCAUUAGACUUUGACAAAUUUUGCUAUAUUUUGUAAAAAGAAAAUUAAACUUUGUUAUAUAUUUAAUUAUUUUAAAAUUUAUUACUUAUUUAUAACUAUUGAUGGACGCACUGUUAAAAAUACAUAUAUUUUCAUCACCUUUGAAUUUAUCAAGAAACUGAAAUUAUAUUUAUUGUUCUUGAAAAAUAGAUGAUAUUUUAAAAAUAUAAGAAUACAUAAUUCUCUAAUUUACAAAUUACAAUGAUACAUUUAUUUAUGGUCACAUUGGCUGAGGCACUGAGGUGAAAAAUAUCUUUUUUAAAAUAAAGGCAAUAACGUAGAUAUAAAUUCCAACGGUUUCUUAUCAAUCUAACGGCAGACGAACUUUCGAUCUUCACCGUCCAAUUUCAUUUAUUGUCCUUUAUCUCCUUACGCAUCUGGACUCCCGGCCUCCACGUAAUACAUUGUUUAAUUUUAGUUUCCACGUGGAACCUUUUAUCCGUACUCGGUGUCUCACAGCUGGCAGCAGCAAAAUACUGAUUUUUAAAUACCUAUUUUAGUGUCUAAUUUAAAAAAUAUAGUAAAUAAAUAAACAAGGAUUCCAAAUAUAUUGAUAAUAUUAUAACUAAGAAUAAUGAGGAUAAAUUAAAUAAGGUUUAAUGAUAACAGAUAAGUUGUGAUUGGCUUUAGUCAAAAGAAAAAAAAAAGGUUGUGAUGGUAAGAAAAUGACAACUAAUAAAGAAAUAUAUCCUUAGUAUUUAUCUAAUUUUAUGUCUAUUGGUACAUGUCAUCAUUUAGUCAUAUAAUAAAGAGAAAAGGUAAAAAUUAGAUUAUUAUUGUUUUUAAAAAAUAAUGAAAUAAGACUUGUGAGUAUAGUCAAUAAAUAAAAUUAGUCAAAUAAUAAAUAAAAAACCCACGUUAUUGUAGUUUAAUGUAUUUAUCAUUUGUAUAUUUGAAAUAUUUUUUAAAUAGAUAUUGAUAAAUUAAUAUAUAUCAAUAUCGCAUUUGAAAUGAAUUGUAAAUUAAUUAUUUAUGUUAUUGACGUAAUAAUAUUGUGUCGAGUAUUUAACGUGUAAAAUAAAGUAAAUUUAUUGGUAAUGAGGUGUCUAUUGCUAUUGAAUAAAUGUGUUUAGUACCUAGAAAUAAUUUAAUAUUUAAAAAAAAAAAAGUUAUGACUUUUAAUUUUUAAAACAAUUAAGAAAAAUCUUAACAUCAAGUUUUAAAUAUGUUAUUUCAUAAAGUUCACUAAUAACUUUUAAAAUACUUUUAAACUUUAUUUUAAAAAAAGUUAUUGAAAUAGUUUGAAUAAAUAUGAAUAUUUAAAAGAUUUUUCUAUCUCUAAGUAAUCCAAAUAUAUGCUAAGAACACUUUAUGAAUUAAAAAUUGUCACUUUCCUUUCUUUUGUGAGAUUACAAGAAAAUAGUAUUGUUACAUAAGAAAGUUUUAUUUAGUAUUUAACACGUCUUUAGAUAAUAUAUAUUAUUGUUAUUUGAUGAGUGAUGUGUAAUUAUUCAUAGUUAUUUUUUUGUAUCAAACAAAUGGAAGUAGUAUGAAUGUUUUUAAUACUAUUAUCGUGGAACUAUAAAUUUUUUCAAAUAAAACUUAACAUUGAGUUGACCAUAUGGUUAUCAUUGGGAUUUUACUCAUGAAUUGGAACCUAAUUUUAGUUUUUUAUUUUAUAUAGUUACAAAAUUUUGAUUGAAUUACAUUUUUCAAAAGACAAAAUUGAUUCAAAUGUAUAGUUUUCACACAAUCCAGUUGAAAAAUAUCUGUUUUUAAGAUAGUAUAAACUACUCGAACAUAAUAAAAAAAGUGAAACAAAGUUCCAUUUGACAAAUCGAAAAAGGAGGUUGAUUUGAAAAAGAAAACCCACGACAAAUUCCAACCAUUACCAAAUUACAUUACAAUACAACGAACACAUUUGUUGUUAGAGAACCCAUAGAAAACCUCGUCAAUAGCCUUAUACGAGUGUCUUAACCUACCUGUUUCGAACUUUCUUUUUUUGGAGUGGAAUAUUUAUGGAAUCCCCAUCCAUAUCCGGCAAGAUUAAGAAUGCCUGGUUAUAGGGUCCUUGCCAAACUCAACAAAAAAAAAAAAAACAAAAAUGAGUUUGAAUCUUUAACAGAAUCCGUAUACUCAAAAUAAAUCAAAAAUUUCAUUAAAUAUGUGUAUCUAGGGGUAAUUCACUUUGAAGCAACUAUUCCCUAGAUACACACAUCGUGAUAUUUUAUUUAUUUCACAAUUGAAUCAAUUUAAAAAAGACCUAAAGUUAGGGAUUUAUCAAUCGGUAAUGUUGCUCCAAUACCCAAAACUCUUCGACAGAAUCAACCAAAAUCACAAUCGAAACACCACCACCUUGAAAAUCCACAUAGGUAUGUAAGCAUAGUAACAUUCAUAUAUAAGAUCACACUUUGAUCAUCGUACAUACAAAUUCACUAAUGGCCCAAGUCGAUCACGCAUUAUUGGUACAAAAAAUCAAAACAUAUAUAGAAUAAAAAAAGAAGAGCCUCAAAGACCGUACCCAUCUCGUUUCUCCACAACACAUUGCUUCUUUGAACUCUCGAGACAAAUCAAAGAAGUUUCUCAAAUAUGAGUUGGAGAAACGAUAUUAAUAAAUUGGAAGAAUUGACUAACAAAAACUCUUCCAUAGAAAAAAAAAAAACAAUACCAACAAGAGAAGAAUCUAACAUUAACUAUUUAAAAUUUUAAUUAUUACUAUGUAGAAUCCGUUUGUUAUUUGUUAAUUUUUUAAAAAAAUAUGAGUUAGCAGAAAGUAUUAUAGAUUGAAUUUGUUAAUUACCCUAAUGUGCAAUAUCGACAAAUAUUCAUUACCAAAUUUAGAUUCCAAGUAAUUAAAAGCAAUAAGUUCGAAGAGAAAAUUGAAUGAUUCGCUCAAAUGGCGAACACUCCUCCUUCUCACCAGACGUGUAUUCCUCUGCCUUCGGACUCAGGUCACUCUCUAUUUCCCCUUUCUUGCCUUCUUUCGGAUUGGACUUCCAUUUUCAUUCAUCAUCAAUUUCAUUUUGUUUUGAUCUGUCUUUCUUCCUCUUAAUCCAUACUUACUUGUUUCAACUUCUGCCUUUUGGAUUGACGUCCAAUUCUCCGUAGCCUAGGAGGACAUUGUUUUCUCUCUUAUCCAAGCUUUAAUUUCUGUUUGUUUGUCCAAUGAGGAAUCGCGGAAUAAACUCGAUUGAUGUUGGAAACUGAUUUUUGAUGCAACAGAAUCACAAUGAUGUAAUUAUCCAUGGUUAGAGUAGAAGAAUUUUUUCCGAAUUUUUUAUAGACAUACCGCUCUUUAUGUCACUUCGUUUUAGUUUCAGCUCAUGCGGAUAGGUUUCGGCUUUCUUCAUUGCUUUUGCCGCGUAUGGUUUCCUGAUUGCUUUACCCGCGCGUGUUCCGUCGAGAAUUUUAGUUAUUAUGUUCAUUUUAAAAUUGGGAUGAUGGAAUGUUUUAUAUAGUUGAUAUUUUGCGCGCUGUUUAAUGUUAAAUGGAACAGUAGAAGAGCUUAAUGACCAUUCGCUCCUCAGCUUCUGUAUUCAUAUUUUCAUUUCGUUUGAAGAUUUUUUUAUCAUCUUCCAAUGAUUUCCAUUUCGUGUGGGUGUUAGGUGAAAAUCAGACCGAUCCUGAAGCCAACGCAACCUUGGUUCCUAUACAUAUUGUUACUCAUGUAUCUCAACUGCCUAAAGAAUUUGUUGAACCAUCACCUGAAAAGCCUUUGGUAGUUGGCUUUGAUUGUGAAGGUGUUGACCUGUGUCGCCAUGGAAACCUAUGUGUCAUGCAGGUAAAUAAAAUACUAAGAACAAAUCAAAGUUUUACCAUCCUUGUGGAUAGUAAUAAAUUUUAGGGCAGAGGCGUGUGUGUUAGUUAACCUCUUAACUAAGGGAGUCGGUGGUUCUAGUUUAUAAUUUCAAUUUUUCUAACCAUCUUGUGAUAGUCAAUUGAAUCAAUUCAUAAUCCAAGUUGCGGCCUUGCAAGAAAAUGACUAAUGUCUAAUAGUCUAAUAUUCUGUUAGAAAACAGUGAUCGAAUUAGUUGAAUUUACCUUUCCAUCUGUGUUCAUUUCUUGCCAGAUUGCAUUUCCAGAUGCUGUAUAUCUGGUUGAUGCUGUUCAGGGAGGAGAGGAGCUUGUGAAAGUCUGUAAGCCUGCUCUUGAGUCCAAAUAUGUCACAAAAGUUAUUCAUGAUUGCAAACGAGAUAGCGAGGUCUCUUUUGGACACUGUUUUCACCAUGGAAUGCCUUCACAGCGACAUGACAUGUUUUAGCUAAUAUUUACUCUACUUUUCCUCCCUCUGUAGGCAUUGUACUUCCAGUUUGGUAUCAAGUUGAACAACGUUAUCGAUACACAGGUGAUUAUCAAUUGUGAGAAGCCUGACACUCUUCACUUGUUUACACCAUUUUAUCAUGCAUUAUAAUUAUAUCUUAUUUUAGAGGGCUUAGCCACUUAGCAUGCCAAUAUAAUGUUACUAAAGCAUAAGUAUUUUUUGUAUUUUUCAUCUUCUACGUUUUAUUAUUGAACUUGAAACUGCCAUAUAAGGCCAUAUCAGGAGAGUGGAUCUUACUAAUCCACAGACCAUGCUCCCAUUGUUUCUAAUCUAGGUUUCUUGAAGUUCUCAUGAUGUUGCGGUGUAUGAUUUGAAUCUACAAUCUGAAGUGUUAUUAUAAUUUUUUAAGUAUACAUAAUCAUUAUGAAGGUUUAUGUGAAUAUGCAUAUAUUCAAAAAGAAGAGAGAAGAGAGAGUGUGGUUAUCUUGUGACUUUUCAAAUGCAACUAAAGAGUUUGCUUAUUGAUUUAAGAAGUGAUCUAAACAAUUUAUUUUAAGUUUGAGCUACCUUGUAAUUGCUUUGGGGUUAAGCUGCAAUAUGGAGGAAGGCUGAGUUAUUUGGACCUUCCUUCUUUAAUUUUCAAUUGUAUUACUUGAUUCAGAUUGCAUAUUCACUUUUAGAGGAGCAAGAGGGACGGACAAAGACACCAGAUAACUAUAUCUCAUUUGUUAGUCUUCUUGCAGAUUCACGUUAUUGUGGUAUUAUUUUAAUCCUAGUACCUAGAUAUUCUACAUUUUUUAUCAUGGAAAUUUAUGCAUACUUUAAUUUUUUGGAUAAAAUCACCUACUCACUCAAAAGUAUUAACUGAUAAUUGCUUAUUAAAAGGCAGCAAAGCUUGAUUUAUUACUUGGCAUCUUCAUCUAAAGACAAUUCCAUAUUUCCUACGCAUUAUGAUGGUGGUGUUUCCAUGAGCUGCAUGGUUGGGGGAUAGUGAUCCACACAAGUGAAUGCAUACCUUAAAGUUUAUUUCAUGCUAAAAGAUACACAAGGCUGCCACCGGAAAAUGGGAAGCACGUCUUUCCACCUAAAAAAAAACUAUUACAAGAACUAAAAGAAAGGAAAAUACCCAACUAAGGACUAUUUCACAACCAAAGAGAGAACAAGAUUGGCAGGAUAAGGCUAAGAAAAUCAAGUUGUGCCUAGUCAAAUAGAUUAUCAACCAGAAGAACCUCCUGUCUGAAAAGGGUAAAAGAGUAGAAAUUUGAAAUUGAAAGGCAAUAACAAUCUUAUUUACUAUCGUAUACUCUGUUUACUUUUUCUUACUUUUGUUACUCUUUUCUUGCUACUGAAAACGUCGGUGGUUGCUGCUUGGUUUCUCAAUGUAGAAUAUAGGCUGCUGGAAAUUCAGUGCAAUGUAGUAAAUCCUUGCUGAAUCUCUUGUUAGAUAAUUUAUGAGAACAAACUUUGGUGCAGUUUUCAAAGUAAAAGUCCCUUAAUAUGUGGCCUUUUACUGGUUGACCUUUUCAAAUACGAAUCUAGUGACUGGAUUAAAUAAGGAAUCAUAAUUUGCAAUUGCUAAUUUGCAACCUCAUAGAUAUGUUAUUGCCAGAUGAUAGAUAUCGUUCGCAUUCAUUCUGUCCUUUCUUCCUCAAUAUGUUGGAGUUGCUUGUGGGGAUUGCAGAUUUUAUAGUUCAAAUUGUAGGUGUGUAAGAUUUGAAAGUGUCGAUCGAGAGUUAUAUUUUUUGGUGAAAAAGGCAAAAGCCUUUUUUCUGAUUAGACUUAUAGGGAAAACUUUUUUAAGAGUGUUUCUAGCUCGUUGGACUCCUUAUCACUUCCUCAUACCUUGUGUUUGAUUUUUUUUUUUUUUUGGUCUCAUCUCCCUUCUACUUUUUUAUUUGAAGUAAAGGGAACAUUAAAUUCCUCUCCAUGUGUAUUUCCUUUUUUUUCCUUUAAUAUUUGUACGUAGGAUAUAAAUUGUUUGACUUGCUAAUUGAAUUAUCAGAAUUUUCUGAAAACUGCAUUAUAGAAUCUACGUCAAAUUCUUAUUAUCACUGGUGAAAUUGAUAAGCUUUUGUUAUAUGAAAUGCGUUCACUUUUUAUUUUAAAACUUAAUACGUUUUGCUGCUAAUGCUGCCAGUGUGCCAUUUAUUCUGACUAACCAAUAUGUAAUCCUCACGCUUAAAUGUAGGUGUAUCAUAUGUGGAGAAGGAAGAGGUCCGGCUCUUACUUAGAAAGGUUAGUUUUGUCAUAGUUUUUAUUGCUGUGGAGAAUAUUGUAUCUAGGCAAGAAUUUCUGUGGUUCUACAUAUUAAGCAUUGUUUUUCGUGAUGGGGUGCUUUGUUGGUCAGAUGUGCUUGAUUCAUAAAUGUAAUAGUCUUUUAUUUUGGAGUAGCACAAGUAUAAAUAUAACGUAGAGACAGCUCAAGUCUUUUUAGUCAACAAAAAUGACAUGUAAACAAAGAUAAUUACUAUGCAAGUAUAGUAUAACUAUGACCGUAACAUGAUAAGAUGCAAAAUGUCAUCUUAUCAUAAUAUUAAUAUGCAGGUAUAGUAUAAGUGUUCUGCAAGUUUCAUGUAUCUUUGCAUAAAACCAAAAUUCUAAAUUUAUAUUUUACAGGACCCCAAGUUUUGGACCUAUAGACCAAUGUCUGAAUUAAUGGUCCGUGCAGCUGCGGAUGAUGUACGCUUUCUGCUUUACAUCUAUCACAAGAUGAUGGAGAAAUUGAAUCAUCGAUCACUGUGGUAUCUUGCAGUGCGUGGUGCUUUGUACUGUCGCUGUUUUUGCAUCAGUGAUAAUGGAUAUGCCGACUGGCCUCCUCUCCCUUCCGUUCCAGGUUUUCUUUAAGAACACACCUUACCAUGUUUAUUAUUUCCAUAUAAUUGGAUGAAUACUAAAUUGAACGCUCUAUAUUUUAAGUUGAUUAAAUAUAACUGCACACUUUUCAACAUGUACAGUUGCUCACAAUGGUUUCCCCGUAGUUUUUCCUUAUUGUUGGCUUCUUUUAUGUUAUGAUAACACCAUUGAUAUUGGGUUCAAAAUUUAAAAGGGCCGUUGAGCUAUGUGAGAAACGUUGGCUUACCGUGUUUCAUUCAAUUAUCCAAGUACUGCUGGAAUCUUCUCUAAACAUCAAAUAUGUUAAAAUUUCAUUAAUGUUUUAUUAUAUGUUUAAGGGUUCUUAUAGUAGACUACAUUUCAUUUCAGAUCUUUGAAGAAAAAGAAGAAAAAACAACUUUUCUAAAUUUGAUGCGUCUAAAACCUUUUGUUUCAUGGUCUCAGUCAAUCGAUCAUUUAUAUUGGAUUAACAUGUUUUUUCAGAUAACCUUGUAAAAGAGGGAAAUGCUCCUGAAGAAGAAAUUCUUUCAGUCUUAGAUGUUCCUCAUGGAAUGAUGGGUCGCGUAAUUGGUAGGAGGGGAGCCUCAAUUUUGUCAAUAAAGGAAUCUUGCAAGUAAUUCCUUACCGCCAACAUAUAUCCUUUCAACUUCAUUUAUAUAUCUUUUAGGCUAAAAACAAAAAAUCAUUUCCAUUGUUUCUCACCCACCUUGGAUUUUUUUUUAUAUAAAUGCAGUGCGGAAAUUCUCAUUGGCGGUGCCAAGGGCCCACCGGACAAGGUUAGUCCCUUCUCAUCACUUCAAAACAAAAUACUAUAAAGCCCAAAAAAUUUGAUGCUGUUCUUUAAACAUGGGAAGAUAAGAUAGAUUAGUUCCUGCAUUCUUCCCCAUUUGCUUCAAAUCCCACAGCUUAGACUAAAACUCAAGUACUCUUUUCAAGUUCUUCGUUCCACGAACAAACAGGGCUCAUUCUCCUUGCUUUGAAGUUUCGAAUAUCAUCCAAAAAGCUGUUGAAUAUUGAAAGUUAGUGUUGUUUUUAUGUAGGUACUCAUCAUCGGAUCGGUGAGACAGGUGAGGAAGGCAGAAGCUAUGCUAAGAGGAAGGAUGCUUGAAAUAUGAUUGAAUGAAAAAGAGGAAAAAAGGGAGAGAAAAAAAAAUAUGAAAGAACGAAAGAAUGAAAGAAUGAAAGAAGAAAGAAAAAGAAAAAAGAAAAAACCUGUGUGAUUGUGAUGAAAAUGAACUAAAAAUUGAAACAGUAUGGUGUUUUGUGUAUUUGGAAGAAUGGAUAGGGGAGGAGCCAAAAUGAGGGGUUUGAGGCUGUGCUGCCAUUUUACUACUCCCCCAAAUGGAAGGGGAUUACUUUACAUACUCUACUAAACUAACUCAAUCGUAUCCUAUCGUGUCUCAUCUCUCUAUGUAGGUGGAUGCACUUAUCUUUAUAUCGAAACAAAUAAAAUAAAAACCUAAAGCGAUUAAUAUAUACAAAUAUAUAAGUGAAGCACACAUAAAUAUAAUCAAUAAAGGUUAAUCAUUGAUUCGCUUCAGCCAUGUGUUUCGAUCAAUGUUACCUUACCACACCCUCGAUAAGCUAUUAUACUUUUUAAAACUGUAUAUAUAUAUAUAUAUUAAAUUGGAAAGUUUUUGCAUAUGUUGAUUGGGUUUUGAUUGUGAUAGUUUUGUCUGAGUUUUAGGUUGAUAUUUGGGUUUUGAUUUAUACUGUUUGUUAUCUGAGUAAUGAAGUUUUGUAUCACCCAAAUUAUUAACGAGAAAUUUUUACUAUUUUAAAUCCUAUUUUGUGCAGUCCAAAAUUUGAGUUUGUGAUUUUACUUUUCUUUCAUAUUAGUUCCAAGAUGAGUUUUUCAUAUAAGCAAAAUGGAAAGACUUGAAUAAGGCUUUUUUUUUUCUCUUACCCUUUUCUUUUUGUAUUUAAAUAAUAAUAAGAAACAUUUAAAUUAUGUAAGGUAAAAUAUACUUUUGGUCGUACUGUCUAUUUGUUAUUUGGGAUUUAGCAUGAAAAAUAGUUUUAAAUGAUUCUUUUGUUAAAGUGACCAUUAGGUUACUAACGAAACGAAAAAAAUGAUCAUUUUGUUAAAGUGACCAUUAGUUUACUAACGAAACGAAAAAAUUAUUUAUCACUAAAAUAACUAUUAUUAUUUUUCUUGUUUUUCUUCUUCAGCUCCCCAACUCAAAUGUUUCUUCUCCACGUGGUUUCUUCUCCAUGUAGAUUUUCGACUGGUACACUUUUUGUUGUAUGUUUAGUUCAUUACUCUCUUUAAAAUUUGUAAUUUACAUAGGCCACUUUUUCUCCAACUAUGUUUGUUAUUCUAUUAUAUAUUGAUAUUGUAUGCAAAUAUUUGUUAUUCUAUUAUAUAUUGAUAUUGUAUGCAAAUAUUUGUUCUCAAAGAUGACUAAAGUUUUGACAAAAUAUUCUCUGAGCUUGAAUUGUUUUGUUAUUUAUUUCUCUAUUUGUUUAAGUUCACAGGCUAGAACUCCUUUUAUGAACAAAAGAAAAGUGGUAUGGGAAUGAUCUAGAACUCUUGUUGCCCGUUGUUCACCGUUAGUUUCUGUUAGUUCGAAAAUUCCUCAAUGACCAAUUGCUCAAAGUUUUGCUCUUAUUAUUGUUUUUUAUUAUUUUUGUUCACCAGAGAUGAAAAACGUUCUCAGAUUUUUUAGGAUUAACAAAUAGAUAAGAACAAGAAACAAAAUAAGAAUUUGUUUUUUUUGUUCCAUGUUUUAGGUGAAAACUCGUAAGGAGUGUAAAAGAGAAGACUAAAAUGUUACUUUUAAAAUCUCAUAAACCAAAAUAGACGUAGAGACUAAAAAUGCAUUUUGCACAAUUAUUUACAACCAUGCUUUUGCUUUUGAGACACAAUGGGAAGAUGUUCUAUUCUGAAGCAUUCAUGAAUAGAGUAAAUUUCAGUUAAGAUGUGAACAGAAGUAGAGUUUUUCUUGGUAGAGAAAUUAUCAUUCCUUCACUCACAGAAACUCAGUAGUAAUUAAAGAAAGGGAGCAACCAUUUUAUAAUUAUUCAAGGCAAAUUUCCUCGAAUCAAAUUAAUGAUGUAAACGCCACUCAACUCAUCGCACCCAAAAGGCUCAAAGGUUUUCCCCCACACGCACUUUGUAGAUUAUAAGAGGAAGAAGACGGCAAAAGAAAAGAGGCAGAGGGCUGAAACCCUAAACAAUUUUACUUCUGGAAACCACCAAAUUGGUAUUGUUGACCAGAAAGUUGCGAAAAGAAAUCGUCUCCAAGAGCCUGCGAUCCUGUCCUACCAAGACCAGACCCUGCACCCAUUGCUUGCCCCAUGUGAUAAGUGGGUGCUGGUCCUUUCUCCCUCUCGUCUGAGAAAUCGCUCAGUCCCCCCACCACACCCACGUCCACCAGGGAAACCUUCUUGGCUGCAAUGCAAAGCAAAAGCAAGUUUUGUGUUAAGGGGUGGUGGUGGUUGCAUUCAAACAAACCAAAAGUUGCCUUUGUGGAGUAAUUAAUUAAGAAGGUUUCCCUUCAUUUCUCAUCAUGUUUGUUUGUGUCUAAUGGGACAUCAAAGCAUCCAAACAGGUCAAUAACAUACUUAAUCAAAAGUCGAAGGACUUUUUACAUAUUUUAAAGUGAGACCUAUUCAACACAAAGUUUACGAUGAUGACUUAUGAAUGACUAAUUCUGUAAUAACCUUUCCUUCGACCACAACCUAAUAUAUUUAAUUCAGCCCCCAUCCCAUUAAGCAUUAGCAUGCUUCUAUUCCAGAGAUCCAUCUCAGAACAAAAUAACAAUAAAGUACAUUCUAUUCCUAAAUAUUGUCUAUGAAAUGUCUAAAUUUAAUUAGCUCAAGAAGAAAGGAAAGAAAGGGGAAUGAAAAACAGGGUCAGUAAAAAGGAUUGUGAUAGAUAGUUAAGAUAGACUUACGAGCAGAGAUAUUAAGAUCAAUCAACCCUCGACUAAGUGAAUCCGCCCAAAUCCCAGAUUUGACCUGGAAAGUAUUCUUCUUGGCUGGAGCUAUUGAACUGUUGAUAGAUUUUCCAUCUAAAUUAUUAGAUGGGCCACCGACAGGACUCUGAGAAGGCUGUGAUGAAACUGGUUCGGAAUGCGAAGAAGGUGCACCAAAAAGAUCUGAUCCAUCAAAAGAGUUAAGUGGAAGAGCAGCAAAUGGAUCCACAGCUUUACUGUCCCUUGCUGCACUAGCAAAGUUAGUUUCUGUUUUUAAAACUGGCUCAGGAGAGGCAAAUAAGUCAACCGGUGCAGAAACUGAAGAAGGUUGUGAAGCUUUAAUGUCUCUUGCUGCACUCACAAAGUUAGUUUCUGUUUCGACAACCGGCUCAGAAGAGGCAAAAAAAUCAAUGGUUGAAGAAUUUGAAGCAGGUUGUGAAGCUUUGCUGUCUCUUGCUGCACUAGCAAAGUUGGUUCCUGUUUGUACAACUGGAUCCGGAGAGGAAAAAAAGUCGACUGUUGCAGAAACUGAAGCAGGUUGUGAAGCGAACAAAUCAACCUCUGUAGUCUGUAAAGAGGGUAAGAAACUUCAUUUUAAGAAAAAAGAGAAAAAAUUAAUGAUCAGAAGGAGGAACUUAUGGAGUCACUUUCAUGAAUAGAAUUUUUUGAUGAGAUAAUGCUUAUACUUUCCAUGAAUCAAAUACUUUUGAAGAAAUAAUGAAUAGGAGAAAAACAACUAGAUCACUUUUAUAACAUCAAAAUGCCUUUUGAUAGAUAAAAAUAAAACUCACUACUAUUAGAGCAGGCUAAGCAAAACUGACAGGUUUUCAGCUUAAUUCCACAAAUCGAUCUUGAACAUAUUCCAGGCCAAAAAAAUAACAGCCAGUAGCCACUCAAGUUCUCGGCAAGCCAACAUAAAAGCCUCAGAUAUUCUAAGGACAGACCACCACUGAGCGGUGAGGGGCACGAAAGAAACAGGUGGUUUAAAUUCUCAAGCUUCUGUAGGCAAGAGAACCCAAUUUUUACAUCUUCGAAAAAUCUGCUGCUCGCAUCUUUAUGAUAGACCAUAAUUUUUUUUUUUAAAAAAAAACUUCACUUUCUUGGGGCAUUUGAACCUCCAAACAGCGUUGAUGAGUGGGGCUUAGUGGAAAAUUAACCCCCCCCCCCAAAAAAAAAAAAAAAAGAAAAGAAAAGAAAAGAAAAGAAAAAACCAACCUAAGAUUUCUAAGGAACCCUCAUGGCCUUCGACUACAAUAGUUCCCUCUGCCUCAACUUUUGUCUCCAAAACCCUUGUGCUCUUGGUGAUUUUCCUAUUUUUCUUCUUGGCUACCGCACUACCUUUGGGCAAAAUUGGGGAGUUCAUUUUUUCGUUGUUGUGUGUGUGCGGUGGGGCAGGGUGGGGGGGUGUUAGUUACUGAAAGAUUAGAUUUCAAUGACACGUGAGAAUUUCAGAAAGAUUAGGAAAAAAUGCAAGUGCAAUAGAACAAGAGCCAUGAAAUAUUUUGAGCUAAAUGUUAUAAUAUUCAUGAAAUGUUUCUUUUACCAAAAAGAAUAAUAAAUAAAUGUUAUAGAUAUUAUUCUUGAAACAAAAGGCAAUUUUUUAACUUAGCUAAAUGCAAGAAUGUGAAUAUUGCCGUAACCAAAAAAAUUUGUUUCUUCUCCUUAUCUAUAGAAGCACAUUGUGGAAUUUAAUGGCACUACUGAAAAUCCUAAAUUGUAGCGAACCUUUAAUGGGGAAUUGGGUUCCUUUUCCAUUUGCGUUGGAGCUGAUACAAAAGUAGCAUCUGCAAACAGAUCAACCUCAGGAGAACUGGUGUCCGGCUUUCCAGGAGGAGCAAGAGCUGGGCCAUCCAUGAAAUCUCCUAGUAAACUGUCUCCAAAAAGAUCCACCCCAUUGGGGCUUGGUGCAGCAGCUUCUGUCAAAAGGUUUAACUCAUAAUGAGAAAAUUCCCUUAUUCAUUUGGUUUUCUAGUUUAGGCUUUUUAUGGCUUAACAUGGGCUAACUAAUUUAAUCAUCAAGAAUAUUUCAUUUUUCUACUAAGGGUAAUUUUGAUUGUAGAUCACAAGCUUUUUCUUUUGAAAUUUAUUAUUUAUUACUGGUACAGUUUACUUUACCCCUCCAACUCUCAAUUUCAGGAUCUUCCCUUAAAUGAAAUGAAUAAGGAAGAAGUAUUUUUACUCAUCUAAGGAAACAUCCAUGAAGUGAUACCAAUUUGAUGGAAACCACAAGUGAUACGGAAUUUCCAGUAUUAUUGAUAGUAGUAUAGGAAUGAAAUCCUUGUUACAAUCUCCAAUCACAAUUCUACUGCUAUCCUAUCUUUCAAGGAAGAACAGAGAAGAACACUUGACUCACAAAUUCUAACUAACUUUCCCACCCACCUACUUACUUUUAUGUAUACUAAUUUCUAACCAUCACAUUAUUCUCACGUGUUACUUACACACGUGUUAAUUCUUUUUUUCUCUCCUGCUAUAUUGGUGUACGAUGAGUGACGGAUCUAGAAAAUUUAUUGACAGGGGAUUUCAAGUUGUAAUUUAGGAAAAAAAUAAAAAUCUGGAAAAAAACUACAUAGGUAAGACUUGAACUCGGGUUGGAAUCUGGAAAAAAACUACAUAGGUAGAACUUGGGUUGGAAGGGGGACUGACAAGCACAAUUACCACUAAGCUAUCUAUCAAUAUUAAAUAUUAAUUAGUUUUCUUUAUACAUAUUAUAUAAAGACAAUAAAGUUGAGGGGGAGAUCGAGCCCCUCUGGGCCACACUAAAUCCGCCGGUGUAUAUGAUAGGGGGUCUAUCACGAUAUCUCACCACAACGACAAUAUUAGUAUUUACUCUAGCAUCUUGUUAGAGUCUUCAACUAGACUAGGCUUGUUAGCAGCUAAUUAGGAAAAGUUUAGUUGGCUUUUAGUCAAUACCAAGAGAAAUAGUUUGAUACAACACAUUUCAGAGUAACGGAAAUAUAUUGACAACAAGAGAAGCCUCUGAAACUUUCUAUGGGCCAAAUUCUAGUUAAAUAAAUAAAACUCACGAGCAUAAUCUAACCAUCAAAACAACACAUGCAGAUCAUAUUCCAUCUAAUAUCAAGAUAAACAAUCUGAAGAUGCUCCUUAAUUACAAGCACAAAUGUGUAUUAUAUUAAGACAUCUCCCAUUCCACUCUUUAUCAAUAUUGUCAAUUUACCACACAUUUCUCGUGUAUUGGGAUCUCUUACUCUUUAAGAACAUAAAGGCAGAAGACAAUGUAUAGAAGCUAGAGGAAGAGAAUGUUUUUCCCCAUGGUUAAAAAUGUAUUUUGGUUUGUGGAGAGAGCUGGAAAUAUGGGUUAUUGUAAUUUGCGAUUAAAUUGUGAAGAGAAAUGUAUAAAAAAAGUAAAAGUUAUUUUAUCUUCAUUUGAUAACAAAACAAUGGCAAUCAAUAAACAUAAUGGAAGAAAUGGUUACGGAAAACUAAAUAGAAAUAACUGGGACAAUUAAAUUAUUUAAAAAAACCAAGCAAAAUGAGGUAGAAAUGUCCACUAGCAUUUAAGCUACAAAAAUAAGCCACGUUCAACAUUUUUUCACCAAUUAUACUAUUGCAACAAAACAAACACAUACAUUUCAACAUUGAAAACACUUACUUGUGGUGGUGGUGGAAGAAGUCCCACGAGGAUCAAAAUCAUCAAAAUCAUCAUCAGAAUUAUUUGUAGGGGUGCUAGCACUGAAGGAGGAAGUCUGAUUUGCAGAGUCAUUCGACUUCUUUGACGGCUUAGAUUUACCAAAUGAUGUUUUACCCUGAUCCUUGCUGAAAAAGAACUCUCCCUAUUAGAAAGCAAGGCAACAUAAAACUAUAGAGCAAUGUCUAUGACUCUGUCUGUUUUCACAUAACUUCUCCCAACCGUAGAUGCAUUUAAAAAACAUUAGGCAUUGAUAUUUGUCCAAUAUAAACAGAGACCAGAGUCCAAACAAAACUCAACAAAAGAACUGUGCCUAAGGCAACAGGUUUUUUUUUUUUUUUUUUUUUUAAAUCUUCUCCAAGUCCAAGAAUCUAACAUCAAUUUUAUUAAUAAAAAUCGAUAAUGUAUUUCAUCAAAGGAAGGACAAACUAAGAUCACAGGUAUGGGGAACUCCCCACAACAAUGCAUUUUCUGAAUAAAACAUCAUAUUCAGUCAAUAGAAUCUAGUAAAAGGGUAAAUAUUCAACAAGUACAUACCUGUUGUUUUGUGCAGAACCCUUGCCAUCUGGCUUAGUGGCCCAAUCUGACUUUUUAAAGUCAUCCUGGCCAUCCUUUUCCUUUCUAAAUGAAUCCCUGUCACUGCUCCUAUCACGAAAUCUAUCGCCUCUAAUGGUACUCUGACUAUCACUGCUGUAAUAACUACUGCUGCCGUAGGACGCUGUACCUGACUUGUAAGUAAUUCCAGUAGAUGAAAGUCCAAAGUACCUAAAGAAUGGACAAUACACUAGUUAUUCUGAAAAAUCAAUGUGUAUGGUGACUGAGCUCCAAUACAACAACCUAUAUGGUUGGUAUGAAAAAGCUGAGUUUACAUAUAGCAGCAUGAAAAACCAGUGUAUUAACAAGUAUCCUUUGAUUCCCUUCAAAGUGGUAUAUAUAAAGCUCCUAAACUCACUGUAGAUUUUGUUCAACUGCCUACAUCCACUAAGGUUAGUAUAGAGGAAAGUAAAUAUACGAAGAGAGUUAAAUGUAUUUAUCAGAAAGUCAGAGACUCUUAGACAAUUUGACAAAGUCCAACGCCAAAUAAGACGAGAUGCUAAAAACAAGAUAUGAGAGACUAUGGUUCUAGUGAUGGUUGAUUCAAGGGAGGAAAGAUUUACUGCAACACAAACAAGCUAAAACGUAUGAAAUUCAGUCCUCACAAAAUAUUGAUGAAAGUAAAAGAUAAUGACUAUACUUUUCUUCAUUUAGUUAAUGCAAGCUUCUCCAACAUGUUUAAUAUAAUUGAUCUUGCAGCAAAUUACCUUAACUCUGGCUCCCAGAUUAAAGCCCAAGGCAAAUAGGAAGAGUCUAAUGCUGUAGUGUUACAUAGGCUUAUUGUUAAUGUCAUAUAUUUACUACACAGUCAGUAAAGGUUUUAUCCACACUCCUUUUAAUAUUUUAACCAAGGAUCAAUUUGUGAGGAGAAGCUCACAAACGAAACUUUCCAUUCUUAGGUAGUCAAUCUAGAAAAUGAAAAAUGAACCAGAUAGCUCAAAUGUUCACUUACUUUUCACGAUUUGAAGCUGCUUUAUUUCUCACUUCUUGUAUUUUAUCUUUAUCAUUCAAAAGGGCCACAAUGGUUUCAGCCUUCUUCCUGACAUUUAUGCCCAUGUCCUUUCCACUUGGUUCAACAUAUUCAAAACUCGAGAGUGACUAUCCAACAUAAUACAAAACACAAAACAGAAUAAGACUAAGAGUCUCUAAAGUGCUGAACUGGAUCUUAGUGCACAUUUUAAAAACAUUCUUACAGAUAUCUGGAAAGUAUGUUCAAUAAUGUCAUCCACUGCACGUUCAGAUCCAUGUGACACCAAAUACUCUAUAACAGCCAAAGCCUGAAGAAGUUGACAGUGCCACUCAUGAGUAAGAGUGGGAUAUAAAGCAUUAUUUGUCAGAAAAUAAGAAUGUAUUAAACUGGGAACAAAUGAAAUUUUACCUUAUAGACAAGACGCCAAUUCUUACCAGUUUCAGUCAAUCUUGUCCAGAGAACAUUCAUAACCAUCUGAGUUUCAGAACUGAAAAAUCAAAAUCAAAAUCAAUCACCAAACAGAAACAAGUUCUUGAUUAAAGAAGAAAAGAACCAUAUGGGAUGAGUUGAAAUUUGAAAAUGUAACUUUACAAUUUCUUGGUAGCUUGCGCAAUUUCAGCCAGAGCAGAUCCAUGAGGACCCCAUGGUUCAUCAUCUGUUGCAUCCAGCACCUGAAGCAGCGAUGACAACCAGUUAUGAAACCACAUAGAGAAUUUCUAUCCUCCAACAGUAGAAUUAUUAAUACUUCAUGAGAAGCGAGUCAACUGUGAAACUCAAUCCAAUUUAUCUGAAAAACCAAUUCCCUGAGGGUCAUCUGGAAUAUGACCAACCAAAUUGAAAACCCACCUAAAUGGCACUUGGAACUCAAACGAAUGUGAUUGCCCUAUGGAUUUAUAUCAAAUUGAGGACAAAAAAUCGCAUACACCACACGCCUAGAAAAUGCUAACCGCCAUUGAUAGAGUUGAAUGCUACAAUACUAAGCAACAUCACUAUUCCCCGAAAUCCAUCCAAUUGACGCUAUAAAUUAACAGGCCAGUGGUAUGGCAGUUUUUAAACAAUAAUAUAUGCUUCUUUAAAUAUUUAGCAAUAAAUUAAACUUUCGUGGUGUUUGACUGAAUGGAGGUGGAAGUAGAACAGGAGCAAGAAGCAAAAUAGGAUAUGAGUUAUGACACCAUGUAGUAUCCUAAAGCAAAAUAGGAUAGAGAGCUGCUUAGAUCUAUAAAAGCAAAUGCAUUAUUCGAACCUUCUGUUCGAUUUCUGGAACCUUCAGAACCUUCAAAUUCACCUCCCUCUUUCUGUAACAACACGUAAAUAGAUAAAAUGAAAAUGAUACAAAAAAUCGAAGUUAAAGCUAACAGAAGGUCAUCUUCUAUCUAAAAACCUAUACACAUAACAUAGAAAAAAGAAAAAUAAAUAUAUAUAAUUUUAUAUCCAAAUUGAGAAACAUCAACUAGUUGGAGCCUCACAUUUCACGGACAGUUUGAUCGAAAACCUUCAUGAAAUCCAUGACAGAUCUGCGAAAUCUAUCAAACAAUAUUGCAGAAUUGAAAUCAGAUAAUGUGAGGAAUUGGAGAAAGAUGAAGAGAACGGAUCGGGAGGAAAACCAGCAAAAAGAAGAAGAAGAAAAAUUGAAGAGAUGAUAUAUGUAAAAAUGAAUCGAUUGUGAAGAAAAAAGAAAAAUAGAAAACGAGGUGAUGCGCACCUGAGUAGCUAGAAAGGAAGCUUGAGAUCGAGGUAAAGAAGGAAAUCAGGUGGGCGUGAAGAAAUUUCAACUUUCUUUGUAUGCGUGACGGUGGAGAUAAAAGCCGGAAGAACAGAACAGAACAGACGAGACAACGGAGCAAUUUUUCGUAGUCGAAAUUUUCUCUUUAUUGUUUAUAAUUUUAAUUAAAAAUGUGUUUUAUGGUUUGGAGAUCUUUUCAUUUUUAGAACCAUUCAUUUGUGACAAACCGUAUUGUAUCAACUUACCUAUUUUUAAAAAAUACAAACUAUUUACCCUUCAAAUUUUUUAUCAUAAUGUUUUCAUAUUUUUUAUUGGAUUGACUUUUUAAAUAUUUAAAUUAGUGUUUAAAAUGAAUCCAAAAUACCCUUUCAACAGUAAUUUAAUUAUUCAUUUGCUUUGCAAACCAAAUUGAAAACUGUUUUAUGGUUCAUCACUAUAUUAAGAGUUGUUUGAGGUCUUGGUUUGCUUUGAUCCAUUUUGUAAGUGUUUAAAAAUAGGAACAGAACUACAAGUAUUUGGUUCAAUCUUCAGUUUUAUAUAUAAUACAAAAAGCAUACAAAUUUUAGGAUUCAAAUGGAACGGUUAUUACGUAGUAGCAUUGUGUUCAUAUAUUAUCAAUAGCCUACUAAACAACCAUCUUUCCAAUUCACUAUUUUUUUUUUCUUCUUAAAACAACAUGCUGCAUAUCAUGUCUGCUGGGAAAUCACAGCCCCAUGGUUCCAUUGAACUCCAUUGAUCUCUACUGUCACUACCGGCACCCGGUUCGGAAACUGUGGGAAUCUGGAACUGAUCGACUGAGUUGUCUAAUGCAGCAAUGCAUGAGAUUGGUGUGUGGUUAAUAAUUUCAGUGAAGUCUGUUUCUUGUGUAUGUAGGAGUGGGGAUUGUGAGUGAAGAUGACUCUGGGUUUUGGCUGCAAGGAACAGCUUCUUCUUCUUCUUCUUCAGUUUAGUAUUCCAAUGGUUUUUUACAUCAUUGUCUGUUCUACCUGGGAGUUGAGAGGCUAUGGUAGACCAUCUGACCAACAACUUGAAUUUGAUUAAAAGUUCAAAUAUUUCUUUACAGAGAUGUGAAAACAUAUCAUGAAGUUUAGAAGAAAACAAAAGUAUCUAAGGUUUCAUUUCAUAACAAUUUUCUUCUUAAGUUAUUCUUUUCUGAAAAUAUAUGUUUGUUCCCUCUCGGACAUCUUCACUGUUGUUUGUUCUUAACAUUUGUGCAAAUUUCAAAAACAAAAACAACAAAACCUAUCAUCUUUAGUUUUAAAAACUUGUUUUGAUUUUUAAAAACAUUGGUAGGGAAACGAAACUAUGAAAUGUACCAAAAGUUAAAAAAAAACAUAUGGUUAUCAAAAUCGAUCUUUUUAACUUUUAAAUGCUUAAAUUUUGGUAAUGUUACUUUAGAAAGAUAAACACCAUGGUAAAAACAAAUGGUAAGAAAGCAGAAUCAUACAGAGCUACUCAUGACUAUCUUAUAGAAACUAAGAAAUAAUCCAAGAUUUAAAUUUCCUUUUUGUGUAAGCUUUGUAAAGUUCAAAUCUGAAUCCUUGUUUAAGAUUUAUCCUGGCUUGGAAAAAAAAAAAAUACCAAACUUGCCUGCUUCCAUAUUGAUUGAAGAGAUUAAAAAUGACAUUGUCUUCCUCUUCUGUAAAUUCCCCAUGCUUGAUAUUGGGUCUGAGAUAGUUUAGCCAUCUUAACCUACAACUUUUCCCACAUCUCUUCAACCCUGCAGUUUUUUUGUUUCUUUUUUCUUUCAAAACAUUGCAUUACAGAAACAAACAAACGACAGAGAAUACCAAACUAAAAAAAUUGGUGUUAGUUCUGAUAAAAGUGAAGAGAAAAGCAAGAGAUUAAACCAGCUUUAGUAGGCAGAGCAAUCCAGGUACCAGCAAUGCCAUGAGUUUCUACAUAACUUUUGAGAAUGGCGUCCUCAUCAGGAGACCAAGGCCCUUUCUUCACCUUGCCUUUCUCACAACAUGGAGCUCUUCCCAUUGCCCCCUUUGCCUUCCAAGGAUAAAUGGGGGCAAGAGUUCUGUAGCUAAAUGCUUUAAAUUCCAAAACCAGCUCACUCAACCGCAAUAAUUUCCCCUUCUGAUUUUGGCUGAGGAUUGUGAGAGCUAAAUAGAAUCUAGCUUGACUUUGUACGUUUCUCCCUUUCUUAUAAGCUUGUUUAUUGUUUGUUAAUUAAUACAGAAGAAGAGACCUUCUCUGUUUUCCACCCCUAGAAAAACAUACUGUUUUAGGAGAAACUACGAAAGGAAAACGUCAUAUGUGGUUGACAAUUUUGUACAAUUAUAAUUUAUAAAUUUUAAAGAGAAGCUGUAAAAGUACCUCAAAUUUGUAUACGUUAUGGUUAUUACGAAACAACCACAUUUGUAAUAGUUGUCUUGAAUAACUUUCUUAUUUUUAGUGAAUAUUAUUUAAAUAAGUGUACAGCGUCUUGACGAUAUAUAUAGAUGGAAUCUAAGAAAUGUCGAGCAAUACUAAUGCAUCAAGUACGUAGUGUCGUUGUUCAUUAUGAUGGGGUUGAUAUCAGUAGCUUCAAUAUGCUGCCUUAUAGCUUCUCAACGAUGUUCUCAUUUGGCUUGUGACCUUUUGUCGUAUUCAAUCUUUCAAAAUAACUAUUUUGUUCUAUAAGCCCAAUAACUACAAAAUGCACAAAUAUACCUGUGAAUAUCAUAAUUUAAACUUGAAACUGGCAAAUAUCAAGCUGUAGACAUGUUAUCAGUAAACUUUAUAACCAUAUAUUCAAUUACCAGUAAGUGAAGUAUAUAAACUUUUGGAUGUACCACAUAUAAAAUAACUCCAGAUGGACCAUAGUUUUUAACUCCUCUACCUUGUGUCAGAAGCAUUAGGCAAGAAAAAGAAAGUAAGGAAAGGUUGGAAGUUUUUGUUACAAGUUACAAUUAAGUAUAUGAAUGAUUAUAUGAAAUAAAUAUAGCAGAUAACAAUGGGUCCACUCUAUAAUGAUAUAUAUUCCUUGAGGGGAAAUGGCUCAAAUUCAAUGUUUUUUGUUCAAAUUAUGGAAAUGGGUUAUCUAAUUUUGAUGUGGGUGAUGUGAUGAUCUGAUCUGAUCUCUUGUAUCUCACAAGAAUAUUUGCUAAAUCAUCUGCACAUUACUUUAUAAGGAAAUGAUAACAAAACCAUACUCAUUUGGUUUCUUUCAGAACAUUUCACAUGCUAUGCUUUUCCCAUAUUGGACUCACCACUUCCCAUAAUGGGAUAACUCUUCAAGAAUCUUUCCAUAUUUUCUAAAAUAUUUUGGCUAAAGUUGGAAGGAUUUUCUUUUUUUUUUUCCUUUUUCCUUUUUGACAUUGAAAUGAAGGGGAUGGAUGGCCUAGAGGGACUUUAAUGCCAAGCUUAUAUAGUACACUUUUAAUCACCUCUUCCACCUAAUAACUUCUUCUUGGAUAAGUAUGCCUAAAAAUAAUAUUGCUCCAAAUUUUAACUUCAUCCAAAAACAAAUUUUAUUUUUUAACCUAAAAAAAUCAAGAUAUUACUGAAUUAAAUUAAAUUUCAUUUUUAAAAUUCAAUAUAACUUUUUUUUGUUUACAAUAAAUAUUAGGAUCAAAUCUUUAACGUCUAAAAAAAAUAUUACGUUGGUUGAUGUAAACUCAAUCAACUUAAAUAAUUAUCAUUAAAAUUUUCACUACAUUUUUAGUUAUAAUUAAUUCUACUAUACUAUUUGAAUUGAACCAAAAAUUACACCAUUUUUAUUGUUUGAGAAUUUUUUUUUAUUAAAUUACUCAUAUAUAUUUUCGUGAAGAAAAUACUCAUAUAUACACGAUUUGAAAUUUAAAAUUUCACGAUAGCUUAUCAUUUAGUUUAUGAUAAAAAAAAUUUCUCUAUCUCUUUUAUAUUCUUCCAUAAUAUUAAAAAUAGUUCUUGCAAGCUUUAUCUUUGUGGAGAAAAUAAAUAUCUCUAAUUAUUAAAAAUUAUUGGAUGAUAUGAUAACUCAAACAAUUUAAAUUAUUCAAUCUAUAUAGUAAAAGCUUAAGUUGAGUUGACAUUUUUAAUUAUAUAUCGAGAGAGUUAACCCAUCAAACUAAAAUUACAUAUAUUUCUUUUACAACGAAUGAAUUUAUAAAAUUGUUAAUGUUUCUAUUUUAGGAAGGUUGACUAUGAUAAGAUUUUUUGAGAGGUAGGAGAAAUUCUUUAUUACUUAACAUUUGAGUUUUACAAUAUUAGAUUUAUGUUAAAAGAUAAAUUGAAGUGUUUUAAUAAUAAAUGGAAUACAAAACCAACUAUUCAACUCAAAACAAAAAAAAAAUUGUUUGAAUGUUUGAAGUUGUUGUGAAUCCAACGAAUCCAAAUAUUAAAUUUGAUGUAUAAAAAUCCAAAAUGCAACUCAGCCAAAUUAUGUACACACCAUUGAUCACAAAGAUGAAUCAACCAUCCAUUCUUAUCCAUUCCAAUUGUACGGAAGAUCCAUCAAAGUAGGAGCCGACAGCAAAUAUCUUAUGUCAUUAUUUGAUGAAGCCAUUUGGAUUUAUUUCGAUUUUUUAACUUUUCCAAAACUUAUUAAACACAAGCAUGUACAUAUUAUAUCAUAUGAUCAAACUUCCAAUUCAAUCAAUCAAUAAAUUUAGUUUCUCAAACCCAGAGAUUUGAGGAAUAAGCAUAACAAAGAGUUGAAAGAGGCCGAAGUGAAGAGUGAAGGAGAUGUUUAGGAACUGGAUUAGCUAGUGGUCUAAAGAAGACAGAAGAAUGAAGCAGAUAGAAACAAGGAUAUUGAUUGAGUGAGCUGCCACCGCAGCAGCAGCAGGAUUGAAAAGCAAGUUUUGGAUUUUGUACUAAUAUUCAAUAUAAAUUCCUUCAUCUUCACUAUUUAUCCUUUGUUAAACUUACCCUUUUUGACACUGUUCUUCAAGAAAGAAAUUUUAUUAAAUUCCCAUUCAGUUUCUGUACAAAUGGGGAAAUUGUAACUCACUCACUUGCCUCCACAAAUUAAGAUUAAACCCAUUUACAGAAAUUAGUAGAACUAAAAAUACUAGAAAAGAAAUGGGAGAAAAAGGAUUUGAUUCACAGAAAAUUAAAGUAAAAAUUGGAAUCCAUGGCUUCUUCUUCUUCCUUGAAUUAGUUCAGAGAUCCGGCCGAUAUCAUUGGCCGGACACGGUCCACUGAAUUCUCUCUCAUUAAUUUGGCAUACAUUUGGGCUCGUAGAUUUCUUCCUGAUUCCACUCUUUCCAUUGCUGGUUCUUCUUCAUUUUCUCUAUCCCAUAGAUCAAAUGCUGCACCGGAGCUCCGACGGAGAUUUGGACUGAAGCUGGAGACGCCAGGAUUCGUUUUUAAUUCAUCUAGGCGGAGACUGUGCAUCAAUGCGACUAAUCUGCUGAAUGAUUCGCCGCCGCUGAUUACAGGGCUGAUUGGAGACAAAGGUGGCGAGUCCGAAGACGGCGAUAAGAGGAUCGAUGUCGGUGACGACACAGCAGGGAUAGCCAUUUCUCUCGCUCGUGGAGACCUGACACUUUGUUUCCCCGGAAUCCGGAGUUGCUCCGACGUGUGAGCGAAGAAACAGACCCGCCGGCGACAGCCAGUUCCAUCACGGCACGGUUGAGUCCGGUAUCGGUCUGGGUGGAGCCAAAUCUCAAAAGUUCCAUGAGCGUACUCGCAGGCGUCUCCCUUUUUACAACACCCAUGGCGUAAAUCCGGGCACUCGGCGCCGGAAUAGUUAAACUUCCUCGGAUCUCGACGGCGAGCCUUCUCGCCGGUGUGAGCGUACGGACAUUUGGUCCAAUCGUGCGACCUGCCACGUGCGCAGGAGCGGACUUUGAACUCAUACAUCCGGAACUGGUCGCAGGAGUAGGCGUCCACAGGCGCUGGCAAGUCAGGAUCUUCCCAUAAGGAGGAAUCGAAGUCCAUGAGCGCGGCCGUAGGUGAAUCGAGGGGGGAGACGUGGGCGGUGGAGAAAUAGGAAGAGAUUGCGGGGGAGGGAUCGUCGAGGGAGUCCCAGGUUGAAAUGUGAGAGGUGGGAUUGAGGAGCAUUGAUUCAGCGAUCAUGGUGAAUUGUGAGAGAGAAAUGGAGUGGAAGGGGUUUUUGAAGAUGAGGUGGGAAGUGCCAGUUUUUGAGACGGAAGCCGGAAGAGAGGGUGGUGGGAUUUUUGGUUUUCAACCGCGGUCGGUUACUCAACUUCCUCUCUAUUCUCUCCGGUUAAAUAUCUACCCAAUCCCUGGGAUUCACUACUCUGUUCUCGUGUCCAUGCUAAUUUCCUGCACCUUCUUUCUUCUUUCUUCCUUUUUCUUUUUUCCUCCCACUCUCUUGGCUUGGCUUCAAGUUUAAGAUAUAAUAUAUAUAUAUAACAUUAUUUGUACUUUUUCUUAUUAAAUUGUGAUUUUUUUUGCUUUCAAAAAAACAAUAAAUUAUGAGUUUCUUUUGAAUUUAAGUUUUUUAUACUCAAACAAAAUAGCAAGAAUUAAAUUUGAAAUAUUGAUUAUUUAUUUUGAACUAUUGAGUUUUUUCCUUUUUUUUCGAAUAUUAAACUUGUUUUUUCACUAUUGUUUUUGAGUUUUAAAAAAUAGGUUAUAUAGAAUACUUGAUAACUAAUUUAAAUAAUAUAUAUUAAACAACUUUAUAAGUUGAAAAACAUUUUUUAGGUUAAAUCUAAAUAUGUCUUAUAAAACUAAAAUACUCAAUCAAAUUGAAAUUCUUAUUAUAUAUAGAAAAUUCUAGUUGAUAAAAUCUACCGUAGAUUCAAUUGAACUGAUUGUAAUCUUAAUAAACUAAAUUUCAAUUCACUUAAAACAGGUCAUAAUUUAUCCAACACUUGUUGUUUUACUUAUACUCGAAUCAAACUUUCUCAAUGUAAUGAAAAAAAAAAAACAGAUAAAUAUAUCAUUAAAAACCAACUAUAAAUGAUAAAUGAUAACCAUCCGAUAUUCCAUUUUAUAAAUGAAAUAUUCAAUCAUUCAGCUUCACAAUUACUAUAUCUAAAAAAUCCUCAAUAAAUUAUACAUGCAGUUGAAUUGUUUUAUCUUAGAAACUAAAAAAAAACAAUAUUAUAAACAACCUACUAAAUACAUUAAAUCAACCCCAACUAAACAAAAAAGCUUGAGUUACUGAAGUGUAAAUUUUUAUUGCUGGAUAGUUUUUGAAUUCGAAUACUUUUGAAAGAAUAAUAUAUGACCUGUUUGAUCGAGUCAUAUUUGAAUUAAAAGUAUGUCCAAUAUCGCAAGAUGCAUACUAACAAAUUGUCGAUUCAAGCACGUAGAAUCAAUCUCCUUUUUUCUCCGUAGAAUAAGAGAUUCAAACUACAAAAUUUUUUUUGUUAUUAAUUUAUAUUUAUGUUAAUUGAAUUAAAGUGAUGUAAUCUACCAUUGAACUAAACUCGUUUGGACACGUGGUGGUUAAACGAAGGAAAAUUAGACAAGUUGGGGGUAUUAUUUUAUGAGAGUGGAUUUCAUAGGACAAAAGUAUGUGUAGGACGUGGACAAAUACAAAGAAGGUCACAUGGUGGAGGGACACUUGGAGAGUCCGAUGGGGAAUAAUUUUUAUUUAAAAAUAGUUUUAGAGUUUCCAUAAAAAGUAAAAGAAAAAAUAAAAAAAACAAAAAAUAAAGAGAAGCUGCUUCUGUGAUCCACGUGGCCUGACUAGGUGAGUUGAACAUAGAUAUUUAUCCACGUGGAAGGUGAUAACUUGGCGGUGAUGGGUUCGGUCCCACAUGAUUCUUGGCGCCUCAAAUCAACAAGUAUCCACGUGGCACACUUGAUCUCUCACCAGCUUUAUUACUCCUCGAGAUUCUCAUGAUCAUGACCAUUGACCAUACUCCCCUUUCCUUUUAUUUUUUAAAAUUACAUUUGAUAUUACAAAGAUUUUUUUCGAUAAAAGGAAAAUUAUAAUUUGGAGGUUCCAUCUUUAUCCGGAAGGACAGGCUUGCGUGUAAAUGCCUAGAGGAUUAUCCACGAGGAGUCUCCACGUGGCUCGUUUUUAGUGGACACUUGGCCACGGAAGAUUAUAUGGAAAAAUAAAUAAUAUUAAUGUCACCCCCUGCUUUUCUUUUAUUUAUUUAUAGAUUUUUCUGAUUUUUAAUUUAUGGUUAGUUGAUAAGUUCAAAGUAACUUUCAAGUUGAAAAAUUAUGUCUUAUUCUUUGUGUUUAAAGUGUAGGAAUGCUUUAUUUAGAAGACUUAUUUUGGCAGUCAAAUUUAAUUUACCUAAUCUUUUAAUAUUCUUUCAAGUCUAUUUGGGGUGACAUAUAUAUUCAUUUUAUUAAAUAGUUUGAAAGUUAUCCAUUCCACUACUGCUUUCUAAAGUUGAACAUUUCAUCUCUUUUUAUUUAUUUAUUAUUAUUAUGAUUUUAAAUAAAUAAAAAGUAAAAGAAGGAAGGGGAACACACUGCCCACUAGGAUCAAUUUUUUAAAUGUAAUCUAUAGUGUUAAUCUUCAAUUAGUCUAGCUUAACCGUUUGGUUUUUUUUUUUUUCUAAUUUUUUAAAAAUUAAAUCUAUACACUCUUGUUCCAUUCUUUAAAAAUUUGCAAUUGGAUGGUUUUGAAAAAUAUGUAAAUUUAAUAUAAGAAAUCGAGAGGUUAAAUUCUUGAAAUAACUUACACCACAUGUAUUCAAGCUCUUUUCUAUACCAAUUUUGUUUUUAGUAAUUUAUGCCUUUUUCUUUUUUUACUUAUUCGAGUUGCUUUUCUAAAACUAACCAUGAGUUUUUAAAAACGCAAGUGGAAAGUAAAUGAUAAAAUACAGGAAUUGAUAGAUGAAUUUAAAAAAAUAAGAAAGUGGUAAUCAUAGGUAACCCAAAUGUUUUUUUCCCCUUAAUUAUUUGUGAUUAUUUUGGAUGCGACAAUGAUUAAAGAUGAAAGAGACGUCAUACUAGUGGUUGGAAUUUUGAUAUGAACAUCCCAUUGUUUUCAUUUUUAUCCUUUACAUUGACCACCUCACUAUUCAAAAGUAAUUAAAAAUAAACAAUGCUUCAAAGAAAAAGAAAAAUAGAUAACUAUACCACCAGCCUUGGAGUUAGGUGGACUAACAAAAUAUCAACAUUUAGAUCAAUAUAACAUAUGUUGUAAGUUUCAUUUAAUGAAAUUCAUAUAUAUCUUCUAUUUCUAGGUCUUAGCCACGUGAAGAUUAAGUUACCUUCGUGGGCUGAAUCUCACAUCUGCCACCCCAGUUUUCUCAAAUAUGAACUACAAGAAAGUUCAGAAGCCCAACGGCCCAAAUCAAUAGCCCAUUAUCCAUAUUGUAUUGAAAUAUUUUAAAGCUUAUGAGUAUCUUAAAACAAAAGAUAUGGAAUUAAGAUAAAGUUAGAAUUGGGAAUAAAUGUAAUCCAAAAUGUUAAUAUCUAUCUCUGUUCUUUUGUGGAUUUUAAGUUAUAUUCUUCAUUGCAACACUUAUCCUAUAAAACCGUGUUGUAUACUCUAAUAUUCUAAGUGAUACAUUCUUUGUUUGGAGUUGAGCAAAUAACUCUUUUCAAUUCAACAUGUAUAUGUAUGGAUUGAAAGUUCAAAUAUAAUGCCUAAUCCUUUAGUCUAUUUGUGUUAAGAUUACAAAUCUAUUCAAACCCUCUUCUUUCUUUUUCUUUUAUAAAUUAAUACUUAUAACAAAAGGUUAAAUUACAAUUCUUUAUAUUUUCAUAAUUAAACUUUAGUCGUUUGACAUGAAAAAAACGUUAGUAAAUAAAGCUUAUAAGGUAGUGAUUCAAAUUCACAUUAGCUUAUUUUUGUAGUAAUUGAUAUAAUCUUUUAUUUUAAAAAUGAUUAGAGAGAUUCGAUUUUCCUUCCUAUAUUGUUAUUUUUUGCGUUUGUUUUUUUCUUAUAUUUUAAUUUUUAAAUUGGAGUUCAAUUAGUUUGAAAAAUGGAACAUAACCCAGUUGAUGUGUGAUAGUAGGUUAAUAAUCACAAGGUGUGAUUUGAAUUAUUUCUUUUUCAAAAACAUAUCUAAUGUGUUUUCAAUUAAUUAAUAAGCCAGGUAUAUGUUAAAAGGUUUGAGUGUAAUUCUUAAAAUAAAUCAAAACUAUUGUUGUUUUUUUAAUUAUUAAAUCUCAAACAAUAUAAAUAAAUUAUAUUUAAAAGUGCAACAUUUAAUAUUAAAUUAAUUAAAUAAUUAAAAUUGUAUUUCUAUAAGUAACAAAAAUUAAGUUAACAAUCAAUACAUUUUUUUCCCUAGUUAAACAAACAAUAUAUCAAAACACAUUAUUAUACCCAAUUACUAGAUAGUUGAAAGAUUCUUCAAACAAGUACGACUAUUCUAUUACUAUUCAGACUAUAAUAACAAAUUUAAUCAGGGUCUUAAUAUCGUAAGAAUUAUAAAAAGAGAGAAAGUAAUUAACAUGAGAAAACAAAUCAAAUGGAAACAUUGUAUGCCAAGUGGGGAUGUACUAUGUGUUUGGUUCCCAUUCAAGUGAUUAAACCUUCCAUCUUCCACUUUGUUUAAUACAAGAAAAUACACAAAAAAACAGCAAGCUAGCUAAUUAUAUAUGUGAAGCAGAGAAGGACAGAAAAUGAUUUAUAUGUAUGUUUACUUAUUAUAUGAUGUGAUUCCAUGGUGUCACAUCUCCUAAUAUUUUUCUAAACAAUGUUUCUUAAAAUAGAUAUCAAAUCUAACAUGAUAUCAAAUAUUUGUCACUCAAGUUGCGAUUGUGAUUGGGAGAGUUAUGAAUCUACAUCUAAUUAAUUCAAUUCACCAAGUUAACACACAACUAUUAUUUGGUCAACUUACAAAAACUUAGUAGUGUAUGAAUUUUAUAUUAAAUUUAGAAGUCACCAAUCUCUUAUAUGAAUGUUUUUUAAAAAAUAUUAGACUAAGUAAAUGCAAACCUGAAGAUUUGAUAACUAAUGGCUUAUAGGUAAUCAAAACCUAAUGAAUUACAAAUUAUAAAACUCUGACAAAAAGAAAGAAUAAAGAACUUUCUUUCUUUCUAAAUAAAGAAUUAAACUGAGAUAUCAUUUAUUUGAAAAAAAUGGUGAAGGGGGUUGAAAAGGAUGCAGUAACCUGCUUGAAAAGGAAUGGAACAUAAAUAUAGAAAGGGACAGUGGAUUCUAAAUCUCACCAAAUAAAGCAAAAGAAGAAAGAAAGAAAAGUUGAGAAAUUAAAUACAAAAUGGAGGGAGAAGGUGGAGCUGUGUUACAUAAUAUAAUUCCAAUGUCAAACAUUAUAAUAACAAAUGAAAUUAAAGUUAAUGAAUGUGCUUACUUAGGGUUUGCCAAAAAUAUCAAAAACAGUGAUGCAAUAUUAAUUUAAUUUUCCAUUUUCACCCUCCAAUUUUAUCUUUAUUUAGCAAGUUGGGUUGGGGUUGGUCUUGGGGUUGACAUGACACCAACAAAUUCAUGUUCAUCCAAUGCAUAUCAAUGCCCAUAAAAAGCUGCAUCAUGAUUUGAUUGCAUCUCAGACACACACACCACCAAUAAUUUCACAAACACUAUUCUCUAAUUUGUGUUCUCUCUAACUAUACGCAUACAUAUAAUUAAUACUCAUAUACUUAUUUACAUGUGUUUUCUUAAUUAAUUUUUAACUUUUACCCCCAUCUAUUUUACAAUUUUGUGUACACAAUGACUUCUAUACACUUGCACAUCCAUAUAAUUAUAACAUGCUAAUUUAAACGUAGCUCUCAAGCUAUUUAAUUUAAUUCUCCAUCAUCACAAAGUGUAAUUACUUUGACUAAUUACAAAAAUAACUCUCCAAUAGGUUAUUAAGUAUUACUAGUUUUUAUGUCGGUUUUAUACAUGUUGAUUUGGAAGAAUAGUUAAAUUAUUUGUAUAAUUUUGUUGUUAAUUUUAUAUUUAUUUAACUUACGGGUUUGGACAAUUACUUUUAUAUAUUUUCAACUUUCAAAAUUUGACUAAAUUUUAUUUAAACAUGCAUAUAAAGUAGAUAAUAAAGCAAAAAAAAAAAAAAAAAAAUUAGACAUUGAUUUGAUGUUUAUAGAUUUACUAAGAAAAAACUAAGAUUAAGAUAUAUAUAUAUAUAUUCGUUCUUUGAUAAAGUUUUCUUUUUAAUUUAGAAAAUGAACUUUCCUUGUAAUUUGGCCAUAUUAAUUAUACUUGAAGGAUGUUAAAAUGAAGAACUUCUCUCCCAACCACAAUUCAACUUCGAUUGAACGAUAGAAAUCAAAUCAAUUUAUCUUGACAUAUGUAAACACAUAUGGCACUGUAAUUAACCCUUGGAAAUUAGUUUAAUUUUAUUAUAUAGAAUCUAUUAGUCAAAAUUUUAUCAUAUUUAAAUUGGUAUAUAUCAUGCUCUUUAAGAAAAGUCAAUAUGACCUAAUUAGUUGUUAAUGACACUUCAUUUAUAAAAAAAAUUAUUACUCGUUUUCAUGAGAUACACCUAAGGACAUCACUCUCGUUUUCGGAGUAAAACUUAAGUCUCGAAAAAUUUAGGAUUAAUAAUAUGGUUAUUGUUAACCAACUUAAAUGUGUGUGUAUACAUAUAUAUGGAAAAGAAGAGAUUUGUCACAAUAAGUUAAAGUGUAAAGGAUUCUAACAAAAGUUGUAGAAUUUGAUUGGAGGAAGAUGGAGGAGAGUUUGGGGAGAAGGAUAUGGAAUACUUGAAAAAGAGUUAUGUGAUUAGACAAAUCAAUAGAGUGAAUAAUUGAUCUCCAUAUUUUUAUUCUUCUUCUUGAUAUGGCUUUGCACUACACCAAUUCUCUCUAUUGAUUUAUAUAAUAAUUCAUCAAUUUAAUUUCCUAACAAAAAUCAAUUUCAGAUAUUUAUUUUGUUUCUUCUUUUAAUUUUCUGCCUCUCUUAAUAUGUAUAAAGUUUUAAACAUCUUUUUAAAUUUUAGUUUUCAAAUAUUCAGGUAAGAUUCGUGAAAAGUGAUCGCUUCUUGCAAUAUUAUGAAACUAAUGAGCUUCGUAUUUCUACUUUUAACUAGUGAAUGAGAUUAGGGUUUAUGAGUGUGUAAUUUUUGGUAUUUGGAGGGAGAGAGAGACUGAGAGAGGGAUUGUUUUGUCUUUCUUAUGUUUGGUGUGUACCAUUAUUAUUAGGUGCAGCCUUGGUUUGUACAAAUUCAGCCUUUUCCUUUCCUGAGUUUGGACUAGUCUGUCCCUUUACCCCUUUUCUUUUCACUGUUUCCUCUUCAAAUUUUUGUACCCUUUUCUUUUCACCAAUACCCAAAUUGAGAGUCUAUAGGCAACUUUGGAAGGAAUAUAACUAAAAGAUAAAAAGAUAAUGAAUAUAAACUCCAUAUAUUAUAUAACACCCAAAUCUUAUCCAUUCAAUUUGCCCAAAGAACCCAACUUUAGGUAUAUGGGGAUUUUCUUUAACGUUAUACUUUCAACUAUAACCCUAAUAUUUCCCCUUCUAAAUCAAACUUUUGUUCAUCUUUCACUCAUAGUACUUACUGCGAGUGUGUGUGUGUAUAUAUAUAUAUUUGGUUCUACCUGCAACGUAUGGAUUACUGUUAUUAUUAUAAAUCUAUAGUACGAAGUUUAAUUUUUGUAGUACUAAUAUAGGUGGAGGCCCCCAUGAAAUGUAUUGAAAUUUGGUCUUUGGAAUCGUACCCUUCAGGUAGAGUGUCUCACGAGUUGGGCCCCUAAUUUUAUAGGAUUUGUAAUUUUAAUUUGGUCCCUCGUGGUGGUUUUGCACCAUACCCCAACAUCUAUGUACUCCUAGGGACCUAUACACUUGUCUUUGCUUUUAAUGUGUUUUCCCUUCCUUCAUCAUCAUUCAUUAUUAUUGUGUUCCAACCCUUUUACACAUUUUCAUAAUUUUCACUCCCAAACAAACCUCACAUUUAUCACCACAAAUAUAAACUAGCUACUCUUCAUUUGGGAUUCAAACCACAUGUUUUUUUUAUAUCGUGUCAACACAUUCAAUUCAAACCACAAAUAUAAUUCAACUAUAUAGUUGAAUUAUACUCACUUUGAUAGAUAUUUACUUAUUGAUAUAAUGUAUUCACAAUGUAUAUAUUUGCGUAUGUAUAUCCAUACAUAACAUAAUUAAAAUAUAUAGUUUGAAUUUUAUCUCAAUUUGAUUGAAUUCUACCUUUUUCUACUUUAAUUUUGAUUAAGCACCAAAUACUUUCUUCCUAAACAAGUAUGAUAAAUUAACACAAAAACAGAAGUAAGUAAAGAUAGAGAUUAACAAAAAGAGUAGCUUUGGAAAUCACUUUCAAAAUUCGAGCCUUGAUUUCAAAUUUCAACCCCUCAGAAGUAAAAGGGUAACAUUUCAAUUAAAUUUACGAAAUUUUGUUCUCUCUUGUAUAAAAGAAUAACAAGAGUAAAAGAAUUGCAUGCAUCCUCGUACUCAUCCAUCCAUCCAUAUACAUAUUACAUACACCACAAAUCUGUGUUUUCCGUUUAUAUGAACAAAAUCAACAUGUCAAAACCCUAUAUUGUUAAUUAAUUUAAAGUAUUUAAUUAUUGAAGAAAGAAAGAAAAAAAGAACCCACCAAAAUGGCCGGAGAAAUGACCGCCGCCGUGUCCGGCGUUGUGGGCGUGGUUGUCUCCUAGAUGAAAGCUAUAUAGAUACCCUUUUUGUUCCACUUUAAUGGCGCACCCUCAACUGAGAUAUCUAUACCCAAAACACACCUUCCUAAAAAUUUCCCAAAUCAGUUCAUUAUUUGUUGUAUACCCUUAAUUAAUUCUAUUUUUUAUUUUGUUUUUAAAAUUUUUAAAAAACCCAGCUCAUAAACACAACCUUUUUGGCCCUGUCCUAUGGAAGUUGACUGCUAGCUUUUCUCCAUAACUUCACUGUUUAGUUAUAUUCUCCCACUUUAGGGUUUUCUAAUCAUUCCUUUUCCUUUUUUUUUUUUUGGGUACUGGGUUCUUUUUUUUUCUUUUUUUAAAUUAGAAUAAAGAAAACUAUAUAUUAUUAUAUGUUUUUUAUUUAAUUUUGUAAUGGAAGAUGAUGAGUACAAGGUUCAUGGUGAUAGGUGUAGGGGAAAUUUCUUGUACAAUUCAGUACCUGUUUUAGCCACUAAUUCUUCAUCUCCUGUGGGCAAUUUCGUAAUUAGAUCAUCAUAUUCAUCGGCCUCUUCUUCAAAUGGGAAUAAUCAUAAUCAUCAUCACCAUCAUCAUCACAUGAUCAUGGCCGCCGGUCACUCCAAUAAUUAUUUUCCACCCUCCGAUCAACUACAACUUCCUGUCAAAGUGGAGCCUCCCACUACCACUACUACUGCUUCUUCUUCACAAUCUCAUCAUAUUCAACUUCAUGAUUUUCAUUACCAUUUAAUGACUGAGUUCCAAAAUAAUCAUAUUAAUAUUAAUAUUAAUAAUCAUAAUUCUGAUUCAAUCAAAGCCAAAAUUCUUUCUCACUCUCUUUUCUCUAACAUCCUCCAAGCUUUCUUGGAUUGCCAAAAUGUAAUUUCCCUCCCUCCCUCCCUCCUUUUUUUUUCUUUUCUUUAUACACUACAUGCUUAUAAUUAAUUUCCCUUAGUUAUUGUUGUUGUUUAUUUGUUUUUAUUUUAUAGGUCGGAGCUCCGCCGGAGGUGGCUGCAAAACUUACUUCGGUACGGGAGGAAUUCGAGCGACAGCGGUCUUCAAUGGCGACCGCUGAGGGUUCAUCAAUUGACCCUGAACUUGAUCAAUUCAUGGUAAAUUUAAUUAAAGUAAAUCUAACACUCAACUUGGUUUCAUAAUCAUUUUGAAAAUUAAGAUUAUUAUAAAUAAUACCUGUUUUAGGAAGCUUAUUAUGGGAUGUUGGUGAAGUAUAGAGAGGAGUUAAGAAGGCCAAUUCAAGAAGCUGUAGAUUUUAUGCACAGAAUUGAAUCUCAGCUUAAUACUCUCUGCAAUGGCUCCUUUCAAAUCUUACCAUCUGGUAUUUUUCUUCUUCUCUUCUUUUUAAUAUAAAUGUUUCUUUUUUGUUUUAAUUCAUACUUUACAAAUUACAAGUACUCAUUAUUUUUUAUCUUGUUCGUUGGAAGGAUUUUUUUUAAUUAUUUUUUAAAAUUUUUGGGGGUUAAAUUCAUUGUGGAAAGCACUUUUCCCCUUAUGAAUUAUGAUUGAAGGAAAGAAAGAAGCCAUUGCCAAAGGAUAAAAAAAAGGGAACAAAAAAAGGAAAAGAAAACCCUAAUUUCAUCAUGAUUUCAACCUUUUGUAUUGUUUUAUUUUUAUUUUUUGGGUUUUGCUGCUUUUUUUUUGUUUGUUUAUUUUUUCCACUUUAUUAUUUCUUAACACACCACAAUGAAUUCUUUUAAUGGUCUUAAAAUUGGUUUUAUUAAUUAAGAUUCAAAUUUAGUGCUGGUUAAUACUGUUAAUUAGGGAUAAAAUAAUGUACAACUAUGGUUUCGAUUGAUUGUUUAGGAGCUGGUUUUAAUUUCUUUAGAUGUGUUUAGAUAAUGUCUAAUCAUACUCUUAAUUGGGGAUAUAAUAUGUAAAUCUAAAAAGGUUUAAAACUAAUUAAUGACUUCACAUCACAAUGAAUUAGGGGCUUGGCACAGUCUGUACUAUGGAACUUGAUCAUGUCUUUUACUUUUCGUCUUAGAAUCAUUCUCAUUUUGAUUAUCCUUAAGUUAUUUUUUAACAAAAAAAUCACACCAAUGACAACAUCAAAUCUUUCUUAGUCUAGUUGUUGGGUGAGAACGAUCCACAUCGGGUGCAAUCAGAGAGAUGAACUAGGUUACAAAUUCUUAGUACCUCUUUUUUUAAAAAAGUAAAUAUAGUAAAACAAGAAAACUCAUAUGGAAAAACAAAAGGUUAAAAAGUUAAUUUUUUUAAAAAAAAAAUUAAAAAACUUGAGAUUUGGUUUUACUUUUGAAAAUGGACUCUGUGAUUCCUUUUUAAGUAGAAGAAGAUAUGAUUUUUCUUUUUCUUCUUGGCGAUCAGUAUAAAUUAUAUAGGUAGAGAAAGAAAAUUUAAUGGGAAAGAUGAGCAGGUAAGUGAAACUUGAACUGAUUGAUCAAAAUGUUAAAUAUGGAGCCUUAUAGACUCUCCUAAACCUGCUUGUUUCCUCUAAAAUAAAAACAUCAAGUUCUAAAGCUUUAGCUAGUGAUUUUUUCCUUUUUUUUUUCUUGUUCUUAAUUUUAUAAUUCGAGCUCUUUCGACCUUGUUUAAAUUGACUAGAGAAAAUUUGUUUUUCUUUUUUAUUUGAAUGAUUGAAACAUUCCAAUUUUUCUUAAAAAAUAACUUAUUGUCAAAUUAAACACCUGAAAAAUUAACCCCUAUACACACUGUAUAAUUAAAAAUUAAAAUUUUAUAAUUCCCAUCUUAUGUAUAAUUUGUUUAUUUUCCCUUUUUCACAAGCACGCACCAAGAUUAAUUAAGAAGCUGUUAUUGAAUUAAUUGUUAUCAUUCAGCUAAUCAUGUUUUUGUCUUAGUUAAUUAUCAUAUUUCCAUUUCAAUUUUGGUUAUAGAGUAAGUCCUUUGAAUAAUUAAUAUCGUAUCCAUCACCUAAUUAACUAAUUAUUAUUUACCUUAAUGAUCUAUAUAACAGAUUGAUAUAUAGAAAACAGAUUAGAAGAUUACUUAGUCAUAAUCACUUAAUUACUAGUAACUAAAUCCAUAUAUAUAUGUAUGUAUCAAAUUUCUAAUCAAUCCAUACCUCAAAAAGUUUGGAGUAGGUUUCCAUCUAAUCAAUCUCACACAUCAACAUUCUAGUGAUUUCUUUUUUCUUUCUAAAUCUUCACUAAACUUAAAAAACAUUUAAUACAAUUAAUUAAACUUUCAACGUUGUAAUAUUCAACCGUAGCUAUCUCAAAAAAAUUCAUUUGUGUCUCAACCUAUUAAGGAUUCUUUCUAAAUUCAUAACAUAGUGAAAAAAAUCAAUAGUUGUGACCAAAAAUUGAACUAUUUAGAAACAUUUUCUAAUAUAGACAUUGAGAGAAAGAUCCCAUUUGGUUUUUUGAUUGUUUUUUGUUCAAGAGAGAUUGAAAUUGAAACAAGCUUGAAUUUUCAAAAAUGGAAAACUAAAAACAACAUUGUAAGAAGAGUCGUAUUUGAGAAUUAUAAGGCUGAAAAUGGAACAGGAAGAGAAGGAAAGAGUGAAGGAAUGGGAUCAUCAACGGAGGAGGAAGCUGAGAAAGGCGGAGAAGAGGAAAGAGAGAUAGAAGAAGAUCAAAUCGACCCACGAGCAGAAGAAAGAGAGCUUAAGAAUCACUUACUAAAAAAAUACAGUGGUUAUCUUAGCAGUUUAAAGCAAGAACUUUCCAAGAAAAAGAAGAAAGGAAAACUCCCUAAAGACGCAAGACAACAACUCCUCCGUUGGUGGGAACUGCAUAACAAAUGGCCAUACCCAUCGGUAAACUAUAUAUAUAUUUCUUUCUUAUUAUUACACGCACACACGGUGUUUUUGAAAAUGACUCAACCAAAGAAGAAACGCUGUUAAUUUGCUAUGCAGGAGGCAGAAAAAUUGGCGCUGGCGGAAUCAACUGGGCUUGACCAGAAACAGAUAAAUAAUUGGUUUAUAAACCAAAGGAAAAGGCACUGGAAGCCUUCUGAGGAUGUGCAGUUUAUGGGUAUGGAGGGGUUUUACCAUCCCAAUGCUGCUGCUUUUUACUUUGAUCAUGGCCAUUUCAUGGCUGAUUCUCAUUAUCGUUUGGGUCCAUGAGGGUGGGAAUUAAACUACAAUAUCAUUUCAUGUGCUUUCUAUUUAAAAACAUAUCCCUUCUAUUUGUUUAGUCCCUUAAUUAAAUUCCUAAUUUAGUGCUUAAAAAUGGAACCAAAAAACAAAAAAAACAAAAGAUGAGUGAUAUAGUUAUAGUUCAUGUACUGGUAGGGUAUUUGUAAUUUUUAGUGUGUGUAAAAGUGUCAUAAUUUCCUGCCCUUUCAUUUGAUGAAUAUUCCUAAAUGCAAAUUUAAAUAAUGAUAAUAAUAAUAUCCACGUUUUUAGUUUAAUUCAUCAUCUUGUUAUGUGUGAUGGAAUUUCGUUUUCCUUAUAGUUCUAAUUACACUUUUGAUUGAAUGUUUUUCUUAACUUUUUCUUCUUUUCCCUCUUAGUUCAUUUCUUUAAAUCAAACUUAUUCAAUAAAUUUAUCUUCAGUAACUUAUAGUAUUAAUGUUUAAAAUAGUAUAGAUCAGGUAGUACGUACGAAUUGAAAAGCUUUGAUAGAAUUUAACCCUAAUUUAUCACCAGUUGCAAUACUUUUUUGUUAAAUUAGAAUUUAAAUUAUUCAAUAUUAUUGUUAUUAAGCAAGAGGAGGACAAACAAAAUUAAGGAUCUCAUGAUUAACUAGAAAGGGGGAAGAAUAAACCACCUAUAUAUGAUCUAUGAUGAAUGAUUGUCAAGCCGAAUUACAUAUAAUUUGAUGAGAUAUUAAUGAAAGUUAAGUUGAAAUCUGAAGUUAUAAAUUAAACUAGUUGUACUGAAAGCUAUAAACUGUGAUACAAAAUAAUCUACCUUUGAGCUUAUCAAUGCGAUUAAUAAUGUGGGUUGUGAAUCUAUCGAUCUGAGCUCUGUUGCUUCGUUGAGGAGAUUACUGCCUCUUUAUCUUUGGUUGCGUAUAUUGGCCUGUAUCUGUGCAAGGCGAAUGGGGCAGCACCAUGCACCAUGCACCAUGCACCAUGCACCAUGCACCUUGCUUGCUUGUAUGGUGGUGAAGAAGGUUUGAAUAUUUUGGGGUUAGUUUUCUUAAUCUCGCUUCUUCCUUCUUCGAAUAGGGUGUUAGAGAUUCUUAUUUUGUGAGAGCGAGAGAGAGAGAGAAAGAGAGAAGAGAAUUAAAAUCAUAAAUAUAUAUAAACUUAAAUAACUCAUAGACAUGAAUCAAGCACAAAAUGGGCCAAAAGUUUUGGGCCGCCUCCUGAAAUGAAUUGUGGGCUGGACAUAUCUAUGUAUUUUGUGGUUCAGCCCAACUCAUCACGAAGUCGUAAUUAAUUGGCUUUUUCUUUUUAAAUGAAAUUUGAUUUGUUAGUUAGUUAAUAGUUACACAUUAAAUUUAUUUUACAUCAAUAGCUUAAAUUGAACUAACAUCUUCAGCUAUAUCACAAAAAAGGGAACAAAUAUCAAAUUUCAAUCCUUGAUUAAUUUUUAAAAUCAAAAUGAAAAGUUCAGAAAAUGUUUUUAGUUCAUAUGUUGAUUAGGUUCACGUUUAGUUUAAGUUAAGAUAACGAUUAUUUUGUUCAUUAACGGAAAUGAUGUUAUAUUUGACUAAAUAACCCAAAAGUUUGAAUUGUAAUGUACUAUAAGACACUGACACACACAACAAUGCCCAACUAUAAGGACUCCCUUUAAUCUUCUCACAUGUAAAGUGUUUUUCUUUUCAAAGAACGUGAAAAACGUAGUGAUGCAUGGAAGGGAGAAGAUGAUGAAGUGGGAAAGUAGUACUACACACAGAAUAAAGAUAAGAGAGUGGAAUUUUUUAGAAACUAAGAUUUCUAAGUUUGUAGGGUUAGGUGAAAUUCAAAACUACUUUUUUAAAGAAACAUAUGAGACGACAUGUGAAUCGUAGAUGCUCCAAGCUCUUCUCCUUUUUCUGAUAUUCAUAUAUAUCCUUCCUACUUCUUUACUUCUUUAAUUUUUAUUAGAAGGACUCCAACAUAUGAUCUUGAAACAAAAUUGAGUAAAUUUUUGUUAAAGAGAGAACUCAAAGGUUAUGUAAUUUUCUGUAUACUGUUGAAAUAUAUUUGUUGUGUUUACAUAGGGAGGAGAGAUUACAAGUAAGGAAACUAUAAAUUAGGAAGGAGAAACGAAAAGAUUCUAUUUACCAAAUGUACAGAAACGUAUAUGGUAACAUUUGAUAGCAAGAAAAUGCUUAAACUUUGUCGCGACGUGAUCGCUACGCGGAGCGGCCGACCUCCCCGUUUAUUUAAUUUUAAUAAAUAGUUUUGGAGUCGCCACCAACCAUAUUAGGGUGUGAUUGGUCACCCAAAAAAAAGAAAAAAAAAAAUGGUCUACAUACAUUCAGAGAUUUAAGUUCGGGAGUCAGUUGUGUGUAGGGAAGGUGUUAGCACCCUACAACACCCAAAAAAUGGUUACCCAAUUUUAUCUUUUAAAUUAAAUUAUAGAGGUUCACAAAACAAAGUUUUUAUUUAGGUUUUGUUUAAAUGUCCCAUGCUUAUCAAUUCAUAUCGAAGAAAGUAAAACCUAAGCAUGAAUUGAUGAUUAUGGGUGGCAUAGGAGCCAUUAGAAAAAUUAAGUUUAUUUUUGUUUUAAAAGAUUUUUAUUCACCUUAAGAAUAUUAAGAUACCAAAACUUGAUAUUUUAAUCUCUAUCAUAGGUGUUUAAUGAAAAAUUUCAUAUAUCUAGAAUUAAUAAAUUCAUAGAAAAUACUACUCAGUCUCAUUUAAAAUAUGAAAUGUGUUAAUUUAAAAAAAACAAUCUAUUAAUUAAAUUUCAAACGGAAAAAUUUCAUGUAUUUAUGGAUUUUAAAUUAUAAAAUCCAUAAAAAAACAAUACUUUUUCUCCAAUUUACAUUAUUAUAUUUAAAUAAAAAAAAGAAUAAUAACAAAGGCAAAACAUUAUGAAAUUUGAAAAAUACUUAGAAGUAAUAUGCUGAGAUAAAAUAAAUACAUUGAUAAUAUAUGCAAAAUAUAAAAGAUAUUAAUGUAAGAUGCAAGAUAAUUAAUUAAUACAACACAUGCAACAUAAUUAAUUAAAUCAAAAUGAUGCAAAAUAAUUGAUUAAUGCAGGAUGCAAGAUGCAAAACAAUUGAUUAAUGCAUAAUCAAACGAGGGCCAAAUGGAUAUCAAAUAAUAAUUAACAGUUGAAUGCCAAAGUAGGUUUGGCCCAAUAUGCAAAUAAAUAAUAUUGCAAAUAAAUAAUCGCACCAAAAUGAAUAUCAAAUAAUUAUAGCCACAUAUGCAUUAAUUAAUACAUCAUGCAGAUAAUUAGAAUGAGGGAGUGAAAAUGUCACAUACAAGUUGCUAAUUAAUUAAUAGGCCAAAUGAAAAAUGGUUGUUGCCAAAUAUUAAUUAUAUCAUGCAUAAUUAUUAACAUGGAUAAUAUAUGGAUAGCAGUAAUUAUUAACGGAGUAUGCCAUAUGGAUACAUGGAUAAAGUAAUUAACAAAGACUGUAAAAUGGAUGCCAAUGAAGAAUGAGUAUUACCAAAUACAGGAUGUUAAUUGAUUAAUUAUGCAUAAUUAUUAAAGCAUGUUAUAUGGACAUAAGUAAUUAACUGUAAAAUGGGUGCCAAUAAAGAAUGAGUAUUACUAAAUACAGAAGGCUAAUUGAUUAAUUAUGCAUAAUUAUUAAGGCAUGUCAUAUGGAUAUAAGUAAUUAACUGUAAAAUGGGUGUCAAUGAAGAAUGAGAUCCAAAUACAAAUAUAUGAUACUAAUUAAUUAAAAAGAAAUUAACACAGAAUGGAUGCCUAGUAAUAAAAGAAAAUUAACACAGAAUGGAUACCCAACAAUUAAAAAGAAAUUAACACAGAACAGAAUGGAUACCCAAUAUUUAAAAAGAAAUUAAUACAGAAUGGAUACCCAACCAUUAAAAAGAAAUUAACACAGAAUGGAUACCCAACCAUUAAAAAGAAAUUAACACAGAAUGGAUACCCAACCAUUAAAAAGAAAUUAACACAGAAUGGAUACCCAACCAUUAAAAAGAAAUUAACACAGAACAGAAUGGAUACCCAAUAUUUAAAAAGGAAUUAACACAGAACAGAAUGGAUACCCAAUAUUUAAAAAUAAAAAAAUAAAAAAUUUAAUAUAGAAUGGAAGGUAGAAUGUUCAGUAUUAAGAAAGAUACAAAUAAUAAAAUUAACAUGUUAAAUGAUGGUAAAAUGAUGAACACGAUAGGUCAUAAUUAAAAGCAGUAUAUCAAACAAGAAAAAAAAAAUCAUUAAACAAGAAUAAGAAUAAAAAGAGGAAAAAGAAAAAAAACUUACCAGCAGGUCUGCCCUUCAAUGCCAAAGGUUAUUCCUUUUGAUCUUCUUUCACUCUUCACCUCUUUCUAAAUCCUCCAAUAAUAAAAAAAAAAAAGUUCCCCCUCCUUUCUGAAUCUUCUCCUUCUCUUUUUAUAGGGAAAUGUCUCCUUUUUUAGAUAGAAGUGAAGUAGGUUUAGAUAGUGAAAUGGAAUAUAGAGAAAUGUGGAAGAGUGGGAGAACGUGAGAGAUUGGGGAAGAAGGUGGAAGAGUGGGAGAACGUGAGAGAUUGGGGAAGAAGGUGGAAGAGUGGGAGAACGUGAGAGAUUGGGAGAAAGUGGGAGGGUUGUGACUCAGUAAAACAGGGGAUGGUUGAGAAAAAUAGGGAGAAGAAAAACAAAAUCUUUACUUUUAAAUUUAAUUUUAAAUAUGUUUUUAUUUUUGUUUUUAUUUUAAAACAUAAAUUCAAAAAUUAAGAUUUAAAUUUAAAUUCAAAUUCAAAUUCUUUUAAAAAAAUAAUAAAUUAAUUAAUGAAAAAAAAUAAAAAGGCAGGACAAAAUACGGUAUCUACAAACUUAACAAAUUAAAAUAUAUGUUCUUUUAUUGAAACACACCUAAAACGUUCAACAUAAUACUAGAACAAGCAACGUAUAGAUUAUUAAAUAAACCAUGGACUAAGAUUAUUUAAGUUUUACCUUAUAACUGUAAUCAUUAAUUAAAAAAGAUAAUUUUGUAUUGGUUAUGUGAUUAGAAUAUUCUUAUAGUAUAUGGUUAUAAUGAUAGCAAAAGGUGAAAUUUGAUUUGAAGAUAGAUAAGUUUGGUUAGAUUAGGUCUGGGAAUUGGAAAGGUGGAAUUUUGGAUGUCUAUGUUUAUGUGUAGCUGACAUGGAAUUGUGACCCAUUAUCCAAUGUUGGUUGUUACAAGUUUUACAAGCUGGAUUUUUUAAUAAUGGCAAAGGAAUUUUAAAUAAUAAAUAGUAAGACUCCUCCUUAUCUUUCUCUCUAUUUAUAUAAUAUAUAUAUAUUUCCUUAUCUCCCAACACAACAAAUCACUUUCUCUUCACAUUUUUUUGCUAAUAAAAUUGUUCCAUAUAAGUAAAAUAGGUGAAAUAGGCAAUAGAAAGAUCAAUAAUAAUCAGCCACAACAUGGUUCUCAGAAGACUCUUCUCCUCCUCUUUUCGCCUUGUUUCUUCUUCUUCAUCAUCAUCUUCUUCUUCAAAGGUUUGAUAAAAUCAAUUCCCUUUUACCCUUUUUUUACAUAAAUAUUUUCAUCUGGGAGACUUCCAUUCACAUAUAUAUCGUUUUUCUUUUUUGCAUGUAUGAUUUGGUGGUAUCUACUGGUAUUAUUCUUCUCUCUGUUCUUUGAAAAUUUGGAAAACAGUUUAAACAUUCUUCAUGAUCUUGAUCAUAAUGCAUGCGUGGUUUCUUUCUUUUGUAAAAUUAUUAUUUUUUUCUUUAGUCAUGUGUUUGAUUUCGUCCUCUCUCUUGUUUAUAAGAAAAACAAAAAAGUUUUUUUUUGUAGAUGGGAAUUCUAAUUUGAAAAGAAGUUGAGUAAUCGUCAUGAUUUUGGAUUCUGCUUUGUCGUUACAAAAAAAUAAGCUAACUUUAGCAAAAGUUAGUGAUGUGAUUAUCAUGAGCUUAACAAUAAUGUUUGUUUUUUAUAAUACAUAUGUCUGGCCAUUUAAGAAUAAAGUUGUUAAUUAGGUUCCUCUAACUUAAAUUCGAGUUUAUAUUAUGAGGAAUUUGUAAAAAAAAAUAAAAUAAAUAGUUUGUAUCUUUUUUUAUUAUUCUUGAAAAAACUCCCAGUAUCAACAUGAUAGAGAUUGCACUUAAAAUUCCUUAUUUUUAUAAUCUUCAUUUUGAAGGUAUUGACUUUAAUUUAUAGUAUUAUAGCCUUGAUGAGUUUUAUAUAACUUUUACUUAAAUCUCAAUUUGAUAAAGAUAAGAUUUGACUAAAUUCCUUUGAACAGUUGAAGACAUAGAAAUCUAAAAUAUAUAUAUAUAUAUUCUUUUGAGGAAUAAUUUAAAAAUUGAACUUUAAUGUUCACCAACGUUUUGGAUUAUUAUUACCAAAAAUCGUGUGUCUCGUGUGAACGUUUCAUCCAUGAAAAAGAGAGAGCAUAAGUUACCAAAAUUACAUUAACUUUUGAUAAACUAUUUGUCAAUAGAAAACAACAAUAUUAAAUGGGACCUACGUUUUCUUUUCUUGCAUGGGAAACUUUCUGCCCUUCUUCUUCUUCUUCAACUUUCAAAACUAAAAUUUGGAUAAUGACGACAAAACCUCCCUCACUAGCUACUUGUAUUUACGAUUAUAAUGAAAAUUUUGUCUUCAUUUUCGUAAUCCCACUGUCACUUUCAAUCCUAUACUUCAAAAUUUAUGAAAAUCAACACAAUGGAAAAAAUGAAAUAAAAAAGAGGAAAAGCUUUUCAACAAUCUUUUGCCAGUUGGAGAACAGUCCCGAUGACAAGAAAGCGUUUAGGCGUUGGACGCCCAGAAACCGUCGAAUGUUGAGUCGUGCAUACUUUUCUUUUGUCUUUUUAUUAUUAUUGUUUUUCUUUUUGCCUUUUUUAUUUUUAUAUUGAUUUCCUUCGACUAUUCUGGAAUUUUUGACGCCCAAAAUUCGUAUUUUUCCAUCUGGGUUUAUCAUCUUUUGUGUCUUAUCCUGAAAACUGUAGAAUGAAAGCGAAAGCUGUGAUUGGAUAUUUUUAAUUUUGUUAAUUUGGGGUUUUAACUUUAACCCAUUAGGAAUUACUGAAUAGUUUUGAGAAUUGCAGCUUGGAGGAGUUUGUCGUGGCGAUGGGUUUAGGGCAGUAUCUUCAAUGCCGGAGCCUUGCCAAUCAUCGCCUUUCAGGUACUUCAAAUUCUCACACCCAUUUUAUAAAAAUUAUCAAUAACCCAUUUUUUUCAUUAGAUAGUAAUGCUCAAAGGUUAAAGAUUACGUGUUUUUUCUAAAUAGAUGCUUGUGAUUGAAGUUGUUGAAAUGCUGAGAUUGGGUGUCUCUGUUUUGGGUUUGGUUUAAUUUCAGUGAUGACGAGAGCUGUGAUUUUGACUGGGAUAGUCUUGGAUUUGGGCUAAUGCCAACAGAUUAUAUGUAUAUUAUGAAAUGCUCUAAAGAUGGGAAUUUUGAACGAGGUCAAAUGAGCCGUUUCGGGAACAUUGAGUUAAGCCCUUCUGCUGGGGUUCUAAAUUAUGGACAGGUAUCUUCUGGUUUCAGUUUGGGAAUCAAGAUUCAAUCACUAACUUAUGAUUUUGGUACCAUUUCUAUUACAACAGAAUUUAUGUAGUUUCUUUUCACUAGGUGGUUGGUUGUUGUUCUUUGACAUAGGAUUCUAAAAUUGGUUUUUGAUGAUCAAAUGUGAUUUCUGUUCUCUCUUCCCCUGCCCAUUUUAUGUCGAGAGGGGUGGGGGAUCUUGAGCAAAAGAAUGCAUUUCCGAAAUUAUUCGAGAGAUAGUUACUGUUAGCUAGCUAUAGAACUGUUAUGAAAGGCUUUACAGAGUUUAAGGUGUGGUGUUGAAAUGAAUAGGGCUUGUUUGAAGGCCUAAAAGCUUAUAGGAAAAAAGAUGGGGGCUUUCGUCUAUUUCGUCCAGACCAAAACGCUCUUCGUAUGAUGACCGGUGCUGAACGAAUGUGUAUGCCAUCACCCUCCAUUGAACAGUUUAUCGAUGCUGUGAAGCAAAUUACCAUUGCUAAUAGGCGUUGGGUAGUCUUCUCUCUCUCUACUUAUUUGAUAUACUUGUCUCGGUACUUUCAUGUCAAUGAGAAGUAACUAUUGAUCUUGGUUGAUUUUUCAUUCUCACGAUUGAUUGUACUUGCAGGUCCCUCCGCUGGGGAAAGGAUCACUUUACAUAAGGCCUUUGCUCAUUGGAACUGGUCCAGUUCUUGGCUUGGCUCCUGCGCCCGAGUAUACUUUUCUAAUUUAUGCUUCCCCUGUUUGCAAUUAUUUUAAGGUGGGCACUUUUUCAGUGGAGCUAAUUUCACUUCCCUUCAACAACACAUGAUUCAUCUACAGCUCCUGGUUUGUUUUCUAAACAGGAAGGUUCGGCACCCUUGAACCUAUAUGUUGAGAAUGAAUUCGUUCGUGCAUCUCGUGGUGGAACUGGAGGUGUGAAAACCAUUUCAAAUUAUGCUCCGGUAAGUGUUUGCUAUUUCUUCUUUUUCUUUGUGAAAACUAAUGAAUAAACUUGUUGCUAAUCCGAGAGCUCAGUUUUGAAUCUUUUGAUUCAGUCGUAGAUAUAUUUGGCAUUGGAGAAAGUUGUAUCAAUCACAUAUUUUCUGAUGUUUUUUUUCCUGUGUAGGUCUUAAAAGCUAUCACCCAAGCAAAAAACCGAGGGUUUUCUGACGUGUUAUACCUUGAUUCAGUGAAUAAGAGAGAUCUGGAAGAAGUUUCUUCUUGCAAUAUUUUCCUUGUAAAGGUAUCUUUGUAAUGGUUAAAUUGACAGCGUAAAGUUAUACUGACAUGAAAGAGAAAUUAAGUUAUCAUAAAUGAAGACCUGAUGAUGGUAUUUGGUCUUUGGUUUAUAGAACUCAAAAUUUUCAUUCUUUUGGAUUUGGAAGUUCUGUCAUCUGUUCUACUUUGAACCAAUGUAAUUAUGUCUCAUUUCUAUAGGGCAAUGUUAUUUCAACUCCUGCUACAAAUGGAACAAUUCUUCCAGGAGUAACCCGAAAAAGCAUCAUUGAAAUUGCCCGCGAUCGAGGUUAUGAGGUGGUUAUUUCAUCCCUAAUCAAGAAUCUAGCAGCCAGGGUUUUGAUUUUCUAAAGAUUUUCAGUUUUUUUUUUUGGUUUUCCAACUGCCAUGUAUACUUAUCCUUCUUGUUGUCAUAAUGGCAACCUCAAUCUUAUCCAGGUUGAGGAACGAGCCGUUAACAUGGAAGAACUGUUCGACGCUAGUGAAGUUUUCUGCACCGGAACUGCUGUUGGUGUGGCCCCAGUUGGCAGCAUCACAUGUAUGGAUAGAAGGUAAUCAAACUCCUCAUACUCUGUCAUAGCUCGAAAUUUAAACCACCUAUAUUUUCAACUCACAAGCCAAAGAAGAAAAAUGGUUUGACAACCGAAUUACUACAUCGCCAGUACUGACUUUGUCUAGUUUCUUGACAAAGUUAACUGAUUUGAUCGUAUCUGCAGGAUUGAAUACCGAACAGGUGCUAACACAACAUGCCAAGAACUAUAUUCAACUCUGGUUGGGAUUCAAACUGGAACCAUUGAGGAUAAGAUGGGGUGGACUGUUGAGAUCUCUUGAGUUUUCAUCUGUCCCACCGACAUGAAUAGUAAAUUGCAAGUCCGUUCUCUGUUUCGGGUUAUCCAUAAAAUGACUCAAAGUUUGGUUGUGUUUUACUUCUCAUAAGUUGAUCCGUAGCUAUAAUUAAUUAGCAAGCCUUUAACUCCAAUACAAGUAAUGAGUAUCAAAAGCUGGAGAUUCGUAUGAAAGUAAAUAAAAUAUUUUGAUGAAUAAAUUGUGGUAAAAUGUUUGAAAUGAUUAGUGUUGAUUGGAAAAUACUAAUUUGUAGGCCAAAAACUGGAGACAAGCUAUUGAAUUUGGUGAACUUUAAUAAUUGUGAAUGGACUACUUUUUCAUUAACUAUAAGGUGGGCGAGUUAUUGUGUCAGCCAAGGACCAAGGCUUCAAGCUAUGGACUUUAUUUGAUGACAGAUUGAGACCUCUGUUCUUUUCUUUUAAUCCUUUUGUUUUUAAGAAGAACCAAUAUAUAAUCAACUUUAUGUUUUGGGAUACUAUAGAACAUAAUAGCAUCACCAACUCCCUAAUGUUGGAGCAGACACUAUAACUAUAUAGACAAAUUCAUUGCAGUGUAAAUGUACAAUAGUUUAGUAUAAGUUGUGAACUCUACUUCAUAUUUUAACAUCAAUAUUAUAACUUUUAAAUUCUUAUACCCAUUCAAACUUUGCUCAACACCUUAUCAAGGAUCAAAACAUGUUGAGACAUAACCAUCUUUUCAUUUGAGUUAAUAAAUCAAAGUAAGAAUAACACAUGAUCGGAUGAUCCCUUCAUUUGAGUUAAUCAGCUUGAUUUUGAUAUUUUUUUUUUUAAUAAAACUUCUUCCCUUUUGAAGAAAAAGCUCAUAGAGUUAACCUCAUAUUUUGCAGAAUGGUUCCACUGACCAACUAAACCAGUUUUUCGUAAAUAAUUGAGUUUAUGUUAAAAAGGGUAUAUAUAGUAUAAAUAUAAACCGACAUGAACAAGCAUACGUUAAAAUUUUGGAAGCUCAAAAAUGGAAAAGAAUGCAUUGCAAAUGUAUACCAUACGUCCAAAGUUCAAGAAAGUCGUGCUCAUAUUUAAUGCACUUUCUUUCCUUGGCCCUGCUAUAGCUCCCAACUUUGUUUUCCAUUGUCACACUGUUCAUUUCAUGAUCCGUAAGGGUAAAAAGUACCAUUGAAAUAUAUAUUGUAAAAUUUCUCAUAAUUUUGAUUACAUAAAUGUUAUUUUAAUAGUAACCGAUUCAAAUAAGUACAUUCAACUGACAAUUUAUGAAAUGGUAAUUAUAGUUAUCUACUGAAUAUUAGAUCAAUAAUGUUGUCAAUUAUUAACCCAUAAUUCAUAUAGUGUGUGACAUAAUUUGUCGUCCAAAAUCCUAUCACCCGUAUCUUAAUUUAAAUACAAAGGAAGUGUGUGUAUGACAUAAUGAUGUAUUAAGUUAAUUUUUUGUAUCUAUCUUUACCCAUCUCUAGAUUUUUAAAUUAUAAACUGAAAAUAUAGAUAUGUUUAGGAAUCCAAAAAACAAUUUAAAUAAAUUAUACUCACUAAAUCUAUUUUGACCUGAAUAUGUAUAUCAUAUGUAUACACGAUAGUUAUUAUACACCAAAAAUCUUUUGAAGAAAAAGUUCAUAGAAUUAACCUCAUAAACACAACAUUUAUCAAAAGUUUAAGAUUAUUUAUGCAUAAUAUAAUUUGAAUGUUUUGGUAUAGCAUACUUAAUUGAUUAAGGGGUUAAAUAGUUAUUAAAACCUCACAUUCCCAUGUUUGUUAAUUAGACGUAAAAUUGACUAAAAAUGAAGACGUGGGGGAAAUGUAGACCUGAAAAUACAGUUCAUUGCAUGAACCCAAUUCCAACUUUUUCCACAAUUGAUUUUCUUUUGUUUUUGGUCCUCUUUUGAGUAUAAAUAAAUCGACAAAGUAUAUAAUGAUAUAAUGAAUCCAAAUUGGAGUAGAAAGAAAGUAUAUAAUGAUAUAAUGAAUUAAUCAAAUCCCCAUCAUUUCUUUAAUAGGGAUUUCAACUUGUUUGUUUUACCUUUCAAGAAAAUCUCCACAUUUUUCAAUCCACGACAAAUUAUAUGAGAAGGGUUUCCUGUUUCUUGAAAACUACUUUUUCAUUUAUUUGUUUUUAAUUUUAGAGUUUAAUUAGGGCAUUAGUCGUUGUUUGACCUACUUAAUUAAUAAUUUUCUUGUGAAAACUAGCUAGAAAUGCUAAUUGAGAAUAAAUUAUUUGGCACAUAAUUUAACCUACUUAUAUUAAUAGCACCUUUUAACUGCAUAAUUACACUUUAGAUCUCAAUUAUAUACGAGCUGCCUGAUUUUGAUCUCAACUAGCUCCAACUUUCUUAGCCAAUUAAUAAAUCAAAGUAAGAAUAACACAUGAUCGGAUGAUCCCUUCAUUUGAGUUAAUCAGCUUGAUUUUGAUAAUUUUUUUUUUUUGAAUAAAACUUCUUCCCUUUCACAUUAUUACGUUUAUAUGAUUUGUUUUAGUGCAGUAACUCUCGGAUAUGGACAUUUUGAAAAUAUUUUAGAAUAUUGUGUGAAAAACAUACGUGAAAGGAUUACACAGAAGAAUAGAUAAGUUGAUUGUUAAGAAAAAUUGCUAACGUCUUCUCAAAUGAUCUUCAAAAUCAUUGUUUAUGAUGAUGUUUCUUGAAAAUCAGUUGUUUCUUUUGUUUCAAAGAAACCACCAACAAAUGGUGAUUGAGAUGUGAAACAAAAAGAGCUGCGAUUGAGAGAUUGAUUAAUAGUGACAUAUCUUCACAUAGAGAGCAUAAUUGUGUAAGUAAGUGAUUAAUUAUGAAUAAUUGAGACUCUCUCUCACAAGACUGUAAAAAUUAUCCCUAAGUACACCAACUAAUUUGGGUUUAAUUGUCAACGUACUUCUUUUUUAAGAAUAAUAUUCAAAGUGUUUAUAUAUUCAUGUGACGAAUGGUCUUCUAACACAAAAAAAAGUUACAUUUUUUGAAAUUUUUAGAUUGAUUAGCCAUACGUGGGAUGAAGGAUUUCAACCUCUAAUCUCUUGAUUGAUUGUUCAUACUUAUAUUGCUAGUUGAGUUGUGUUGUUAUUGUCAUAUUUAAAUUAUCACUAUACCUUCACAAAUGACAUUCUGUAAUAUUGCAUUUAAAUGAAAUACUAUAUUAUAUACUAAUUUGUGAACAGAUAAUUAAGAGAAUGAUGUGGAUAAGAGUAGAAUUUGUGAAUCAAAGUUUAAAAGUUUUACUUUUCAAAGGAGAGAGAGACGUUAAGGAGUUAACGUUGUGGUGUGGUGGCUGUUUUCUAUUUUAUUACUAUUCUUCUUAUAUAUAUAUAUUAAUUUGUAAAGGAAUAAAUAAACUGUUUUGGUCAUUCACUUUCCAAAUAAUUGCGAUUAUUAUUAUUUAUCCAUUCAGCUUUUUACCUCUCUGGGGGUUUGGUUUGAACCUCUACGGGGUGUCUACUUUUUAGUAAUUUCAAUAACUUUAUAUAUAUAUAUAUUAACUAUUAUAAUUUAAUAGCAAUAUAGGGAGUGAUUGAUAAUCAAUUCAAUAAUCACUCUUCAACACAUAUAUAAUUCAAAAAAGCAACAUUCUAUGACCAUUUAUAGGGUUAAUUGGGAAGAAAAGAUGAAAAAAAAAAGGGCAACCAAGUCAAACCCACUUUCAAGCUGCCAAUAAUGAGUCAAUUUGUCUCAUUUAUUAUCCAAUAACUGUCUUUCAAUUUAAAAGUUGGAUCACACACUAUGUUUGAAAUUACAUUACAAGUUUAAAUAAUAAUAUUUAACUUUUUUUUUCUUUUCCAAAAACAUUAAUUUGAUGUAUGUAAGCCUUUUUCGAGUAUAUAAUUGUAACUAUACAACUAUGUGUAUAUAUACUGUGGGAGGGGGUCGUGGGUGUGGAGAUUAAUUAAUUCCUUGAGACAGGGAGAAGCUCAAUUAAUUUAACUAUGAUACGCUUUAUUAAUCUACCAAUUUAAGCAUCUACAUAUUGUAUUAACGGCUUGGUUCCUUGUUGAUGACUUUAAUUAUAAAGUUUUGCAAUUUUCCAAUAACAUUAAUUAUGUUUUAGACACAAACAUUAGAUAUUACCAUGUCAAUUCCACAAAUGAUUGGAACAAAAGGAAUUUUAUGUUAAUUAACAUGUAGACAUACGAUCAAUUUUCUGUUUUCUUGAAAGAUAUAAUUAGAUUAAAUAGAUUAAUUGAUCUGGGAAUGAUAUUCUAUUGGUUCACCUCUUGAUAAACAAUCUUUCUGUUUUACUUUCUUUAACUCUUUGAUGUAAUAAGUUAUUUAUCUUAAAACUUAUUCUCUCAUUUUCAUCAGUGUUUAAUAGCACGCAGAAAAGAUUCAAAACCCCAAAGAACACUUGAAAGAAAAACAAACAAAUUACUUGGGUUUUAGUGUAUUAAAAUAAUGAAAGUAAAGAUAUAUAUAUAUAUAGAUUAGUUUAAUGAAUAUAUAAUGUUGGAUUAAAGAAAGGUUUAA
Molecule: long non-coding RNA, 138572 nt
Filed under: Cucumis sativus (cucumber)
Lineage: Eukaryota; Viridiplantae; Streptophyta; Magnoliopsida; Cucurbitales; Cucurbitaceae
Description: long non-coding RNA (CSAT_LNC000711)
Source: RNAcentral